Molecule: long non-coding RNA, 117459 nt
Filed under: Fragaria vesca (wild strawberry)
Lineage: Eukaryota; Viridiplantae; Streptophyta; Magnoliopsida; Rosales; Rosaceae
Description: long non-coding RNA (FVES_LNC002296)
Source: RNAcentral
UUUUUUUUUUUGUGAUGGUCGUUAUUCUCUGGAAGUAUGGGGCUUUAGCUUAAUUACUGAAACUCCCCCAGGAAUUGUUUUAUUUCGAGUUUGCUCCCCCCACGACGACGUGUGCCGUGCACUGCCUUCAAAAUUAAGCUGGGAAAUAUAUUAAGUUUUUGACUUCAAAUUUGUUUUUAUCUCACGUUAUUAUUAUGAAAAUUAUGAGAUUUUUUCUGGUAAUAGGUUAUAAGAUCUUUGGAGUUUGGACUUUGGAGUGUUCUAGAUAGAGCUAGUCAUUUUUGGAAGAUAUGCUACGAUGGAGAAUUGGGACCCUUGUAUUUUGUUUCUCGAGGGAUGUGGAUUAGUUGAUAACUAUUUAUAUGUAGUGAUCAAUUCAGUUGAGUUUUUUGUAGUUUUUUUUUAAGCUGAUUUUUUGUAGUUGAAAAAAGUUUGAAAUAUAUCAUGUUACAUUCUCAAUGUUUAUCAUACAUUAUUUUAGUCACACAUGCUUAAAAAAAGAAAUAAGUGAAAUAAUGAGUGAUUAUUUUACAUACUCCACUCUGUUUUAAUAAACAGAAUACCAAACAAAAAAAAUAAUGAUAUGAAAUAAAUUAUACACUGUUUGAUGGUUAACGGAAAUAUAAUGAUUGACCUUUUAUAGUUUUCAUCUGCUAAUGUAUGUUUUGUGCUGCAUCAAAAUGAAACAAUGAUCAUGGGUGGCUCUUGUAGAGACCAUAAAACUAGUUUGGCAUGUUUAGGCUAACGCGUCUCAAUUCCAAUGGAUCUUUUCUUUUUGUGGUUCAACAGUUCAACAUUUCUAAGCACAAUUUGCUUAAGAAAUAGCCAGAUGGAGCGGAAUUGAAAUUGAAAUUUGUUGAGGGGGGCUUUACAUAAUUUCACCAAAGAAGGCGGGGGUUUACAAUUACAUAAAAACAAAACAAGCCGACCAGUGACCACAGCUGUGACUAAACCCCCAGGGCCUCUAUCAAAGCCCGAAACGCCGUCGUUGAGUGUCUAGAGUCUGUUGAAUCAUGAAGUUCCGGUACGCCAUGGUGUGCUCCUCCAACCAGAACCGGAGCAUGGAGGCUCACGCGCUCCUCAAGCGUCAAGGCUUCGACGUCUCGUCGUACGGCACUGGAUCCCACGUUAAGCUCCCUGGACCUUCCCUCAGAGAACCCAACGUCUACGAGUUUGGAACUCCUUAUAAGCAGAUGCUUGACGAGCUGAGGCGAAAAGACCCUGAAUUGUAUCCUUCCUCUAAACUUGUCCUUCAAUUUCUUUCAAUGGGGGGUUUUUCAAAGGUUUUUGCUUUAGUUAUUGGUCAUAUUAGUAUAGUUAGUUAAACCAAUUGUGAAUUUUAUGAUUAUGAAAUUGAUAAUUGUAUGCUGCACUAGUAUGUGAUUAAGAUUUUAGGGUCAAUUCCGAGUUCUGUUUGCCAUUUUUUGAAUAUACAAUCUGGUAUUAUAUGUGUCAUGAACUUAUUCCGGUGGCUUUUGUGUGAUUGGAUUUUAUGGAUUAUGUGUUGGAGAGUAUAGAAUAGUCAAUGAUGUUGAAAACUGUUGUUGAUAGUAUGAGUACAUUGCUUCUGUUUUGUACAAUGUGGGUUUGGAUUGUGCUUGUGUGUGACUGUGUACUCUGCAUUGUAAACCAUGCUAGUUUUAUGUUGAGCCUUGACAAUAAGGAUGCAGGUACAAGCGGAAUGGCAUUUUGCCUAUGCUCAAGAGAAACGUGGCAGUUAAACUGGCACCUCAGCGGUGGCAAGACAAUGCCGCUGAUGGUUCCUUUGACGUGGUGAUUACUUUUGAAGAAAAGGUUUUUGAUAUGGUGGUUGAAGGUUGGUAAUGCUUCCCUUCUCCUAUUUAUGGCUUGUAUCAUAUGCAUUUCAAAUAUGUGGUAUAUCCCAAAUCAAAUAAAUGUACCUGUUCUGUUGUUAUUAUUUGCUUCCUUGGGAAUAUGUUUGUACUGCAAUGUUGGAACAUGAAUUGGUGGUAGAGCUGUUCUCGAUUCCUUAAUAAUGUGUCUUAGACACAGACUGCUGUACUGUAUGAAUGAGGAUGACAUAAGAUAAUGGGCAAUUCAACUUAUGUUUUUAAGUUCUAGGUAUAAAAUCCCUGUCAGCUUUAGUAUUAGUUGAGAUGGUUGCUGACACAUUAAAAUGAUAACAGCCAUCUUCUAAAUCGGAUCUUUGACAGACAAGGGUGAGUUGUAAGUAAAUUAGAAACUUGGAGUUUCAUGAUCCUGUUCAAACUUGUAGAUACAAUUUGCUUGGUAUGCUCUCAAUAGAUGGUUAAAUAUUAUGAAGAAAACAAGUUUAUUCUAUAGAGAUGUUGUAAUAAGGUUUCUUAUUCCGAGAGCUCUAGAGGGUUAAUUUAUCUGAAGUUGAAAGUUUUGAACAGUUUAGUACAAUUUUGAAGCUGUAGCUGUAGGGUAGGAUCGAAAACUGAUAUCUGCUGGUUUGAGAUUACAUGUUGUAGGCUUGCAUAUGGUUUCCAAGAGAAAGCCAUGGCUGUUGAGAGAUUCUUGUUAUGCAUAAAAGAUGGAUAUUGCCAACAUAAUGAACAGGGUUUUGGUUAUUUCCUUAUGAGUUUGACUUCGCUACGUCUCACAGAUCAUUCUUUACUGUUGAAGUCUUUUAAUUAAGCUUUUGUCAGAAGUUUGGAUGUUCUAGAGUUAUCUGUAUCUUAAUCGGGGACUUUGAACUUUAAGCAUCUGUAUUUGGCUUUUGUACCUAUUCAGAAAAGAAUAAUAAGUUCUCACUAAUCCAACUGAUAGAAGCUUUGAAGCUUGCUGCACCAUAUGUUUUUGUUCAGUUUAUAUUUCUAUGAAAAUACAUAGAGUAUAAAUGAAUAUGUAACUUGAAGACUCUAUUAGUUUGUCUAACCACUGUGUGCUGCAAUGUACAGAUCUUCACAAUCGGGACCAAGUGCUUAAGAAGUGUGUACUGAUAAUCAACUUGGAAGUAAAAGAUAACCACGAGGAAGCAGCUGCGGGAGCUCGUCUUGCUUUAGAUCUUUGCCAAGAGGUCCGUAUUUGAAUACUGCUCUAAUUGAAUUCUACAUUGUAAAACACUGAUUGAUCUCCUUUUUUUUCUUUUUUCUUUUUUCGGCCUAGCUUGAUGCGACUGAGUCAUGGGAGGAUUCAAUUGACGACAUUCUGAAUGGUUUUGAGAAACAACAUCGGCGGAAGUUACUGUAUAGCAUCUCAUAUUACUGAAUCUGUUAUGUCAGAAACAAAAAGUUCAAGAACCAAUUUAACCACUAAUUGCUCUCCCUAUUUUAACAUUCUUGCAUAAAGACUCCAAUUUCAAUACAAAUCUACCAUCAAUUUUGCUUGUAGUAACAUCCAUUUCUACUACCAUCCUCAGUUCUUUAUGUUGCAAGUUGCAACGAUCCAUUAAUGAGCUUAAGUUUGAAUUUUGCACUCUAAAGUUAUCGAUGGCCACUGCAAAAGUAACAGACUCGCUGCUUGGCAGCCACCUAUUGAAAACUAUGCAUCUUUUUUCGAUUGCUGAACGAAAACACACAUACACAUUUGAAAACUAUACCUAUAAACUGAAUGGCCAAGAUGUAGAUAUAAGAUCGAAAGGUGGGAUAAGCCGAAAAGUUUUCACCAAGUUCUUAACUUAAGGGUCCUCACUAGAAGAGUUUCCCAUGCGUUAUGUUGAAUUUCUAUGUGCAUAAACAUACAGGCGUUAUGCGUUAUGUUUAAUUUCUGUGUGCAUAAACGUUCAAUAAUAUUCGGGGAAGGAGAGCAAGAAUUAACUGAUGAAAAUGUUUUAUAUAAUAUUUCAGAGUAUUGAAAUUCUUUUUUAACAGAAAAAUUGAAGGCGGGAGAGAAAAUAAGCAGCGAAUGGUGAUACGUCACGUGGUGGCGUCAUCGGGGGCGCAGCAAAAACUUCAAUAACUGUGUGUGUGGAUUGGCGGUGGCUAUGUCCAAGUCUGAACUGUCAAAGAAAACAAAGAGAAAACAAGAAGAAAAAAGCUCUCUCUUGCUUCCAUUUGGGAGGAAGCGCCCCCCAAACUUUCAAAUCAUCCACUCCAUCGUUGACAUAUCAAAUCUCAACCCAAACACACAUUUCCCCUGAUUCUUCUCUCUCUUCCAUUUUCCGUUUUUCUCGCGAUUCCUCUAACCGCCGCGCCAUGGCGACUCCGGAACCGGAGGACGGGAAAAGCUGGGAGGAGCUACUGCGAAAGAUGCUACCUUCCGGCGCGCCGUUGCCGGACGAGGACCAUCUCGACUACUCCAUCGCCGUUGAGUACGUCGGCCCUCCGCUCUCCUACGAAGUCCCCAAGGUUGAUCCGGUCGACGUCGAUUCGCUUCACAGCGCCUCCGUCGUUUCGGCCUCGGCUUCCGAGCUUUCGUCGAUUCCGGUGGCCGAGCCGCUCGAUCAGAACCCCUCUCGGUUCAGCCGGAUCAGAAACGGCGACGCCGCGAACGAAACGCAGACCUCGACGUCGUUUUCGGUAGGUUUCAGCUCUGAGUUUUCAGCGCAGGACUCGAAUUCGGAGCCGAAACCGAUCGAGCACGACGGCGGAGGUGGAGGAAAGAGAGCGGCGGUUGUGACUUUCAACACGCCGAGAGAAUCGGAGACGGAGGACGACGGCGACCUGUCGGCUUCGCCGAAAUCGGAACCGGUGGGGUCGCCGGUGGCUUGGGCUUCGCCGAUGAGGUUAGCGAGUAAGAGAGGGAUUUGCAGCCGAUGUGGAAAAGGGAACAGAUUGAAGGAGAGGGAGUGGUGCUUGGUGUGUGACUCAAAGUAUUGUAGUAACUGUUUGCUUAAAGCUAUGGGCUCAAUGCCGGAGGGGAGGAAAUGCGUGAGCUGCAUUGGGCGGCCUAUAGACGAGUCCAAGAGGGCUAGUUUGGGCAAGUGUUCAAAGAUUCUUUCUAGGGUUUGUAGUCCUUUGGAGAUUGGGCAGAUAAUGAGGGCUGAGAAGGAGUGUCCGGCCAAUCAGCUCCGGCCGCAGCAGUUAGUUGUGAAUGGGAGGGAGUUGAGGGAAGAAGAGCUGGGUGAGAUUUUGGGAUGUGAAGUACCUCCUCAGAAGUUGAAGCCUGGGAGAUACUGGUACGAUAAGGAUUCGGGCCUCUGGGGGAAGGUAAUGGAUGAGCUUUUGAUGUGUUAUUGCUGGUGUUUCUUUUUUGGAUUUGUGUUUUUGAUUGUGUGUUUGAUUUCAGGAGGGAGAGAAGCCUGAUUGUGUCAUUACUCCGAAACUGAAUGUUGGGGGUAAGCUUCGGGCUGAUGCCAGCAAUGGGAACACUAACGUAUUCAUGAAUGGUAGAGAGAUCACCAAGAUUGAGCUUAGGGUGCUCAAGGUAUGCAAAAUCAGUGACUAGAAGCGCACAUUGACUGAACUUAAUCAACUUAUCUGUUAAUUGUGUCAUUAGUGGAAGUCUGAGCUUAUUAUUUGGUUCAUUUCAGCUGGCCAAAGUGCAGUGCCCUCCAGAUACGCAUUUCUGGGUGUAUGAAGAUGGUACAUAUGAGGAGGAAGGGCAGAAUAACAUUAAGGGGAACAUAUGGGGAAAGGUUCUCUCGUACCUGUGAAUGCUGGAAUUUUGUUGUCUUUCGUAGGAGUUUGAAAUUUAGAUAAAUGAGUUUGAGUCGAAUUUUAAGACAAUUGCAGUUUGGUUUUUGUCAGGCAGGCAUCCACCCGUUUCAUUUGUUCAUUAUUCUCAUUGCCUGUACCAUCUUGUAAUCAAAAUGGGGCAAGAGAAGAUCCUUCAGCACAACCUUCAAGUAGGUCCAUACCUGAAUACUUGGAUCAGGGAAGGGUUCAAAAACUGUUGUUAUUUGGCCUGGAGGGAUCUGGAACUAGCACUAUCUUCAAGCAGGUGACUUUACGUUUUGCUGCUUUUGCUCCAGUAUAUCCUUGCUGGGCUUGACAAGUGUGAUGUUGAUUAAAUUAUAUGACAAUUUAGAAUGCGUAGUUUAUCCUUCGUUUUCUCCACAUAAUAGGCCAAGUUCUUAUAUGGGAACGAGUUCACUCCUGAGGAGGUGCAGAACAUGAAGCUAAUGAUUCAAAGCAAUAUGUACAAGUACCUAAGUAUAUUACUUGAGGGCCGAGAACGUUUUGAAGAUGAAGCUUCAUUGGAGAAAACGUCUGAUUCGCCAUCAGGUCUCUAUUUAUUUAAUUGUACUAUUUUCAUUUUCUUCGUUUUCUGUUGGCAACACUGUUAAUAAGUUGAAACUUAGGAAACUAGCUAUUUGUUUGGUCCAUCUUUGCAAGUUGCAAUAUCUUCUCAUGACUCUUGAUACAUUGUGGUUGUUCAGUUAUGAGCUUGUACUAAGCCACGCAAACAGACUUUUGUUCCUUUGUUCUAUGGGUAAAAGGCUUUGGAAUCAGUAAUUAUGAAUUUGCUCUUUGCUAUGAAAACCAAAUGUAACAUUUGGUUUAUUUGUUUGCCUCCGUUUAAUAUCUCAUAUUACAUGGAUUUUGGUUGCUUUUAAUAUGGAUAGAAUAAAUUUCACAGGCAUGCUGAAUAGUACAUUUUUUUUUUGAAGAUUGUAGAGGAAACAUGUUUACACGUCUUAGGGAUAUAGAUGAUUUUGCUUAUUUGGUUCUCUGCAUGUAGGCAUUAAUGACCCUUAGAACAGUGGUUGACUGAAAUGAAUUUAUUUGAAACAGUAGUUGAUGAAAGUAAGCAAUGCAUCUAUUCAAUCAACCAAAGAUUCAGGCACUUUUCUGACUGGUUGCUGGAUAUCAUGGCAACCGGAGACUUGGAUGCAUUCUUCCCUGCUGCUACACGUGAGUAUGCUCCUAUUGUAGAUGAAGUUUGGAAAGAUUCUGCCAUCCAGGAAACAUACAAAAGAAGGGAGGAAUUACAUUUUCUUCCAGAAGUUGCCAAGUAUUUCUUAGAUCGGGUUAGUUAUACCUUGUUUUGUCCGCACAUCUUUUAACUCCUACUUCAACCAGAUUUAUUCUUUUAUUUUGUCCAUCAAUAAGGUUACACCUGAAUAUGUUUAAUCAUCUUGUGUGGACUUGACAGUGUCAUAACGACGUGCCAACAUAAACUUUUAUGGCUUUUCUUCUGUUGUUUUGUAACAAUUCCUAUAUUUAUUAUGCAGAGAAAAUGAGUCUGUCUUUAUUUUUUAACCAAAACAGAUACUGGACUGAAUUAUGAAAUAUCAUAUUUGUUAACACUGUUUAAAAUAUGAAUUUUAUUGAUCACUGAACUGGUAGUAUUCCACUAAUCGAAAUUUUAAAUUUAGGAUAUUCAGCUCUAUAACUAUCUAAUUUAUAUUACAUGGCAUAAAUGUGGUAUCAUUAACAGAUAGAUGGAUUCGAGCAAGCUGGAUAGGUUUUAUUAUUAUUAUUUUUUCUGAGUUUGACUACAUUUCAAAUCUUCGGGUUGUUAACCUCAUGGAUAUUGGUGUUUCAUUUGAACAGGCUAUAGAAAUAUCUAGUAACGAGUAUGAGCCAACCGAGAAGGACAUUUUAUAUGCUGAAGGAGUUACUCAAAGCAAUGGCCUUACCUCUCUAGAAUUUUCAUUUGACGAUAGAAGCUCCAUGUCUCAGCUAUACAACGAAAACUAUGAAUGCCCCCCUCCUCUAACCAAGUAAAACCUUUGUUCUUUCACCCCUAAUCAGAGUGAUUUCUGUCUUCUUAUCUUCUUUUUGCUUCUCCUGAAAUCAUCAAGCUAGUCCUCACAAGGUUUUCUUGUCUCAGGUACCAACUAAUUUGUCUUAGUUCUAAGGGACUGAAUGAUGGGUGCAAAUGGCUGGCAAUGUUUGAGGAUGUGAGGGCAGUGAUCUUUUGUGUUGCUUUGAGUGACUAUGAUCAAAUGUGGGCCCUUGGUAAUGGGCGUCUUCAUAAUAAAAUGCUGGCAAGCAGAGAUUUGUUCGAGAGUUUGGUGAGGCACCCUUGUUUUAGUAACACUCCAUUUGUUCUGGUGCUGAACAAAUAUGAUGCAUUUGAAGACAAGAUAGCCCAGGUUCCCUUGUCAGCUUGCGAGUGGUUCAAGGACUUCAAUCCUGUUAAGCCGCACAAUAAUAAUCAGUCUCUAGCUCAGCAAGCAUAUUACUAUGUGGCAGUGAAAUUCAAAGAACUCUAUUUGUCCCUGAGCGGUCAAAAGUUAUUUGUAGCGCAAACUCGAGCUAGAGACGGUAACUCAGUUGAUGUGGCAUUCAAGUACAUCAGGGAGAUCCUCAAAUGGGAUGAAGAGAAGGAUGAUAAUUUCUUGGGGAUAAAUGGGGAUGACUCAUUUUACAGUACAGAAAUGAGUUAUUCUCCACAUCUCAGGCAAGAGUAAAACCACUGUUGUGUUUGGCUCGGUCAAGUCAGCAUUGACAAGUGAAAGUUGAAGGCGUCAUGAAGGCUUUGCCAUUCAUGCUACCACCACUUGUAGAAGGUAGAGUAGCAAAUUGAUCGAUCACACUGGAAAAUUGUUUACUUAUUAAUUUCUUUUUUAUUGUUUCAUUUUUCGGUUACACGUCGAUUUGCUUCUUUCUUCUUCUGUUCUUUCUUUGUAGGCUGGAUGUGUAUUAUAGGGUAGGCCGGAUUUCUUUUCAAGCUUAUUUGCCAUUCUGGCUGAUUAGGUACACGAGAUGAAUAUCGGUUCUGUAAAAUAAGCUCAUUUUGACUGGAGAUUUUUUUUUUUUCUGUACAGUGCUUCAUAUGUGAAUAAAAGCAUAUCUACUGAAGAUUCUUACAUAACAUUUGCUUCAUCCCAAUCAACCCGGGUUUUAUGCAGCAUAUGUUUAUAUCUUAAUCCUGGUAUUUGGUAUUACUCACUAGUCCUUUAACCCAAAAACAAAGAAGAAGCACUCAAAGUCAAGACCAAUCAAGAAGGUAAAGAUAGCUAAGCUUGAUUUAAAAGAAGACCAGGACUUGUUCUUACAAACUUAUUAAGGUGACUUGAUUCUAUAGAUUCUCCAGUUAUGCAAGCAAGACUAAAAUAAGAUAUAGAAGCAGCUGGAGGUAUCGGUAUUGUGCAUCUCCUCUAAAUUUCAGAAAGAAUCGUAAUGUUCUUGGUCAACGCGUCAACAGCUCACUCACAUACAUUACCCUUCCUUAACAAGCUCAUAUAUUUCUACAACUUAAUUCGUUUACUCAUAAACGUAUGAGAGUCUAUGCUUUUACCAUUUCCUCUUUGACGGUUUGCGGAUUUUUAAGUUUUCAAACCUUCAACGGUCAACAUUCAAAUACUACUAUUUCUCACUAAAACCCUCCUCUUUCGUUCAAACUCCUCUCUAUAUAUGUACACGGCCUCAACUCUCAAACUUUGAACACGGCUGCGUGUGAAACCCUUCCCUACUACAACACACCAAUACAUAAAGCCCUUCACCUCCCUCCUAUAUUUCUCACAAUCACAAGCUUCAUUCUUUAGCUCUCAAUAUCUGAAAAAACUUGUACUAUACUACUAGCACUAAAAUGGUUUUGGGUUGGAGAAGAAGGCGCAGCACCACCAGCCACCGUGCCACCGCAGCGAAGAAGCAGCCUUCGCCUGGCAACCUCGACAUGGACCAACUCGUGAUCCCAAAGCAUUUUCUCUGUCCGAUAUCUCUUGACUUGAUGAAAGAUCCGGUCACAUUGUCCUCCGGGAUAACCUACGAUCGGCAAAGCAUUGACACGUGGUUGGAAGCCGGGAACUUCAAGUGUCCGGUGACGAAUCAGGUGCUGAGAAACUUUGAUAUGAUUCCUAACCAUACUCUCCGAACAAUGAUCCAAGAAUGGAGCUCUCAGAACCAACGCUUCGGCAUUCACCGUGUUCCAACUCCUAGAGUUCCCAUCAUGGCAGUUGAGGUGUCCGAGAUUCUGUAUAGCAUCACAGCCUCAGCGAGACGCGUGGAUCAAAAUGGCUGCUUAGAGAGCGUGCAGAGGAUCAAGAAAUGGGCGGGUGAGGGUGACCGGAACAAGAGGUGCAUCGUGGAGAAUGGAGCGGCCUCUGUUCUUGCAUCUGCAUUUGAUGCUUUUGCUAGCGAUGGCAUAAAGAAAAAUGGUCGGCUGUGUGAAGAAAUCUUAUCAGCUUUGAGUUGGAUGUUGUUUCAGUCAUUAGAUGAAGAAACCCAAAAGUACUUGGGAUCUCAUGCUUCUUUGGAUUGCUUGGUUUGGUUCCUCAAGGGUGAUAAAGAUCCUUUGGUGAAGCAAAACUCGAUUCUUGUAUUGAAAGAGCUUCUGUCUAGUUGCAAUGAUCAGAACAAACGUGCAGUUGAAGCAUUGGCAGAGAUUGAAGGAGUCAGUAAGAUACUUUUCGAUUUCAUCAAGGGGAAAGUUUCCAUGACAAUUACCAAGGCUUCUUUAACAGUAGUCUUCUACUUGGUUUCAUUCAGUGAGAAGUUCAGAUCAGCAUUCUUGGAGAUGGGUGUGGUUUCCCUUUUGUUAGAGACCAUUCUCGACUCGGAGAAUGGCAUAACCGAGAGGGCUUUGUAUAUUUUGGAUUGUCUUUGUGACUGCAAAGAAGGGAGAGAGCAGGCCUAUGCUAAUGCUUUGACUAUACCAGUUUUGGUGAAGAAGAUUUUGAGGGUGUCGGAAAUGGCAACCGAGCAUUCAAUCUCUGCUGUUUGGAAGCUGUGCAAGAAUGCGACUAGGCAAGAAGAGAGAGUACUUGUUGAGGCUCUUCAAGUUGGUGCAUUUCAGAAGCUGUUGCUGGUUUUACAAAUUCGUUGCGCAGGCGAAUAUGGCACAAAGGAUAAAGCAACUGAGCUUUUGAAGCUCUUGAAUCCAUACAGAGCUGGAUUGGAAUGCAUCGAGUCUGUAGAUUUCAAGAGUAUUAGAAGGUCAUUCUGAGAUUCUUUACAAAGAGAAAUUCUGUUCUUUGAUUUCUUUCUACUAAUUUAUACUUCAUCAAUUUGAUGAACACAAUCAUUGCAGACUGUUAAUUUGUUAGAAUAAUAAUUUGUUCUCCAGAGUUGUACAAUACUGCUAUUAAGUGGAAUUAAGAAAUGACAUACUAUUCAUUACUGAAUGUUUCUCACUUUCUUGUCUAGCUAUCUGUUUGGUUCCAUUUUCCCUUUAGAUGUCACACCAGUUAGUCACGAUGUUUAUAUCAAUUAAGUCAUUAAGCAGCGAUGGAUGGAUGUGUUUGCAACAUGGUUUAGAAAAAGAAAGUGCCGCACCUUAAGGGAAAAAACACAUGAUCAUGCACAUCCUUUUGCCCACCUCUUGGUGGCGACUGAACGUCGGCAUUGAGCAUCAACCAUCAGUGUUCUAAUAAAGACAAGCAAAAGAAGAAGAAAUAUUGUAAUUGCUUAGUUUUUAUUUAGGAUUAGGAGAAGUUGGAAGCAUACAUAUAUGUUGUUGGAUCUCAUAACAUAUAUAGGAACAAUAUAUAGAAAGAUGAAUGAUUUGAUUACUGGAAUAUAACUAUAAUGGAUGCACUUUUUUUAAAGUGUAAAAUUUAACAGCGUACAUAUCCACGCCUCAUGUUCAUGAUCGUGUAACGAUGCUAACGUUGGCUCUUCAAGUGAGGCUAAGCACAUCAAAGAAAAUGUUGUAUGCUCUUCCAAUCUUGUAUAAACCAACUCCCAAAAAGAAAACCAGAAUUUUCACCAAAAAUUUUAGACUACAACACAAGUUUCAGCUGAAACGGCACAUUUUAAUUAAUUUUAAACCCGACUUCGGUGACAAGGUGACCACAUCUAAUGAAUAUAAGACACGUGUUAAUUUUAAAAAAGGCUUGACUGUAAUUUAAGGACAUAACAAGAGGGUUUUGGGUAUUUAGUAUGUUUGUUUAUAAUUAUUGUUGACAAUUAUCAAUCUCUUAUUGGGGUUUGUCACCCAUAAAUGAUCAUAGCUGGUCACCCAAGUUAUUUCCAUUAAUUUCUCGGAGCGGAUUCAGUGCACCAUGGUGCACUGGAACCAAACGGAUUAAGUAAACGGUGUCAAAAAGAAUCAAACCACAGUAAAAUCUCAUAACUUCAUCAUCUCUCCCAAUCACUCCCCAAUUUCUCUCUGUUCUCCCCUUCCCUCUCCAUUACAUCUCAGUCCCUUUCAAUUCACCGCCCCCCCCGGCCCCGGUUUCCUCCAAUUCCUUCAACUCCCGACCGCGUCUCCGUCGCCGGGAACGGGUAAUUAGAAUGCUGACUGUCGCUAGUUGAUUAUGAUUCUGGGGAAUUUGAAAUUUUUGGGCUCCAGGGGUUUUGGGUCUAGGUAGAUCCCAAAUUGGGUAGAAUGGUUUAGAAGGUUUUGAAUUCCUUAUUGGGUGAAAGUGCAGCAAAAUUUAGCUCUGCAGUUUUGUUUCCUCAUCAAAGAAAACUAAUUGGGUGCCAGCCUUCCCAGCCAUCCCUCCCGAUUUCGUAUUGGGUGAAAGUUGCACAGUUGUUGCUGUGCCAACAAAUUUUGUAGAUGAAUCCGUCUUCAGUUUCUUUAAAUCAUAGGAUGUAGAAUAUCAUAUGUGCACCUUCUUCUUCUUCUUGAUCCUUCAGUCUUCUGGUACCUUACUUGUUUCUACAAGUUUUACCAUGGUUAAAUUUUUGGGGUUUCAAUUAUAUUUGACGGUGUGAGUGUUGAAGUUUGUUUCAUGUAGAACUUAGAUUAAAUCAAUGGCUGAGAUUGCAUUAUCACAGUUGGUUCACUUAUACCUCGGUGUAUACAAGAACUUUCGUUAAUUUCUCUAAAAUCUUCUAGUAAUUCUAAAACCGACCGAACUUAAAAAGAUCUAAGAUUGUCAAACUGUAUCAAUCCUUAAAAGACCUGUAUAUGUGUGUGUACGUAGGAGGGGGACAAGCUGUCAAAGCUUGCACAUUUGGAAUGUGAUUUUUUAUGCAUCUUUUCAAACAGCCUCCGAGUGGGAAUUUGGAAGGACUAGGAGCGGAGCCUUGUUCCAACUGUGGCACAUUUGGAAUGUGAUUUUUUUGUAUCUUUUCAAACACCCUCCGAGUGGGAAUUUGGAAGGACUAGGAGCGGAUCCUUGUUCCAACUGUGGCCAUAUACAAAACAACGGCGUAUAGUCUAAUUCGGCUACUUCGUUAAGAAAAGGCAAACAUUCAUGCUGAGACUCAUUUCGUCCAAUUCCAAAGUAUAACAAGAACACAAUCAAAUGUGAACUUAGUUCAUGCAAUUUUUCAAGAACAGUAGAAAGGAAAAUAGAUGCAGCUGAUUUUAGCACUCAUUUCGCAGACCAAAUGCAAUUCCGUCAUGAAAUAAAAGAGUGUGUUUGAUAGGUCAAUGCAGACGCAAAGUUAUGGCUAAUAUAUUAAGCAACCACCCUCCAGCGUUCAGAUGGGUCAAUGCAACCUGUAACUCAUACAAAAUCAUUCUCAUACUUCACGAAUCACGACUUCACCAGCACAAACAAUUCGUAUUGUAAUCCAAAUUUCAAACAGGCAUUCGUAUGCAUACUGAAAUUUCCAAAGCUGAGACUUUGCUUAGAUCUAAAUUUCAGUCUGGACUUUAGGCAUCUCGUGUCCGUUGCAAUGGAAGACCUCACUUUGGACAGAACUUGUUUCAUUAUAGCUUUUUAUGGUAUGAAGACUAGAACAGAAUUACAUUCACAUAUCUGAAAUCUAGAUUCACAUAUGUACAUAAUAAACGGUUCUACUUGUGCAGAAGAGAGAUCCUGCCUCUUAUGUUGCCCCUAAGCAGUUCAAGAUAACUACUGGACAACUCCAUUUUUACUAUAAUACUAUUCUUUGUACUACUGUUUAUAAUAAACAGUGUUUAACAGUGAUGGGUCAGGUGUUGGGCCUGGUUAAUCCUUGGGGGAUUACCAAGUUCCUACAAUAUGCAACAACAGGUUCAAAUUUCUAGCAUCUAGCUUAGUUAUAGCAUACACACGAGUAGCGGUGUGGCUUUGUUGUACCAUAUGCUUAAACAAGUACAUGAGCAGUCCAUUCUUUAAGGUAGUCUACUAGUCCUGUAGUCCAUAUCAAACCUAAAGUACCUGUGGGGAUGACGAGCAAUCGUCAACAAAAUCAAGGCCAAAAUGAUCACAUGUUCAAACAAAUUUCAUCAUCACACCAGUCAUGGACAACUUUGGAGCACUUUUAAGUAGAUUGAGCUAUCAUGCUAAAACACAUACUAGAUAGAUGUCUCCUGAUGGUUACCAGACAAAUUCAAAACAUUACAGUAGUACUAAGGUUUGGUUUCCCAUUAAUAUGAACUCAGUUGUUUCGGCUUCAAAAGAACAAUCAUACAUGAGAACAUACUGAACAGCUACUCUUCCUUGAACCUCUUCUCCACUUCCUCCAAGCUUUCAAUAUCCUUGUAGUACUUACAGAUACGAUAGAUACACCUGUGUAAAGAUUUGUACAACAUUUUAAACCACAAUAAAUCAAUUAGGGGCACAAAAGUUCUAUUUCAGAGAAAAUGUAAGGGAAUUUGACAGCUAACCAACAUACCAGUAAAGAAGACAUGCUGCAGAGCAGAGAAUUACAUUCCUUUGGGCCUUGUAGAGCUGCAUGACAUAUUUGUUGGUGUCAAGUCAAGAAUAAUGUUAUUUAGAAUGAAAGACUCAGAACUCACAUAUUUCAACUUCAUGACUGACAGAGGGCUAAGAACAUCAAACCAUAAUGAAGUUAAUACUGGACCGGUCAACUCUAUAAUUCUCCAAGGAAAUGGAAAAUGAUAACUACAUUAAGCUAUGUGAAUGGUGCAGAAGGUUGUUACUACAGUUCGAAGUCCUGAAUGGUUUCACAGGACAACGUAGGCUGCGGUAAUGCAUUGCCUUCUAACUACAGCAUUUGGUGGCUACUAUAGUAGGUUCCUAAUCACUCAGAAAAUCCUACGGUACUACAUAACCCAACUUCACUUCUUAAAACCUUGCUGAUCAAGUUCCACCCAACCAAACCGUCAUCUUGACUCAAUUGUGUGCCUCAGAUUAUGAAAACAAAACUUUCUGAAACUCAUCUAAAAUGAAGCUACAGUCAACAGUUCCUUCAACAUUCUCCAAAUGAGCAAACUUUUCCUCCACACUGUUCCUCAAUAACCCAUACACCAAGCAAGCCCGGAAAAGUAAGCGGAAUAGAAAUCGGCUCAGGAAUAAACAGUUACCAGGAUUUAAAUCAUUUAAAUAGAAACAAUCCUAACGAACAUUCGAAACAACCCUGCAAUCUAAUGCCAUAAAGUAUAAAUUCUAUAGAAACACUGACUUUAAGUCACUAAUCAAACAGAACAAUGGCAUCGUAGCAUCCAUCAUAUCCUACUAUUACUUUCUUUUUCAAUUUUCUUCAACAAAAUCAAAUUUCUCAGAAUCUAAACCACAAAAAAGUAGUUAGGAAAACUGACGGAUUUCUCAGAACGGUCUCGCUCAGCAGCAGUGCAGAUGUCUGAGGUGCACGUCAAACGAUGCUCCAUCUUCCAGUAAAUAUCUACACAAACAAACAAAAUCAAUCUCCAAUUCCAAUCUCUAGAAAUCAUCACAAAUCCCUAAAACGCAGAUCGUGGAAAUAAUAUCAUAGAAAUGAAACAGAGAUCGAACCGAGGAGCUGGAAUCCGGCGAAGGGGACGACGAAGAGCGCCGGCUGGAGAAUGAGAGAGAUCAAAGACACGAAGCGAAACUUCAACAGCUUCGGCGCCGGGAGAGUCAGGAGAAGCGCUAUCGCCGCCUCUGCCGCCACCACAUACGUCAGUAUCAUCCACUGCAACGCCAUUUUCCGAUUCUUUGUGUCAAAAUUCGAUUUCAAUUUCUCUCUGGAUUUAUUCUUCUUCUUUUGCAGCUACUUGUCUUAAUUGCCAAGGUAAGCAUCAAUCAAUCUAACCGUGUCGAUUUGUAAUCGGGUCAGUUCUCUCCCAGAGGCCCAAUAUCGACACCUCUUUGGGCCCAUCCAAAAAGUAAAUGGAAUUCAAGCCCAAUGUAAUUUGAGGUCCAAGGCCCAAACCUUAGUAUGAACGUGAUCCAGUACUCCUCAGCAUGCAUCUCCAUUAUUUGUUUCAGUACGUACCCUUGCUCAUUAUUAUGAUAUGAUCGGAAAAUGAAGGUUUAGUGGACCAUCUUAUCUUCUUUCGAUCACACCGGCCCCUUUGAUUAUGAAAAAUGCAGGUUUAGUACGAAUGAACGUGCUCCAAUACGAUUUCGACUCCUCAGCAAUCAGCAUGCAUCUCCAUUAUUAGUCUUGUCUUGUUUUGAGGUUUCGGCAACCUUGCUCAUUAUUAUGAUAUGAUCGGAAUAGUUGAGAAAGGAAAUGCAUGCAGGUUCAGUGGACCAUCUAAUCUUAUCUUUGGAUCGUACCGGCCCCUUCGACUCUGAAAAAUGCAGGUAGGAAGAUCAAGGGCUGGAGAUAAGGAUCAUUUCUAUAUUUAACCUAGCUAAUAGCGAGAGGAAAGCCAUAUCAUCACUACUUGCACUUCUCAGUACUUAAGUUGAGGUGAGGUUGAUCAUCGAUAAUUCGAUAUCAUGGCUGGUGGAGAAGAGAUUCAAGGAGUCAAUGUGUUACAAGCAUCACUGCUUGGCAAGUCUUUUGCUCUCAAGUCUGUGAACAACAGCAAGUACAUGCGGUUCCAAAGUGAAGAAGGUGAGAGGCAGGGCUUUGUGCGGUUCACAACAACCGAUGUUGUGCAGGAGCCCAGAGCCAAGUUUGAAGUGGAGGCGGCGGAUGGCGGCGCCACGAAGGGGAUGGUGCAUAUCCGGUGCUGCUACAACAACAAAUACUUGAGGAGGUGGGACAUCGACCACCACUGGAUUGUAGCCGGUGGUGACAAAAAGGUGGAAGAUCAAACCCACUGGACAUGCACACUGUUCGAGCCUGUGCUAGAAACACCGGCAGAUAGCGAUAAGGACACCAAGGCAGUCAUCCGGCUGCGCCACGUCCAGCUUGGACGCUAUGUCAUGCAGUUCACCCCUCAUGAGGACUUCAAAGAAUGCUUGUUCCCCAUGUCCGACAAGCCUUAUAACGGCAACUAUGAUCUCUUCGAAGUCCUGAAUUGGGCGUCCUUGGUGGUGCUGCCAAAGUAUGUUGCAUUCAAAGGCAACAAUGGAAAAUAUCUAAAGGCGGAUCCAAGUACUAAACAGCUGAGAUUCAACUCCACUGACAUUGGGGAGGAAGGUGUGGCAAUGGAGGUCGAAUCCUUUGCAGAUGGAUAUGUUCGCAUUAAGGGCUUUAAGCAUUCCGAUGGGCUUUACUGGGGUACUAUUCCUUGGUGGUUUAAUAGUCUUGCAAUGAAUGGAACGGUUGGAUCCGGAACCAGUCUAGAUCUCAAUACAGCAUGGUUUUUGCCGGUCAAGGUUGAAGAUAAUGUGAUCGCUCUCAAACACUUUUCUACGCACAAGUUCUGCCGUAGAGGUGUCACUCUCUACAUCGUUGAAGAGCCUGAGGAGUUCAUAGCUAACGCAAGUAGUAUUACAGAAGACACAAAACUGGAGAUGCAUGAGGCUGUUAUCAAAAGGACCAUCUCCAUGAAUUACCGCCUCGACGAUGCCAGGAUCUACAACUUGGCCCCCGUCGCGUUAGACAGGUUCACACACGAUAACCAUGACGACCAUGAGAUCUCUAAAACGGUCACGCUCACCUACAGAAAUGAUGUCACUACUAACUGGGAGGCCAGCAAUACGUGGACGGUGGGUGUUUCGGUCUCGAUCGAGGUGGAAGCGAUUCCAUUCAUCUCUAGUGUCUCCGUCGAAAUGUCGGCGUCGUUUGGCGGAUCAUACACUUGGGGAGAAGCAAAGACGCAGGGACAUGAUAUCUCGGAGUCGGAUGUGUAUACAGUGAGGGGAAAGCAUAGGCUGACUGUGAGCAAACUUGCCACAAGGGGUCAUUGUGACGUCCCUUACUCUUACGUUCAGACAGACUAUCUCCAAAACGGCCAAAUUAUCACCAGUGAAAAGGCUGAUGGCGUUUUCAGAGGCGUCAAUUGCUUCGACAUCCACACCGAGUCCGACCAAACACCACUGUGAUCGAUCAUCCUAGCUAUCCGAUUGAUUGAUUGGUAGUAAAUCAAUCGCAUGAUUUGUUGCUUUCUUAAUUAUUGCUUUUGGUUUUCUUGUCAUGAAGCUAAUAAAGGCAAGCUUGUUGCGUGUGCUAACACAGAUCAACGGCUGCAACCAGCUAGCUAGGGGUUUGAUUGGUGUUUGUUGCUUUGGAUUUUCAUUGUUAUGCAAUGUACGUUGUUGAUUAAUAAAAUCUCUGUUUCGUUUUACGUUCUUGGUUUCUUGAGAGUGUUCAAGUAUAUCGAUCUUUGUCUGAGGCUGAGAUCAGGUUCAUCAAACACAAGGGUAGGCUGCCAACCCAAACUGAAGGGUACUCGACUUCUUUACCAAAGGUUGCAUGAUACCAUAUUAAUCACACAAGUUCACCUCAUUCGUGAGUCGUGAUAGCAAAGUUCAUAUUUAAGAGGAACAAUAUUAGUGACUCUGCGGCCUUCAGUUAUAACCGCAGUGAAGAUGGAUUUCUUGAUUUUCUUCCUCAUCUAAGAUACAGCUAAUAAUUCUAAUCGAAUCGUGAUCUUAAUUAACUUAAUGAAGCACAUUUGCGACUAGAGAACUAGCUACAGACGUGGAUACUUCUGUCUUCUGCUCCAUACGUACAGUAAUAAUGUAAAUUCACUACAAGCUAUCUAGAAACUUACUUCGAUCUAUUUUCAUUUUUUUUCUUUCUUCAAGCCUCCAUUGCCUCACAGAUGAUCACAUCAACAGGUAAUUAAGCAGUUAGAAGAGUCUGCAUUAUAAUACAGUUAAGUGAGUUUACAAACCUAACUGACUACUUGAGAACCAUCAGAGAACUCUGACAACUGAGAAAGUCUUGUAGAUUCGAGCAAUUGCAUCAGUUUCUUGUUUCCACCUAUGCGGGCUUCAUCAAGUGGAGUUUUCCCCCAUCUGCAAUUCAGCAAGUACAUACAAUAAAAGGUUAAACAUGUUGCUGUACAAACUCCUUCGCAGUACUUCUUGCGCUUUUACAGAAAAUUGUACGCGAGUACGAUUAUUGGUUGCUAUGUUAUUAUUGGAGCUUGUUUAUAUUCUUAAAACACUGCUAUCAAUUCCUAUCAAAAGGAUAAGCCACAGUACCCAAUGCAUAAGCAGCUGAGAUUCUAAGGUUUCAGGACAUAGUAAUUUGAGGCACAAGAAUUAAUAAGAGUUGGUUGCUGACCACAACUCCCCAUUUUUGUCAUACUUCAAAGUUUGCUUAGUUUCAGAGACCAGGACAUCAGUUAGAAGUUAUAAUUAUCUGACAAACAAGAUGAAUAUUCAGAUUGUACCUGUCAUUUGAUAGAACACUCGCUCCUGCUUCUAAUAGUAACUCUGCCGUUGUAUACAACCCUUCUGAAGCAGCUAUAUGUAGUGGUGAUCUCUGAUCGUAAUUUUUUGCAUUAGGGUUCAUGUCAUUAGCUAAAAGCCUUUUCACGAGGUCCAAAUCCCUCCUUGCCACAGUAGCGCAGAGAAAAUCACCAGCAUCUUCAAUAGUAAGUGAUGCCCCUGCCUGAACAAGUAGAGAAGCAACUUGAUCAUGCCCAUUUUUGAUGGCUUCAAGCAAGGGAGUGUUCCCAAACUUAUCUGGUACAGCAAGUAAUACAGAAAGUUAGUCAACAUUAUAUUUCUAUUGUGCUAUUAACGUACUAGUGUGAUUUCCUUCAGAUCAUACCUGAUCUGUUUGAAAUUCUUUAGAGAAUUUGUUAAAAGGUUACCUGACAUCUUGACGUCUCCCCCUUUUUCAAUAAGAAAACGAGUAAUAUCUUCAUACCCUUUUGAUGCAGCAACAUGCUGUUCGAAAAAGAUAAACAUUGAGAGAGUCUCACGAGAAUGUAAAGCAAUUUAGUGACUACACAUAUAUAUUAGUCAUUUGGAUUCAUACCAAGGGGGAUCUUCCAGCAUAAUCCACCUUAUUUGGAUCUACACCAGCUCCAAUCAAACGUUUUACUCGAUAAAAAUCUCCAUCAUAAGCAGCGCAGUUUACUUUCAUAACCAACUCCAUUUCAUGUUUUCCAAUGUAUAGAGUGAUAUCUGAUUCCAAAAGCUUUUUCCGAGUAUUCCAGUCUUUUCCCUGUGAGUUGAGAAGCAAAGCUAAUUACAUUAUACAUUUGGAUUAUGGGUGGAAGUGAGAAAUGAAGACUACUACAAUGUCAAGUAUAUUUACCUCAAGCAGGUUAUCCAAGAUAAGCCGGCCAUCUAAGAAAUAUAUCUCCAGGAUUUCUCUGAAGGACUGUCUAUCAAGUCGUAAAACUCUACACAGUUCGCAAACCUGAACAGCAUACGGUUGGGGAGUGUUGCAAAGAAAAGAAACCUCUCCAAAUGAGCUAUAGGUUUUCAAACGCUCAAGGGGCUCAUCAUUGUCAUCAUCUUCUCUGCUUCCCUGCUUUUCCUACAAUGAGUCUUGAAUCUAUUAGGCCUAUUGGUUCGAAAAUAAGCAUAGUAUAGUUUCCUUUAACCUUCAGAUUUCAUAAAAAGGUAAACUAAUCUAGUACUGAAUGUAUCUUAUAGAUGCACAGUUGCACACAGGCAAACAGAGAAGGGUAUAUAUGUUUGAGCAUGGUUGCAUGUAUGCAUAGAUUUAUGCAUAUAGUUAUAUGUAAUUGAAAGCAGCUACUAAGUUUGGACCAGAGUAACUAUUAAAUUUGACAACAGCGCAUAAGAUGCAGAUAGCUAGGUUUUAAAUCAAAAGUAUAAAAUAAAAUAAAAGUUGAGGGAAAAUGAAAGGGAUGUUCACAAUACCAGUUCACCAUGGCAUACUAUAUAUAGGUGAUCAACUACAUCCCCCUGCUCUAUAAUAACUUCUUCUGGAAGAAAAAACUCCUCAUGAAUCCUUGUUGCCUGAUAAACGAGUAGCAUAAUUACAGUUCUUUCCUCUAAAAGAAACCGAUAGUGCAGAAUGAUUUAAGGUGGUUAUAAAAAUAAAAUGCCAAAAAUUACUGAAGAGCAGUGGCUUACAAUCUGUUUUAUGAAUCCUGUAGAGCACCCUUUAAAAAGAUGAACUUCUUUGAUGUAUGGCUCAUACAAUUUCUGUGAAAUCUGCAGUAAAGAAACCAAUAAUGUAUCAAUUCUAACAAAUAACAAACCGAUUCUAAGGAUCACAUUCUUUGCUUAAAUGCUAUAUCCACAAUUUCAGCCUGCUUGAGUAUAUGUAACAUUAGGCCUUAUGAACUUAAAGGGUGAUCAAUACCUUACUGCGAAUAGAGGCAGGAAUAUCCUGAAGAACAGCAGCUUCGGUGUAGCUGCGGUCAUACUGUAAUCUCAAAUGGUUUUUAAUUUCCUUACUUAUCCCUCUAUCAAUACUGUUUCUACUCAUGUAUUUGAUAAGGUCAGUCAUCUUGUCCCUAAACUUCUCUGUUUUUGAUCCUUUCACUAUCAACGCCGCUAUGUUACCGAGCAGAUAAGCACCAAGAAUCAUAUCAAAGGACACAUAAAACAUGAUGAAUAUCAUCUCCCUCGCAUUCACCGCAUGUACGUCUCCAUAACCUGAAAUUGCAUCAUGGAAUACAAUCAGUAAGUUAUAGCAUAUAUACUUAUCAAGUUAUACAGAGACAAGUGAGCUUAGAAGCUUAAAUUACCAACAGUAGCCAUGGUAACAACUGCAAAAUAGAGCGAUGUUAUGUAACGCUUCCAAAGAUCAAUCUCUCUGAAAUGCGCAUAGCUAUAGUCACCCAUCUUCAAACUCCCAAUCCAUGUGUAACCUUCCCUUGAUGGAGGCAUAGUAGUAGCCAGAUAGUAAAAUAUGCAAGCAGCUGUGUGUGUGCUAUAAAGUUCAACAACAAAAAGUUUGGCAAUUCUAGUAAACAGGUAAUUGAUUCUGAUAUCUUUCUCCAGUUUCUCAAAAAACUCGGUCACUCUCUGUGCCCGGCUUAGCCGUAUCCACAAUAAGUACCUCACCCACUCUUCUCUCCCAGAGGCCUGCACAGACGUACUCAAUGGUUCAAACUAAAACAAUGUCCAAUUCCAUCUACAUUGUCAUAGAAUGUUUAUUAGCAUGUAUUCUAACAAUUUAAAUUUAGGAAAGUGAAAUCCACUCUCCUCAAAUUGUAAUCCACACUCUCACUUUCUAUUUUUGUUAAUUUAAAUUUUGUCUUUAGUGACUUAACUUUUGUCUUCUUAUGAAAAAUAAUGACUAAAAAUAUAAAAUAAAAGUGUGGAUUAUAAUUUGGAGAGUGGAUUUCAACUCCUUAAAUUUACCAUUCAUUGGCUAUAAGGACAUUAUCCAGAAUAAUGGAGUGGCAAAGUGCCUGACACACCAAACACGGAUCUUACGUUUUUGGGUUUUGCCCUGUCUAAGCCAUGUAAGAUAUUAGGUUUUAGGUUUAGUUAUGUCUACAUGUCUUCAUGUCGCCGUGUCGCCGUGUCAAGAGUCCGUGUGAAUGCAACAUAGUUUUCUCUUAUUUAAAUAAAUAUAUCAACGGCGGUUAAUAAAAAAAAUUAAAAAUAGAAUGAAAAACAUACAUACCUUGUAGAUGGCAUCCCAGGGGAGGCAACCAAGGAGAUCGACGACGAAGCGAGAUUUGAGGUACCGGAGAGCGAUGAGGUGGCGAUCGUAGACAAUGCGAUGGGAAUGGAAGUCACGGUAGGCCACGAAGAAGCGGACGGUGAUAUCGAUGAGAAAGGCUAGCUGACCGACGCUGUCGAGCAUGAACAGAUUCUCCGGCAGACCUCUGAAGAAUCCGAACUCCAGAGGUGUGAAGAAGGAGGAGUAGACUGCCCAUAACAAAAUGAAAUGCGUCCAACCCACGUACCACCUGCGCGCGUAACAGUCAAAUUCACCUCCCUGAGGGUUUUAUCUGUCUUGGGCCACAAAUAUGAUGAGCCCAACCCAGAGAAACUUUUGGUGAUAUGGGCUUAAUUAAUAGAGUCACAUUCUCGUCCAGGAAAAGCUGAUGAACAUGAACGUUCUCGUGCAUAAUAGUACUUUCCUGAUGAUAAGUAUACUCAUCCUAAAUGAUCCUACACCACAUGUUUAGUGAGAUGCCAUCUAUCUGAACUAAAUCACGCCUUAAACCUAGCUAAUCAAGAACCAGUUUUAUCAGGUGGAAGAUGUCAAAAAUCGGCAUGGCAUAAAUCGGAUUUCGAGCACAGCGAAGUGGAAACCCUUUAUAAGCUUAAUGCUAACGGAGAACAUGAUUGUGAGUUUGCACAGGUAAAAAGCUAGUAAUAAUUAAUAACACGUAGUAUAGCGAGCAAGGAAAAAUCGAUUAACUAAUAACUAUAGGAGCGUACCAGUUAUCGGGAUGAAUGACCAUUCGACGGAAAAGCGAACCAGAGGCUGAUGAUGACGAUGAUGUUCCACUUCUGCUUGCAUUGGCCACGGCAUGAGUACUCUGAUCAGCAGUGGUACCAUUAGUGCUGGACUCACUCCUCUUCAAAGAGAACCGCCUUUUCCACCAGUUCGGUCUUGACGAAGACCUCAUGAUGAGCUCGUCGUCCUCCACCUCAAAUCCUUCAUCGUCAGAGGAGUCGUGGUGGCGGUGAUCGUUUUCCCCUCCCGACGAUAUUCUCCUUUCAUGAGCUCCAUGCAUUUUUUUUAUCUUUCAGGUCGAGUCUCCGACUGAAAAUAUUGUAUUAUUGUCCAGACUCCAGACCAAGCUAUAUAUAAUGAAGAAGCAAACAACAAAUUGACAGAAAGUUAAAUAAUUAAGUGCCAUGUCCAAUAUGUUUAAAGAUUGCUAGCUGUAUUUUAUCUAUCUGUGCCAGAAUUUCUAAAUAGGGUACACUCUUUAAUUGUGGUGACAAAAAGAAUCCCAGGGGUACUAAUAGCUUUGAUUUAAUCCGGCCAAUUAAUCAGAUAAGGAGUUAAACCUAAUUAAAACGUAAAUUCAUUCACUUUCCUUCGUUUGAUAUUCUUUCCUUUUUUCAGCUUUAAUCUUUAGGAAUCCAAAUCUUUUUUUUAAGAGCAUCUAAGCAUCCAUUCCAAUGAACAAUAAGAAUAUAAGAUUCUUCAAAAACGAAACUAAAAGAUCGAUGGAAGAGAAAUAGUUAAUGAUGAGAGGCUAGCUAGCUAGAGGACUUGACGGAUGUAAACGAAUUUAUAUAUACUGACAAUGAAUUCAAAUGGAAGGGACGUACACUAGCUGUUGUCGGAGGAAGAGGAUCGAUCUGAGUAGCAUAUCGCAUAAAUCUUAUUGCGGAACCAUAUAUGCCUUAUAAGAAUUCAUAGAUCUUUGCAGAGAAGACGCAACUCUUGAUUGAUUAACGCAAAUAAAAUUUUAUGCAGUGUUAUUUACAACGUUAAUUUGAGUGACCCGUUAAAACCUCACAUAUAACGACAUCAACUGGAGAGGUUAGAACCAUAAUCUAUUUGAAUCUUGGUUCUGUUAUUGUAUGAUUUAAAUCCAAAACCCAGCAGUCCCAGCUCAUGAUAUUAACGUCCUUGAUUUCCUAAUUAUACCAUUUCCUGUUACAAAUUCUUUCCUUGUUAAAGGAGAAGAAGAAGAAGAAGAUAUGGAAUAUUUUUCAGUCUCCUCUUAAACCUUCCAUUCAGAAAGAGUGGACCUUUUCCCUUUCCCUUUCUCAUGUCGAUCUGUAUGUCUUCAUCUUCAGCGAGGAUUCUUCCAAUAAAACUCAGCUAGCCUCGUACUGCAUGCAGCUAAAAAUUCAAUACGAGUUUGGGUAAGCGACUUGUGGUGGACGCGCGUGCUACAUAGUUCUGAAACAAAAAGUAGAUCUCCGUAGCAUAACAUAAAUAUAAUUCGACGAUACUGCCAAACAUAAUUACCAAAAGUAUAGUUAGAGAAUAAAUCCGACAUCACUCAGUUUUACCAUACCAUUAGCUAGGCGAAAACGAUCAUUUGAGAACAGACAAAGGCACAUUGAGUGCAACCGAGGCACAAAGCCAGACAAGCCCUACAUAUAACAUAGGCUCUUAUUGCUCGCUAAAAACGUAACUUAACUAAAGCAAUAAGUAAAAACAGAAAAUAAGACAAUACCUAGGGCUGAGCCCAAUAGGAGUGCCCAAACCCAAGCCUUAUUCACGGAAACAAGAAAAUCGUAAGCCGCAGUCAACCAAGAAAAUCGUAAGCCGUCAAGUCUCAACCAAGAAGGAAGACAAGUAUACGUACUACGUAGGACUUGACGACUUGUUGACAUAACCAGCAUUAUCAGUUUUAUCACGCAUGACGCAUCAAAGUCACAAUCGAUUAAUGGAAAAUAGGAAGUACACAGCGAAGCAACAGCUAGCUCGAUCACCAAGUGAUGACAAAUUUGUUAUGUUUUCUUUUUUGGACAAAAUAAUCACUUUAUAUAUAUGGUGCAAAAUGUAAAACAAAAAUCCCAUUCUCGUCUUCUUCCCGAUGAACCAGAUAUGCGAUAGCAACGUCCAGCUUGUUGCACGUUAAUUGGGAGCUUCAUGGCUUGCCACCAUAAUACUACUGCAUAUUGUCAUCAUCAACUCACAACGUAAUACCUAAAUUAUUUACGUCAUUUAUAAAAGGAUAGCUAGCUCGCCCAUCUUUGUCAUUUAUAAACAUGUUUAUUUUCUAUAUUCUUUAGAUACUUAUAACCACUCAUCAUAUAUAUAAACAAACAAACGAGAGUGGUGACUAUCUUGCCUCUUGCAUAAUUGCAUUGUCAAUUUUGUCAUCCUCUACUUUACAUGCAACUCAUUGUUAAUUUGUCAAUUUGACAAUGACAAUAUAUUAUAUAGCGCACAAUAUAAUAUAUGGUAAAUAUUCAUUUAGUACUAAUAUUAUGGACUUAUUGCUCAUUUCAAUAAAAAAUAAUAUAUGAUUACACAAUAUUUCACUACCUUAAUUAAUUUGUUGUUUUAUUUAACUUUGUUGAUCACUUAGCAAAAACUAUAUAUAUUACCUUAAUUUCUAGGGUGGUGGAAUAAAGUUGUUGGAGAACAUUAUUGCGGAAUGUUAAAAACCGUUAGAAGAUAUUUUGGGUUACCGAUUUUAAUUAUAAUAAACUAUAUAUUAGUUACUAAUUAAAUUUCAGUUUACAAAUAAAUCAUUUACACAUUAUUUUACACAUUUAAAAACAAAAAUUAACAAAUUAAUGUCCACAUGUUAUCUGUCACUAUGUAUUUUACCAGAAUACCCUUUACUACUAUUUACUGCUACUAUCGUCCAGAAAUGUGCUACUGUCGAUGAAAUUGCAAUUUUUUCCGACAAUUCUCCAAAACCACAAACCUGCUACUAUCUAUUUAGAAUCUGCUACUGCUCUUGUUGUCGACUCCAGAGCUGCUAUUGUUAAAUUUUACUACUCAUCUGUAAAUUUACCCUUCUAAUAGUAGUAGAAAAUUACCCUUCUAACAAAUCUCAAGACCAACGGUAACAAUUAAUUUACCGUUCAAACAAACCACAGCAGUAGCAAAUUACCCUUCCAAUCUCAACAGUAGCAGCAAAAGGACAAACACACAUAUACAAGCUAUGAUCACCGUCGCGUCCCUCAUACAAACACAAAUCACAAAGAAGAGAUGAGAGAAAACAGAUAUGAUCCAUUCCGAUCUCUACGACUAACGAACCUUUGAUUCAAUGAUCUCGCCAAAGUGAGCAGAGGCCUUCUCGAGCGCAUCGAUCGUUUUCAGUGGCCCAGCCGAGCCCUCCGACAAAGCAACAUAAUCUGGAAAUCGUCGUGGAUAGGAAUUGAGCUAGGGAUUCGCUGGGUAUCUGGCUGUCGAAACCGACAUCGUAACUUGCAUGAUCUGUAGCGAUCCGACGAUUGGCAAGUUGGUGGCAUGGCGAAAUUGUAGAAGAAGAUUCAGUUGGUGGUUGAGAGAGAGAGAGAGAGAUAUGAAAUCAUCUCUCAAAACACACCUAAUAUGAUUUUUCUAUAUGAUAUAUCAUGUACAUAAUUUGUAAUAUAAAAUCGCACUGCGGUACAAGACCUCAAAAAAAGAAGAAGGAAAAAUGAGUAAAAUAAAUAUGGGAUGUGAUCAAAUAUUAGCAAGCAGGCCCUAAGCUAUUUUCUUAUCUCAUAUCAUGUAGCAGUAGAGCAACAAUGACGUCGGAUACGAUGGAGGAAAGGGCCACCUAUGUGAUGACACAAUAUAGGAGCCUAGAUAUAUAGGAGGGCAACUAUCCAAAUCAUUUUCGACCAAGUUCAAUGCACACCUGUAUAGUCACUUCAAUCCGUCAUUCACAACUUGAUCUGCUAAACUUAUUCAUAACUAUAGAAACCAACCCGAAACGAAUUUAUCUAUAUAUGAGGAAAUUUAGAACACCCAAAAUUAAUAUAACAAUCGAUAUUCUCUUGUUGCAUGCAUGUAUAUCUAGCUCUAAUGUGUGUAAUUAGUUUACUAAUUUGAAUAUCAAUCAUUGCAAAAGAAAAAGGCAAUGGUUUCUAUUCAAACAAGAAAAGAAAAAGGCAAAUGGUCCUCUAAUAGUUUACUCGCACAAAACGGAAUCGUGAUAUCAUACAUGGCUCCCUCCCACCAAACUCAAUGAUACGGAGAUGAAAAAAGAACAAAUAUAUACCAAAAAAGAAAUAGAGAAAGACCUAUGCCCCGUCUCCGCCCGAAAGCAUGGUGCUUAUUAAUCAAACAUAAAUUCACAUGCACCUAAUUUUUUUAAAUACUGCUGAUGGCUUAUCAAGAUUCCGGUUUAUAUCGAAACUCGAAUUUUGUAACAACAGUUAUGUUUUAAUAAACACCUCAUAAGAUAAGAUCAUGUGAUCAAAAUUACAUAUUAAUUAUGAUUUACAUUAAGAUUAGUUUAAGACAACGGAGUCAAAAUUAUUUCAAGCUAGUAAUGAAGUUCCUUGCAGGUCUUUGAGAAUUUUUUCUUUAUUUCCUUUUAAGAUUGGUUGUUUUGGACUUCAUUUAGUUUUCUUUUAGCUUUUUAGCCUGUCUUUUUGUUUGGAGACCUCAAAAUUAUUAAUCUCUUUAACCAAUCCAGAGGCUCACCAACUAGUUUUAAUGCCCCUUGAUUUCUAUUUUUUCUCUUAAUCAAAUCAAGAUCUAUUUUGAUGAAAACAAAAAAGGAACCAAAUUAACUAAUGAUAUUGGAGUUUGGAGUAGACGAUGAUCCAAAAGCCACUUGCUAGAGUGAUGGGGAGAGAAAGAGCACGUAAUCCAUUGCCUUGAACUCAUCUGAUUAAAAUAAUGGAAGUUUGAUAAGCAAGAAAUAGGUAUUUUAUACCAAAGUGGCGGGCUAUCCACUAGGGCAUGCAAUUAAAUCACAUGUCUAUUUUAAACAAGUAGCCCUAAAAUAAUAAUAACAACAAUGGACCUCACCCGUCACCUUUUCAUCGUUACCCUAGCUCGCUCCCUCACUCGACUCAGUUUUCUGUAUAUAUCGGAAAGCAAAUGGACCCACUCCCCCUCCAUAUCCAUCCACCUUCCUCCCACCACUCCACUCCAGCCGGCCGCUCAUCUAGUCCCCACGUGCUUUUUUAUCCCCACUUAUAUAUAUAACCACCUCACCUCCUCCACAAUCUAAUCCCAACCGGCCUAACCUCUCCCUCUCUCUUUCUCUCUUCUUCUCCCACUCAACUCCGAUGGCUCUCAUCCGGGAACGCCGCCAGCUCAACCUCAGCCUCCCCUUGCCGGAGCCCACCGAGCGUCGCCCACGUUUCACUCUCCCUCUCCCUCCCGCCGCCGUAGUCGCCGCCGCCAACUGCUCCUCCUCGUCUUCCUCUUCCGCCGCGGUAUCCGCCUCCGACCUCGAAAGACUCGAGGUCCUCGGCCACGGUAGCGGCGGCACAGUCUACAAAGUCCGCCACAAGCGCACGGGAGCUAACUACGCCCUGAAAAUAGUGAAAGGCGACUCCGACCCCACCGUCCGCCGCCAACUCUACCGCGAGAUCGAAAUCCUCCGCCGCACGGACUCCCCCCACGUCGUCCACUGCGACGCCAUAAUCGAGAAGCCGACCGGAGACAUGUGGAUUCUCAUGGAGUACAUGGACUCGGGAACGUUAGAGAGUUUGCUCAAACAGCAAGGCACGUUCUCCGAGGCCAAGCUCGUUCACGUUGCACGUCAAGUCCUCAACGGGCUCAACUACCUCCACGGUCAGAAGAUCAUCCACCGUGACAUCAAGCCGGCCAAUCUGUUAGUCAACAGCAACAUGGAGGUCAAGGUCGCCGACUUCGGCGUCAGCAAAAUGUUGUGCCGAACACUCGACAACUGCAACUCGUACGUUGGGACUUGCGCUUACAUGAGCCCCGAGAGGUUCGACCCCGACACGUACGGUGGAAACUACAACGGCUACGCUAGUGAUAUAUGGAGCUUGGGUUUGACUCUCAUGGAGCUUUACAUGGGUCACUUCCCGUUCUUGCCUCCGGGUCAAAGACCCGACUGGGCGACCCUUAUGUGCGCCAUAUGCUUCGGGGAGCCACCGGCGCUGCCGGAGGGAGUGUCGGAGGAGUUUAGGAGUUUUAUGGAGUGUUGCUUGCAGAAGGAGUCGGGGAAGAGGUGGACGGCGGCUCAGCUUUUGACCCACCCGUUCGUUUGUAGAGAUCCGAAAUCGAUUCGGUGAAGGAUUUGUUCAUGUUUGUUGGUGUCGAAUAUCCGCGCGGCGGAAUCCGAUUGUAAUUAGUAGUCGGGUCGCCGGGUUUGACAUAACUUUUUGGACAUUUCUGGUUUAUAGGAUAUUACUGAGUAACAAUUGUAUAUACUUGCCGGAUUCGGAUUCUUUAAUCUUGAGUUCUUGUUUCUUCAUCAUGUUCCGUUUUGUCCAUGGUAUAAGAAUCGAGAUAAACACUAUCCCAAAGGAAAACAAUCGAAAAAACAGUUCAUAUAUAGCUUCUGAAACAUGUUCUCAAGCUCCAAUAUCCGUCCCUAAUAUCCUUGAGGAUAAAUUAUUCUCUGGUUCAGGAUACAAUUCUGGUUGAACCGAUGACAAAAAUAUCUUUAAUAAACGCUAAAAUAUUACAAACUAUGAAGGUGAUACAUUAUACAUAUGAGUGAUUCACAAAAUUAUUAGAUAUAUGAAAGAGUUCCGGAUCAUGGGACUCCAAAUGUCACAAUUCCUGAUAUUUCUAAAUUAUUUCGGCUCUUGAAUGCAAGGCAUCGAGGUAGCUGAUAGCUAACUACUAAACUGAUUGUGUAAGUGACUAAUGGUCAGAGUUUCAGAGAUGUACACUUAAUUACUAAGUUGACGAGCUACGAAAAGCUAGAAAAAGACCAUGCCACGAAGUUUCACAUCUAAAUUCUUAUAAUUAUUAUCGACUUGACUAUCUGUGGUGGUCAGACUCUAUCCUAUUGAUCAUGCGUUUUACAACAUGGUCAUCAAUAAAAAUAAAUAGAUUGUUCAACUUAAAUCAAUUCUACGAUCGAUUUGUUUAGGAAACGUUUUAUUUAUAAGUCAAAAAUUGGCAAGAAUGAUAGCAACUUAUGGACAUACUUUUUUUUAUUUUUCCGAUUAAGAAACAAACUUACAACGAAAACACCACAGAUAAAGCCAUUACCUACAAGAUCAAAUUGAGGGGGGAAGCUGAAAGGACCAAAAAAUACAGCUAGAAAUAUAUUUGACUUAAAUUUGCUAAAUCAUUAAUUUGUUCAAUCAAAAAAAAAAAUUCAUUAAUUUGUCAGGAAAUUGGUUUCUCCCCAAAUAUGAUUGAAAGACACCGAUUAAAAAUGUAACUUAUGGACAUACGUAUUACGUACUUGAUUAAGUCUAGUCAAUCAAAUUUGAAUUGCAUAUUGCGCGCGGUAUGGAACAAAAUCUGGCAGGAAACUGGCCAAAUUUUAUUGGUUUGAAAUUUAUCCAUGAUUGAAUAAGAACAGUCGGUAGCUAGUUUGGCUAAACCGUGCAAGAAAUAUACAAUACGUUGCUUACAAGUUACAAUUCAACCAUCAAUUCCUAGAUUUUAUUAACGAGAAAGAAGCACAAUGAUUUGCUGCAUGUAGGUCCAAACUCCAAACUAAACGUGCUUAUAAUUGUAGGUUAUUGUUUAAGGAUACUAAUUAUAUUAACAAUUUAUUAACCAUAGUUAGGUUUGCUUUUGUUGUUGUUUUGUUAAUACUUGAGAGAGAUGGUUCUACUUCUACGAAGCCUCCCAGUUUGCAAUUCUACAUGUAAUUGGCCAGUGAUGAGAAUGAGAGCCUCUCCAAGUAAGAGUUGGUUUUGGGUGGAAGAUGACUAGAUGAGCUAGCUAGAGUAGCACGAAAGUGGGCUGAGAUUUGAGAUAGAUGUUUCGGGACACCUUCGGUGAUCAAUCGAAGGCACAUACGAUUCGUCCUAAAUCCAAAAGAGAUGACCUAUGUGGGUAUGUGUAUUUAUAACUACGGUUCUGUGUGUCAAAAUCAAGCUAACUUUGUAGGUUGUGUCAUGCAUGAACCAGAGCGCUCCAUCGAUAUCUCUCUGCCUCGCUAGAGGGGCCAUGCAUCAAAUCAUAACGCAUCAUGUCACCUUCUAACUAGUUAGUUAGCCAUACGGGCCACUCCAAUGGGGACAUUUGAGACCAAAAGCCAUCGAACCCGGUCACUUUGUGAUUCAUAACUUCAUACAGAUUUGUUUAUGAGAUAAUUUGAUUACAUUUACAAGAUAUUAAAUCCCUAACGUUUUGAAGAUCCGUAUUUUUUUUUUGUUCAGAAUGAAAUUUACACCUUAAAUUACAAUCAAUGUUUUAAUCUCUUCAAGUUAUCCAAGAAAAACUAGAAUAUUCAUGAUAGUGAUGAUACACUACUGUAUAGAGAAGAAUUUGAUCGGAUCCUCCAUUGAUCUUAGUUAAUCGCGAUCUACUUAAUUUAUACAAGAAGAUAACAUAUCCCACAGUAUUUUAUGGAUUCUCACAUCAUAGAAUCAUCCAUAAUUCCAAUAUAUAGUAUCUCCAAAUAUUUUAGAUAUCAAAUGAUCUUGUUGAGCCUACUUAGGACAAAAUCUUGUUGGACUGGACCGAAAGUGAUGAUAGCAAAUCAAUUACAUUUAAUGAGUAGGCCCAAUAAGCUUGUAUGGUAAAAUAUAUAGAAGAGGGAAUUGAGUUACAUAUGUCGUAGUCCUUUGUGUUCUCUCAAAUCUGAGAAAUUUUAAAUGUUACUGGAGGCCCACGUGGCAGUCUGACGUGGUUUUAUAUUUCAAUUAAAUUUAGACAUGUGGAUUUUUUACAACUAAAAUAUCAACUAAUAUUUUCUACUUUUUGUGAAAUGACAUUCAUGGGUAUUUAGCCAGACUAUCACGUGGUCCUCCCGUAGCACUGAAAAAUUUCUCCUCAAAUCCUAGCACUACCGGUUGUCCAUUUCCACUCUUUGGCGAUCAGACAACUCUUCUCAUACAACCUACUUUUUUCAUGUUCCAUUGAUAACUUUUAAGGAUAGUAUUUAAUUCGGAGGCGGGUAACCCAUUAACCCAUAAAGAUUAUAAACCGAGUGUAGUCAAUACCCACUGGCCCAAUGUUUUAUAUCUUUUAAACCCGCAGGUAUCCGCAGUCAGGCUUCAGGGUGACCUAACUUGAUUAUCUUAGAGGGAAAAUUUUAAUAAAAAAGUACAUGACAAAUGAUCAACUCCUAAUUUUGGUGUUUCAAGUUUCAAAACAAUGAUAAAGGUACAUAACAUUAGAAUCACAACACAUUUUUAGUACCUAACGUCAGUAACGCCGUUAACUCUAUGUAAUUUCUUAAUUUUCAAAGGGUGAUUUCGGGUUUUCUCCAUUUUCUCUUUUCUUUAUAUUUGUUUUACUCUUUUUCUAUUUAUAUAUAUAUAUUUUAAAUUUUGUUAACUCAGACCAUAAUCUUAAUGAUUGAGUGCGGCUAUUAGGACCUCCAAAUUUGCUCACUAGACCUCACUCUAUUGUGAAUUAUUAAAUGACAUAUAUAUCCUCAUACACAAUGACUANNNNNNNNNNNNNNNNNNNNUAUAUAUAAAUACAGUCCGUUUCAGAUACAAACAUCUGCACCGCUUUAAGGUGCAGAUUUCCCUUCGUUCGCCACCGUACGACGCCGGCGAGGGCGCGCCUCCACCCCAGCGGACUCAAACAGCUUCCCCGACCACUUUCUCUCCCCGGCGAGUCCGCCAAAUUCCAGUUUUCAGGCCAGAUCACCCAAAACUUCAAAUAAAGUAAAUCUAGCCGGAAAACUGGAAUUCGGCGGACUCGCCGGGGAUGGAAAGUGGUCGGGGAAGCUGCUGGAGUUCGUUGGGUUGAGGUGCGCCCUAGCCGAUGCCGUACAGUGACGAAAAGAGGGACGUCCGCACUUUAAGAGCCGUGCGGACGUCCGCACCUGAUAACGAUCGUAUACACACACACACACAAGAGCUAAAACAAUGAUCAAAUAUUGAUCAUGUGACAUAAAAUUUUGUAUUAUCAUACAUGUUGAACGCAUAUACUUGCAAGGUGCAUAAAUUAUUUUGNNNNNNNNNNNNNNNNNNNNNNNNNNNNNNNNNNNNNNNNNNNNNNNNNNNNNNNNNNNNNNNNNNNNNNNNNNNNNNNNNNNNNNNNNNNNNNNNNNNNNNNNNNNNNNNNNNNNNNNNNNNNNNNNNNNNNNNNNNNNNNNNNNNNNNNNNNNNNNNNNNNNNNNNNNNNNNNNNNNNNNNNNNNNNNNNNNNNNNNNNNNNNNNNNNNNNNNNNNNNNNNNNNNNNNNNNNNNNNNNNNNNNNNNNNNNNNNNNNNNNNNNNNNNNNNNNNNNNNNNNNNNNNNNNNNNNNNNNNNNNNNNNNNNNNNNNNNNNNNNNNNNNNNNNNNNNNNNNNNNNNNNNNNNNNNNNNNNNNNNNNNNNNNNNNNNNNNNNNNNNNNNNNNNNNNNNNNNNNNNNNNNNNNNNNNNNNNNNNNNNNNNNNNNNNNNNNNNNNNNNNNNNNNNNNNNNNNNNNNNNNNNNNNNNNNNNNNNNNNNNNNNNNNNNNNNNNNNNNNNNNNNNNNNNNNNNNNNNNNNNNNNNNNNNNNNNNNNNNNNNNNNNNNNNNNNNNNNNNNNNNNNNNNNNNNNNNNNNNNNNNNNNNNNNNNNNNNNNNNNNNNNNNNNNNNNNNNNNNNNNNNNNNNNNNNNNNNNNNNNNNNNNNNNNNNNNNNUAAAAAAAUAAAAUGAGAGGUCUAUUGAGUGAAUAAGAGUUAAAGUAAGUAAUUAAUUGAAAUAUAUGUCAAUAAAUAACUAAGGUUAUGUUAGGAAUUUAAAAUGAGGUCUAGUGAGAAAAUACUCAUAUUAAAAAGUAAAAGGAGGUGUAGAGAGAAUGAGAGGUAUAAUGAGGAAAUUUGGAGGUUUCAAUAGCUGCACUCUCAAUGAUUUUGCUGUCUGCAAGUAGAUAACUCUAUUCCAUUUUCUGUUUAAAUUUUAGUUUUUCAGAAAUUGCGAUUUUGUUACUAGUUUAGCAAUGAGAAUUAGAUCUUUUGUGCUCAAUAGUGACUUUGCUGCUCCUCAAAAAAAUUUAUUACUUGUUCAGCAAUGAGAAUUGGAUCUUUUUUAUUUCUCUCUCCUUAGUAAUCAUUAAUUUUAAUAAUUUAUUACUGUUAAAUCAGAAAGUGACGGAUUUAUCACUCAAAUUUUAACGGAAAACACACAAGAUAAAUGAAGACAUAACGACAUAUACAUAUUUUUGGUUGAGAUUAGAAGUUUAUGUACCUUAAUGAUUAUUUUGAAACUUGGAACACCAAAAUUAGGAGUGGACCAUUUGUCAUGUACUGUUGAUAUGAGCACAAAGUGCAAUGUUUAUAAUGUGUUUCCUACCCUACUUAGCUAUGAUAUUCUCAUAAUAAUACCAUUUCUAACAUGUUUUGUUAUUGUAAAGGACAAGAGAGCAUAGAUCAAGAAAAUAAGGCUAAAUGAUGGAAAUAAGAGAAAAAUACAGAAAAAGACAAAGAAGCUUUUUUGCAGUCCAAGGAAGGAAGAAGAAAGGCACAAAGAGCUUAUGACACGACCCACCCCGAAUUUCACCCUGAAACCCGGAGUAAGUCGUGCGGGGACCACCUCGAAGAAAAAUUUACUGAAAAGAUUGAUAAAAUCUCCCUUGAAAAUGGACAACCCUAACUCGAAAAUUCCAAAUUACAUUCUUAAAACAACACGUCCAAACAUCACAUAAUUAACCUUCAGAAAUUCUAAACAUAAUAUACAAUAAUCCCAAAGUAUUCAGAGCUAAUAGACACUAGCGGAAGCAAGAAAACACGAGUAGGUUAAACAUGUAACCUACUGAUGAAAACUGGCAGAAAUGCGGGUGACUAUGCCUUGCCUCCUACUAGAUCCAACCCGAACUCUGCAGACUAGGCAAUUUAAAACGAAGGGCGCAGGGGAAAACAUUUAAUAACGUUAGAGUGAGUGGACAAAAAUAAAAUAAUAAAUAAAAUAUUUAUGUUUCCCCAAAUUAAUUUCUAAGGAAAAAUCGAAUGCAUGCCGCAAGCGAUAAAACUUUUAUCUCAUAAAAUAUCGAGCCUCUCAGACUCUAUAAUAUAUGUAUGUAUUUACACACGUCCAUACUCCCUAUAUAAAUUCAUGGGUCUAUAUAGGGCUACUACGCUCGCGUCCAACGCUCACGUCACGCCUUAAUGCGGUGUUACACUACGCCAUUAAGGUAGACAGACGGAUGUAUAAAUAUGUGUCCAUACCCCCUAUGUGAAUUAAACACUCAUAUAGGGAUAUUACGCUCACGUCCAACGCUCAUGUCACACCAUAAUGCGGCUAUAUGCUACGCCAUUAAGGUGGAUAGACACAUAUGGCUAGCUAGCAUUUUAUAUACACUCUCUCAUAAAUACAUAUUUAUAUCUACCGAAAAUCCCAUUUUCGGUAACUCUUCAAGAGAAAUAAAAUCGUCAAAAUAAAAUGACGUCAAAAUAUUCCGCAACAAUUAUUGUUCAACCAUGAACUCUAGCAUGUAUUUUAUUUAAAACAAAAGUCCACUCACAAAUUAGGCCUAAGCCUGACGUCGAUCUGGGGUCUCGUCUGCUCGAGCCUCCUCACGUCCUGAUCCAAAAAUAAUAUUAAUUUCCCAACUAACAAUCCAAUAAUUAAUCAAAAUAGGCAAAAUUACCCGAGAGCCAUAAAUACGCUCAUCAUUGCCUAACUUCGAUAUUCUUAAAUCGAAACGAUCCGAACUUAAAUAUCAUUCUCGACAGUCGUAAUUACAACCUCCCCAAAAAUACGACUUAAAUCCUACGGCCGGUUUCUACAUUAAUUAACCGCCAAAAAUACCAAAUUUCGAAAAUUCACAAACCUAUCCAAAUCUCAUCCAAAAAUUCCAUAAAUCACAUCAAUAUAAUCCCCUUAAUAUUCCACAUUUAAAACCCUAAAAAUCUCCCAAACUAUCCAAAAAUUCCAUAAAUCACAUCAAUAUAAUCCCCUUAAUAUUCCACAUUUAAAACCCUAAAAAUCUCCCAAACUGCGGCGGCGCCAGCGGCGGCCGGAGACCAAUUCCGGCGACCUCCAAAACCUAUGAAAUUUUGACAGCAUCUUCCUCUCAUCAUGCUCUACAACUUUCCUAACUAGCACAAACCCAAAAUCCAAGCCUAGCUAUGCCAAUCAAACAGAAAUAUCAAAAAUGCUAUAGAAUUUCAACUUCACAUUUCUCCUUACCUAGCUCAAGAGAGGGUGAGCUGUUUGGAGGGGUUGCUGCACAGGAGGAGGGCUACAAAACGAGCCAAGGAUCGCCGGUUUUGGUGGCCGGAGGAGGGAGCUCCGGGGAGAGAACCACCACGGCAGCUAGCGGCUCCGGGCGUCGUUGCUCUCUCACGGCAGCGCUAGGGGAGCUGCUACCGGCCUAGAAUGGAAGCUGAGUCGGAGGCAGUCAGUUUGGGACCGGAGCGGCGGCAUAUGGUGGCCGGACGGCGGCAGGAGGACGGCCGUGAAACCGAACAGCGGGAGGGGCUCGGGAGAGAGAGGGAACCGGGAGGAGAAAAGAGAAGAAAAAGAGAAAAGAAAAAUGGGCCUCUAACACCCGGUCUAACAACCUUAUACACCAAAACCCACUCUAAAAUUUACACCCCAAAAUAAUACCCUAAUAAAAAUUGCAUUUUAUUAGCUAAAAUUUACCAUUUUUACCGUUGUCAUAUUUUCCUCCCACGAAUAAUCCUCCGCACAUAAUCGUCCCCGAAACCCUUCUAGAGACCAAUUAAACUAUAACUUCAAUGACGGAGACGGUAAAAUUAUUUUUAUAAACAAGCUAGUAAAUAAGGUAAAAAUUUAACGGUCGGGAUGUGAUAGCUUAAUUGACAAAAGAAGGCCCAAGUAGUACAAAAAUGCAGAAAGCCCAAAGAAAUGCCCAAGUAGUCCAAGAAUGGAAGAGAAGGCCCAAGCAGCCUAACAAAAGAAGGAGAAAAGUCAAACAUGUGCACAUAAAGAAGAAAAGUCAAACAUGUGCUCCUUGUCCCACAUCAUUUUGGAAGAAAAGUUUCACCAAGAUGUUCUCUAUAUAAAGACUUUCUAGUGCACUUCUCAGCCCAUGUCUUCUUCACACAAAAAUCAGUGAAACAUAUUAGCCUACCUUCUCCUUUUCAACUCCUAUCUCCAGAAAAGAAGCAAUUCAAGCUGGCACCUUUGUAGGACUUCCCCAGAAGGCUGCUGAGAAGCAUCAGGCAUGUGUGUUCCUUUGAAUAUCUCAAGCUUCCUUGAAGAUUUAUAAAGUGUAACUCAUAUCUUGUUUCUUGUUUCUUCUUUCUUGUUAUUGUUUUUUGUUUUCUUUUAUUAGAUUUCAAAGUUGGAAUUGGCUGGUUGUUGAGAACAUGAAUAGGUUAAUUUUCAGAAUAAAUUCAAGCAUAUUUGGACUUGUCUAUGAUAGCAUGUGAUUCGUUUUAUGCCUUGUUGAUUUCAUUAAAUUCAUAGUUUUGUUUAAACUAAAACUCUAAUCUGCAGGUUAGUGUUGCUAUGAUCUAUACUAAGCUUCUUCAAGUAAGUGUAGAUCUCCAGUAGUAAAGGUUAUGUAAUAAUAGCUGAAACUAUGUGUUACAUGUUUGCAGGUUAAGCAGUUUCCUGUAAACUUAGGCAUGUUCAAAUUCAGAAUUCUAUAGCACUUAAUGAUUCAUGUUUAAUGUAGACGGGUACUCUAAGUGACACAGAGUAUCGAUCGCAGCCUUUGCAUGAAAUAUCUUAGGUUCUAGACUUCUAUGUGCUUAGGAGAUAAAGUAAGUAGAAUUAAAGAAAUGCAUGACCGUUGAGGCUUGUGUUUCGAGUUUUUUUUUAUAUCACUUGGCGAUGAACUUGAAUAUAUGUUUGAGGCAUGUUGAUACUUGUUUGAUUCAUUAUGAAAUCUCUGGUUGAUGUGUGUUAAAGAUGAUCACCUGUAUAUAUUAGUUUAGAUUGUGUCUUUAUCUUUUUCGUAGGAAUGUUAGAAAAAACCUCAAACCCCCUGUUUACCUUGUACCAUAUGUAUAUUUGUAAAUAAAUACUUGUAAAUAUUUUUAUUGAUAGCUACUGACGUUUUACAUGACCACUGUCACAAGAGCACUCUUAGUCUCCAGAUUGAUCGAACUUUAUUUGCCUAAUACUACGAUUGUCAAAAACGGUUCUUAAUUGUCGCACACCCAGUAACGGGCGCGUCAACUGUUCUUAAAAUUUUCCCUAUCUUAGAAGCUGACACUUAUUAUGGGUCUUGCAAGUCUCUAGUACUCAACCACCUACUAAUAAGACACUUAUAAAUGUUGGAGCUGGAACUUAGGGGUUUCACUCAAGCAAUUGCCAUGUCAAUCUUGCCAACCCUCAUUGGUAUGUUCCAUGGUAACAUGGUGACACAAAUUAUGGACCUUAAUACUUUUUAUUAGAUUUCAUUUUCCCUAAAAUUGACCAAUAACAAAUUUAGAGGGAUGGAUUCGUAAAAAUGUAAUCUAAAUUGUCACUAAUAACAUCACUACCAGAGCUAGUUAGGUAGGACAUACAUUUACAUGUUCGACUUGGUUAGAGGCCUUAUCUUUUUCUCGUGUAUCAACAUAUUGACAAAUAAUUAGAAAUAUAAAGGGAAAUGUAGCUAGAUAUAGUAGAUAUUUUUAAUGCUGGCUGUAAUCUGCAAUAUAAGCUUCAUGUUUAUUUUGUAUUUGUUAAUCAAUCAAGAUUUCAGGAUCCGUAUAUGUUUGUUUAGAAAUUUUUUACUAAUAAAACUCGAUCAAACAACACAAUUUUUAUUUGCGAUGAUUUAAAUGUUUCGUAGAUGCAACAGUAGAAUUGGGAUGCAAAAUUUGUCACUUCUUGCAAGUGAAAAAGAUCAUAAAAGAUCGCAAGUUCAUAAUGUCUUUUUUGUUAGGGAAAAUUUUAAGAACAAUAUAUGACAAAUGGUCUACUCCUAAUUUUAGUGUUUCAAGUUUCAAAACAAUUAUAAAGGUACAUGACAUUAGAAUCACAAAACAUUUUUAGUAUAUGACGUUAGUAACGCCAUUAACUCUAUGUAAUUUCUUAAUUUUCAAAGAGUGAUUUCAGGUUUUCUCCAUUCUCCUUUUUCUUUAUAUUUGUUUUACUCUUUUUCUAUUUAUAUAUAUAUAUAUGUUUUUAUUUUGUUAACUCAGACCAUAAUCUUAAUGAUGACUUUGUUGUCUGCAAGUAGAUCACUUUAUUCCAUUUUUGGUCUUCCAGAAAUUGUUGCUUUGUUACUAGUUCAAUAGUUCAACAAUGAGGAUUAGAUCUUCUGUCCUAAAAAAUGACUUUGCUGCUCCUAAAAAAAAUUUAGAAUUAAAUUCAAUUUACCCUAUUGUGGUUUAUUGGUGAAUUCAUGUUAGUCCCUAAACUUUCAAUUUCAUCAGAUUACCCCCCGAUCUCUUGUUUUUCUGGUAAUUUAGCUUCUCAAACCCCAAAACGUCAUCACACGUCAUCAAAUUUCAACGUCCCAAUUGAACGAAGCAUGAGUGAUAGGAGACGGCAGACAGAAAAACAAGAGCUCGGGGGGUAAUCUGAUGAAAUUGAAAGUUUAGGGACUAACAUGAAUUCACCUCUAAACCAUAUUAGGGUAAACUGAAUUUAAUUCAAAAAUUUAUUACUAGUUCAGCAAUGAGAAUUAAAUAUUUUUUAUUUUUCUCUCUUUGAUAAUUAUUAAUUUUAAGAAGAAAAUACUGGUCACUCCAUUAACUUUCAUACACUAUCUACUCCACUAUCUUUCAAUUUUAAUCGAUUAGUCCUCUAACUAUCCAAUGUUACACACUUAGGUCCAUCCGUUAAGUGGACAUCCAAUCGUGCCGUCAACUUGUUGACUGGACAUAUUUUUCAAUGCCAACUCAGCUGGAUGAAAUGAGAAAAUCUUUUUAAAUUAAUUUUUUUUUCAAUUUAUUUUUUUCAUGAAAUCUGUCCCUUCUCGCCGUCCUCCUGCUCCGAUCACCGUUCUCCCUACUCGCCGCCAAUGACCAGACACGGUCGGCCUACGACGUCAUCCAGGACUUCAACUUCAUCACCAUCGUACUCCCUGGCCUCCGGCGAGUCACAUGCACGCUACCCGUCGGCAAGAGACGCCAGAAAGACGUCAUACGCGCCGUUGCAACGCGUACCCAGAAUACCCAGAAUUACUCUGGGCACCCAAAGCUCUCUCUCCUCGCGUCUUCUCCAACACAAACCGGCAAACCGCAUCUGCACCGCAUUCGUCCUUUGGUAGUCGGAGUACCAGUCCCAUCAAAUAUCAAUAAUAUAAAGGAGGAAGAAAGUCGAAAUCGUCAUCACUGCUGAUAGCAUCGUCUUCAGCACCAGCAGCUCUAUCUGAUCGUCUCCUGAAUCAUGGCAUUUACAAACCGAAUCGAUCAGCUUAGUCAGCAACUUCGCCUCGGCGCCACCGGAAGUGUCGACCUCGCCGUAUAGGUAUUCGUGCGCGCUUAGCUUCUGGAUGCAAUCCACGGCAGGUAUCCGUGCGGUGCAGAGUGGGGUUUGCCGGUUUGUGUUGGAAAGACACGAGGAGAGAGAGCUCUGGGUGCCCAGAGUAAUUCUGGGUACGCGUUGCGACGGCGCGUAUGACGUCUUUCUGGCGUCUCUUGCCGACGGGUAGCGUGCAUGUGACUCGCCGGAGGCCAGGGAGUACGAUGGUGAUGAAGUUGAAGUCCUGGAUGACGUCGUAGGCCGACCGUGUCUGGUCAUUGGCGGCGAGUAGGGAGAACGGUGAUCGGAGCAGGAGGACGGCGAGAAGGGAUAGAUUUCAUGAAAAAAAUAAAAUUGAAAGAAAAAAUUAAUUUAAAAAGAUUUUCUCAUUUCAUCCAGCUGAGUUGGCAUUGAAAAAUAUGUCCAGUCAGCAAGUUGACGGCACGAUUGGAUGUCCACUUAACGGAUGGACUCAAGUGUGUAACAUUGGAUAGUUAGAGGACUAAUCGAUUGAAAUUGAAAGAUAGUGGAGUAAACUAUCGAGUGCAUGAAAGUUAAUGGAGUGACCAGUAUUUUCUUCUAAUUUUAAUAAUUUAGUACUGUUAAAUUAAAGAGUGACGGAUUUGUCUCUUAAAUUUUAACCGAAAACACACAAGAUAACAGAAGAUAUAACGACAUGUACAUAAUUUUAGUUAAGAUUAGAAAUUCAUAUACCUUUAUGACUGUUUUAAAAUUUGAAACGAAGGAACCAUUUUUCAUGUAUGAUUUCAUUAAAAUUUUGCGUUCUUGUUAAGCAGACGCAGACGCAGACGCAGACACAAAAACAAAAACGGUCAAAACAAAGUUUAUCUCGAGUGAUCUAUCUAUCUGUCACCAAUCACCAUCCACAUGCAACAAGUCUCUCAAAUUCGUUAAACUAUUCUCAAAUCCACCUUCAAAUCCAUUCAAGUGACUCAACCAAAUACUACACGACACCAAUAAUUCCUCCGAUUCCACGUUCUCACAAAUUAGUCUCCCCACCGAAUAAUCUAAACUCGGAUUCCAUCCUGAUCCUUCUCCUCGUUUUCUUUUUACUCUUCUUAUUUCCAAAGCUCACAAAACUUUGCUUCUUGAUCAUCAUCUUCCAUGGCGUCGCUUAGCUUGACUCAGAUCAGAGGCAACAGCAUCAACAACCCAGUUGCCGAGUUUGCCAGAACUCGUUGUCCUCAGUUGGGUUUGCCAGUUCGGUCUAGCAGAGUUGGGUUUCGGGUGUUUGCGUCAGAGAGCAGCAGCAAGGGCCCAGAGCCUGAUCUGAGCGUCAAUGUAAAUGGGUUACACAUGCCUAACCCCUUUGUUAUUGGGUCGGGUCCACCCGGUACCAACUACACCGUCAUGAAAAGGGCCUUUGAUGAAGGCUGGGGUGCUGUGAUUGCCAAAACUGUGAGUCUUUUGCUCCUCUCAUCUUUCCAUGUCAGUAUCAAAUUGUGUUCUUUGAUGUGAUGUAGUUGGUGUCAUUCUAUCAAAAGGCUUAUAUGAAUGAAUAUUUAGUGCUGUAUAGACUCUAGUUAGCAGAUGUAUUAGCAUGUUAAUAUGUUCAGAUCAUUGUUUUUGUUGCUAAAACUGUUAGAUUCACACAGGUCAAGGGCCCUAAUUCUUUGAACGAAUUAUAUGGUAGCUUAUUGAUCCUUGCCAUUGUAGAAAUGAAAAACAGAAAAAUAUGAUAUUUAGCUGAGAUCAUGGGUGUUCUGAAGUCUGGUACUUUUUACAUUUUUGGUAAAAUGUUAUUUGGUUAGUGACAUUGAUAACAAUGCUAGCUCAGAGAAGCUAUUAGCUCUUUGGCCUGUGUCUCACAAAGGCUAAAGGCCAUUCUUUACUGGACAGUGCGGAAGCUGAUUCCAGGCCUUAAUUUUAAGUUGCGUUGUAGAAUGAUACAGGAGAGACCUUUAUCAUUUGAACUUUGUAAUUGAUCUCAAUCUUAAUUAUGAUUCAAUAGGUGUCGCUAGAUGCAGAAAAAGUCAAGAAUGUCACUCCACGAUAUGCAAAGCUACGUGCCGAUGCAAAUGGCUCAAAACAAGGGCAGAUUAUUGGGUGGCAGAAUAUAGAACUUAUAAGUGACAGACCUCUAGAAACCAUGUUGAAAGAAUUCAAGCAAUUGAAGGAAGAGUAUCCAGACAGGAUUUUGAUUGCUUCAAUCAUGGAGGAAUAUAACAAAGCUGGCUGGGAGGAACUUAUUGAUCGUGUGGAGCAAACUGGAGUUGUGAGUUUCUACUAUAGUUUUCAUUCAUUGAGGUUAGUGGUUGUCAACUUGUCAUCUAACACCUCUGACAUUUUUCUUUAGGAUGCCUUUGAAAUCAACUUCUCCUGUCCUCAUGGUAUGCCGGAGCGCAAGAUGGGUGCUGCUGUUGGACAAGACUGUGCAUUGUUGGAAGAUGUCUGUGGAUGGAUAAAUGCCAAAGCUACAAUACCGGUUUGGGCAAAGAUGACUCCUAACGUCACUGACAUUACACAGGUCAGCUUGGUUUUGCUUUCCUUUGCAUUACGUCGGAUGUGUUGACUCUUGUGUGCUGACGUAUCACUAUCGCGAAUUAUAAGAUUUAUAUCGUAACAUUGCUUAUACCAAUGAGGUUUUUGUUUGUAGCCAGCUAGAGUGGCUCUGAACUCAGGAUGUGAGGGAAUAGCAGCUAUUAACACAAUCAUGAGUGUAAUGGGAAUCAAUCUGACUACCUUACGGCCUGAGCCUUGUGUGGAGGGGUAUGCAUGCUAAAACUAUGAAUACAUGUUAUUUUGGUUGAUUUGUCCUUCAUAUUAUGAAAACAUGCCUAAAUAUUUUUGCAGAUACUCAACUCCCGGAGGCUAUUCUUCCAAGGCAGUUCAUCCCAUUGCACUUGCAAAAGUGAUGAGUAUUGCAAAAAUGAUGAGAUCAGAAUUUGGUGAUAAAGAUCUUUCACUUUCUGGGAUCGGGGGUGUUGAGUCCGGUGGUGAUGCUGCUGAGUUUAUCCUUCUGGGAGCAAAUUCUGUACAGGUAGGUUGAGAAACUAACUGUUAUAGUGUGACUGUUCUUUGCUGAUAUAAAAAUGUAUUAAUCUGAUGAUUUCACAUUCUGAGGUGAUUCUUUUGUUUUUGCUUUUCAUAUUUCUCUUUCUUUUAUUGCUAGUUUACAUAGGAAGUAGCCAGUGAAGACACUUUAUUUAUUUGCUGCACUUGGUAUUACGGGCAAAAGAGUACCUGAUAGGCUAAUAAGUGGCAGACCAAGCCCAAACGGUUAAAAAAAAUACUUGUUUUCAGAAGAUAUAUUCAUUUUUCAAGUCUCAGAAGUUCUUUUGCUUAUCUAGUAGGUUUGCUAGUGUAUGUAUAUAACAUUCAGGAAGAGCUUUUGAUUUUCUCACAAACUUGCCAAUGGAGUAUUGUUCUACCAAACUUUGAAUGUGGAAGCAUGAAUCCCCCUCCCUCACACACGCACACGCGCGCGCGCACACACACGUCUUGAGAUUGAAACUUUGUUGAACUUUGUGAAUUUGUUACAUCUAUCACUUUUAUCUUCUGUUGUCAACAACUGGAACGUUCCCUUGUUGAAUAUAGUAUUUAGCUGGUUGUGUUAUUAUGUUAUACCCAAGCAUAUGGAAAUCAUUUUUUCAUUUGCAGGUCUGUACUGGGGUCAUGAUGCAUGGAUACGGUGUUGUGAAGAAACUCUGUUCUGAGCUAAAGGACUUUAUGAGACAGCACAAUUUCUCAUCUAUAGAAGAUUUCAGAGGGUACACCCUUUAAUAAUGAAUAUCAGAGCUAGACAUGAUUCUAAUUUCUGUUAGAAAUAAGAAAUGAAUUUUACUCAUAUUUACUCUGCACUUUUCAGGGCUUCCCUCGAGUAUUUUACAACGCAUACUGAUUUAGUACACAGACAGCAAGAAGCCAUCCAACAAAGAAAAGCCGUGAAGAGAGGGUUGCAGUCCGACAAAGAUUGGACAGGAGAUGGUUUCGUUAAAGAAACCGAGAGCAUGGUCUCUAAUUAAACUACAUGAUGUUAUUUGUACAAGAAAAUUUGCUGUUCAUCUGUUUUGUGGUGUAAAUUUAGUGGAAAAUCCUUUCAUUGAAACUGAGCUGUAAUAAUAAACGUUGUUCAGAUGCUCUCCACUAAUCAAUCUAAUUGAAUCAAAUAAACAGUAUGGCUUUGUACACUCAUGAGUCUCAGAUCACAAUGCAUUUACUAUCUCAAAAGCUCAUCAAAUAGUACACCUUUGGAUGCAACAUUAUAGUUGAUGGGAGCUACUGUAAUGUUUUACAUAUUGAAAUUGAAGUGUUACAAGAAGUGCAAUCAGCUUCGUGCCUAAUCCCAUGAGUAAAAACUAUAUAACAAGUCAAAGCUGAAUCAAUGUGUUCGUGAUUCCAAAAUCCUCAAAUCGAACCAAAUCUUCAAUCACUCGAAGAGUACUUGAUGGAGGAGUUAAAUCAAGGAGGCGGGGGGAAGAAGGCUGUCUUCCUCACACAAGCCAAUAGAUUGAAGCUUGAGAAGGCAAAGGUGCAACAGCAUUUUCAUCUUCAAAAUCAGUGCCAACGGUGAGAACUCCUUCAGGAGGGAAUUCCUCCCACUCCUAUUAGUUCCAUCUCUAGAGAAGUAAGUAGAUGCAUACUUGGCAAAGGCCGACGUCGAGACCUCAACGCCAACACUAUAAGCUUUCAAAUUGCUCAGUUCUUCCUUGUUUCCAUCACUAUGCGCGUUUAUAAGCCAAUUUUUUUUUUUUAGAGAGAAAUGAAUAAUUCAUUAAUCGAGGGACAAACCCAAUUACAAAACUUAUAAACGCGAGGCCGGAAAGUUACUAAUAACAAAGAACAUUUAUCUCCAACUCGAACAAACUAGAAAGAGUGAAAGAAGACCAACAACUCGCUAAUCUAUGGACCGAAGGUCCUACAUCCGAAAAUAAAAAUGCAACAACACUAACUAAUCUACCACACUCGCCACCCAUACUUGCUAGCAUUGCCGUCACCGUCACCGUCGUCGUUAGCAACCAUGAGGUAGUGAGGAGUACUAAACCAGAGCGUUGAUGCUCGUGAAAUUGAUGCCAAUCAAAUCCCAAGGCACAUAUCAUAUGGGAACCCAAAACCCAGAAGAAGAGCUCCCUCAAAACAACAUCAUACAAUCCACCAUUGAUACCUAAGCCAUGAAGGAGCUAUGGUUGCCGAAAGAGGACCAAAAACCAGACCAAAGAACUAGAACCAAACAAAAUUUGUUCUUCCUUUUCUUUAGCUACUUUUUGUAUGAUGUUUUGUAUUUGUUUAAGUAUAUAUGUUUUCAAUUUCUACUAUGUCUUGCUUCUUUCCUUAACAAAGGUUAAGGAGGAAACCACAUUAUGAAAUAAGUUUCUUUUAAUUAUCUAUCAAUUCCCAUAGUUAUGUUAUUCAUGCCUAUGACUCUUGCUUCAAAAUGCAUUAAUAAAAUAUUUGUUCAUUUCACCUCUAAUGUCAUGCAUUUUUUGUAGUUUGGAAGUCACUUUUAUAAAUCCAUGCUUGGCUUUGUAAAAUAUUUUAAUAUGAACUCUUUUGAUCUCUUGUCAUUCAAAUGAGCUUGUUUCACAUUUGAUGCUUUGCACACACUUUGAUCUUUUGUAGUUUCAAUAAGUUUGUUUACAUGUGAUGCUUUGGUGUUCAUAAUUAAGAGGCGAAGAAGAGUUUACUUUAGAUUUAUUUGGUGUGUUUCAUUGUUAAAUCUUGAGAAAACAGUAGAUUGAUUUCUAGAUUGCUACUCCUGAUUCAGGAAUUAAUAGAUAACAUUUAGAGACUUAUCGAGUAAUAAUCCGAUGCCUUAGUUACUUCGUCAUAAAGGUAAUCUUUAUCUAUUUUAUUUGUCUUAGCUACUUCACCAUCAACUUUCAUUCAACUAGGUUAGUGUUAAAUUAAUUUGGAUUCGAUUAAUUUUUCCUAUUUUCAUACAUUCCCUAUGGGUUCGACCUCGCUCUUGCAUAUUUGUACUGCAACUAAUUCGUGUGCUUGCGAGUAACAUUUUAAAACACAUCAGUAGAUGCCACAGUAACUCCAUAACUCGCUACCAACAAACUCCAUUCAAUCCCAAAAGAGCAGAUUUGGAUCGAUCUCCCCAUUCCAAGUUCGACUCUCCUCUCUCCAACGGUAGACCUUCCCUCUACCAAAGGGCCUCGCUGAUAGCUCGGAUCACCAUCCCCUCCCGGCCUGAACGUAGCGGCAGAGUCGCCGACGGUGUUCGGUAGGGAGAGGUCACACGAAGCCUCUGUUCUCUCCUUCUGCUUUUCCACUUUCGAGACUCGUUUAGUAGGAACUCACUUUUUAAGCUAGUUCUCAUAGCAUUGAGUUCAUUUGCCUUGUUAUGGGGUCUAUUGCUUUUCCCAUAUUUUGUGGGUAACUAUAAGUAAUUCCUUUUAAGAAUGGAAAUUGGGAAGGUUCACAAAAUUCUUUUCCAAGUACUAGUAGCCCUUUAUCUCCAAAGCCAACAUUUCGGGUUGUUGAUGUUGUUGUUGUUGUUUUUUUUUUUUUUUUCUUUCUUCUUCUCGAUUAGACGGGUUGUUUUCCCUUUGUACUUUGUAGCCCCGAUCGAUUGAUCCACAAUCAGUCCUGGAGGGAAGUUCUCGUUUUAAUUAAUUCAUCUAAUCAUCUUUCACAAUUUGGGAAAGAUGUUUCACUAGAAAUCUUGUUUCGACUCAUAUACCCCAAAAAUGGAUCCCGUUCUAAUAGCUCUGAUUCAUUGAAAUACUUGCACUAAGAUACAACGGCUAGUCGGCUAGCUUCUUAUUCUGCAACAACCGAACAACGAAAGCACUUUUUCACUGAGUCUCCCCAUUUUCAUGGUAAAUUGGUAUCUUCCCAUUUUUCAUACAUUCGUCUUGUUUGGCUGCUCCUGUCCUUAAUUAAGCUUUAGGUGUUGUUGCAUGUAUAAGUAAUUAAGCUUUUGGAUGAAUCAUUUAACUAUGUAUUAAUUAGAUUUAUUCAAACUAAAUUACGCCAGCCUCUAAUUUUACGAUUACUUACUCGGUAGAGCUAGUUGACAUGGAGCAAAUAUUUCUUCACUGAAAUUAUCAUCUAACUGGCAUUCCAUUUGUUCUCAAUUUUGUUACUAGAAUUCCUUUUCCCGGAAGAAUCACAUCGGAGAGAUGCAAACAAGACAGAUCGCAAAGCUUUUCAGCUUAGGUCAUGUUUGGUUCAUAGAAUCAAGUCAUUGAGAAAGGAAAAUCAUUAAUUUCUAUUAUUUGGAAAUAAAAAAGAAAGAGUGGGAAAAGAAAAAUGGUCCCCACAUGCAAGGAAAGUUGGGUGAAAAAUGGUUCUCUCCCCCACGUCACCCUAAGGAUUCACUUUCCUUUCACUUGUCAAAGGAAAAUUCAAAGAUUUCAUUUCCUUUCCUUUCCUUUCCUUUCCUUUCCUUUACAUUCCUUAAACCAAACUAGGAAAAUUCAAGCAUGGAAGAGUAGUAGAUGUUCUUGGAUAGAUAAAUAAUCUCAUUAAUUAUUAAUCAACUACAUGGAUCAGACAUACAUGUUAAGAGAAAGUUCUUAUAGCUAGCUAGCUAGCCAUAUCGAUCAUGUUGCGCGCCCAUGACGUACAGUAGUGUCACAAUUAACAUGACAUGCAUAUAGUUUCGCAUAUUGAAACUCAUCCAGUUCUUGUGCUCUAGAUUGAUCUUCUGGGAAAGUCGAUCAUCUCUGGUUUUCUUUCACCUAAAGAUAUUUCAAGGUUCAGAAGAGAUGCAAUAUAUUAGUUGCAGGGGCGUAGAUAGCCUAGGACGAGAGAAGUCAAUUGAUCCCUCUCAAAUUUAAUACAUGUUUUAAUUACCCUUUAUUAUUAUUCAUUAUUAAUAGAAUGAAACAUAAAUGACCCUUCUUAAUUUUGAGAAAAAUCUUAAAUAGGCUUAAAUAUUCAUGAAUAUUAAUGGAAUGAUAUAGAAAUCUAUAGCUGUAUAAUGAUUCAUUGAUUCAAUUAAUACAAAUUUUUACCUUACUGAUAUGUGCUUCAAGCUAGGAUCACAGUUAUUCUCAAAAUUUAUUCAAAAUGAUUUAAUGGUCUUUCAACAUUAAUAUUAGUAUAAAACAUACAAUACUUUUACAUACAGGUCCUGACAACAAAUUUUUUUUACUAAUUUGUAUAGGACAAGAAAAUUAUAGAAAGCUUGUGUUAUUGUGUUUUUAGGAAAAAAAAUUGUGCCCUUUUUGUAACGAAUGACCACAAAUUUUACUUUCUUAAUAUAUAAAUUUUGACCAUUUUAAAUUACAAUUUUGGCUACGCUACUGAUUAGUUAUAUAGUUAUUGUGUGUUCUAUUUAAUCAGUUGGUCAAGUUUAAGACUGACCAGAAGUGGGGCGGCGGUGGUGGAAGCUGGUAGGUGAUUCAGGUAGAUCAAGAUGAGACCUGGUGGCAGUGAGCUCUUUGAGUUGAUGGUGCAUGCUAGUUAUGAAAGUCAUGGACUUUCGGUGAGGUUCCUCCAUUGCUUCCUUCAGCUUUCUAAGUGCCAAACAAUAUGCUUCCUAUAUAUAAGAACACACACACAUUAGUUUAUAUAUUAGAAAUAUGUUAAUUACUUGCUACUAUAUAUGUAUGCUUCCGGUGUCCUAGCUUGGCUGGCCCUGUAAAUCCUGUAUAUCUUUUCAAGGUAUAAAGCUUAAAGCUUAUUGCUUUCAUCAGCCUUAAUGCCUUAUCUACUCAUAUAUAUGAAUAAAGCAAACUGGGAAUUAAUGUCAGUUUAUCUCAAAGUUCUUCAGUAAUAUUGGACGUUCGAACUACUGAAGUAAACUAAGAUCACAAUUCACACAUUACUACAGCUACCUGCGUAGCAAUUAUAUAUCAGCUGCUAGUCGUAGAAUUAGCAAUGUUACUAAUCAACAGAGAAAUAUUAGUGAUACCAUGAAGUGAUCGAGCUCCGGUUCUCCUGAAGUACUGGACUUGUGGUUGUCAAGCUGCUUCAUAUAAUCCCUGAGGGCAUCACUUUCCUCUAGGUCAUCUCCAAUACCGCCAACCUGCUUAUCAGAAAAUUUCAUUAGAAGAUCGAGGAGAAGAAAAUUGCAGAAGCUAGCCCUUUUUAUUCUGCUCAUAUGUGUGUGUGUGUGUGUAUAUAUAUAUCAGAUCGUUAGAACUUAGAAGGCAUCUGUAUAUGAAAGCAAAACGUACAAAAAAUUAAAGAUUUAUAAUUUUUUCUUGCUCCGACUUAUUUUUGCAACAAAUUUAACAAAAAAUAGCAGAUGCUACUAGCUCUCAGUUUUAUAUCGAGAGAGAGAGAGAGAGAGAGAGAGAGAGAGAGAGUAGUNNNNNNNNNNNNNNNNNNNNAGAGAGAGAGAGAGAGAGUUUCAACCAGUAGGUUACCUUCAAACAGUCAAGGUGAGUUUCAACCAAGAGCCCAUAUAAAGGAUGGCUAGAGAUUCUAGUUUUGAGGUUCUCCUCAUGAUCAUCAUCUUGAUUUUCUUCUCGUUGUUCUUCUUUCUCCUUGUAACUACCCAUGAAAGCCUCCAUAUAUACUCCAAGUUAAACAACAGAUAGAGAUGAUCGAGAGGAACUAAAAGCCUGAAACAACAAUUUUUGUUAACCAGUUAUAUAUAUACCCAGACAAGCUAUAUAUAUCGAGUAGGAAGUCUUUACUCUUUACUAUAUAAGGCCAAUCCUUCAUUCAGGAAAAAGGCCACCGUGGAGGGGUUGUACUGUAGAGUACUGACGCUCCUAUUUUGGAGUUCAGCAAUGGAAUGACUAGUGCAUGCAUCAUAAUUUGAAUGAGUGAAUGCCCGAAUGGUACAACAUCAGUCAGACUCUACUCAGUAGUCGACUGAGAACACACUAGCUAAGCUAAGCUAAUAAUGAAUUCAUAUUCUUGGAGAGGGAGAGGAGAGGGAAGUGGGUCUCUUGGCCUUUUCGCUAUCUCCGGUCUAUCUUUUCUUUUUGGUUCUGUCUUUUUACAUGAAGAAAGGAACUAAUCGAGGGUCUGGUUAAUUUCUCGAACGAUGUGGCCUUGUAACUAGUACAGUAGUAGCUUAAUCAGCACUACUGGGUUUACUAGUUAGCAUCAUCAUCAUCAUCAGAUGGAUCUUUCUUUCCUUUUUUACUGGUCAACAGUGUCAGCUCUCAAUACCUCACUGUUUGAAGCAGUACAAAGCUCCAAAUUCCUAACUGUUCACACGUAAACAGUUAACUGCUUUUAUCGAUGUUUGGUCACUUGAAUUUGAGGAAGAGAAUGUUUCCACUACUGUUGAUACGCUCUUACGAAAACGACUAUUCAAGGCGUAAUUUUUGAUAUCUGAUUUUAUGGGGAAGGUAUCAAAGAUUGUGUAUGUACGUACGCAGACAGAUAUAUCAUCGAGCAGAUAGAUAAAUAUCAUACAUCUCCCCCACCAAAGCUAAAGCUAAGCUGGCAUUUCGUUCUCUCAAGUCUCAACGAUCCAAUUGGAAUUACUAGCUAGUUACUCUACAAAUCAGAUCAGCGGUGACUAUGGAAGUGAAAACCCCAACCGUGCAACGAAAGGUAGAAAUUUAGACUCUUGAGCCCAUCAAAGGAGAAACAUAUCACUUGCAUAUGAUUCAAUUUAUAGUUGAUAUAAAAGUUCAUAACAAAAUUAGCAAAAAUUCUAAUCUGUAUACGUUUCAUCUUAGAGAUACAAGUUUCUUAAGCUUCAUCUUCUUCUUUUUUUAUCUGAAUCUUAAGCUUCAUCUAUUGCUCAUGCUAUAUGGUUCCCCUCUGAUUUUGUUGUUUAUUAUAAGAGGUUUUGCCCUAUCGUUCCCCUCCUAAGGUACUAUAUAUCCUUUGUGGGAAAUUGCCAAAACAAAAGGUUUUCAAGUGUUGAACCCUAACCUAAUUAAGAAAAGGCAGGCCAGCAUCGAUGGACAACAUGCAUGGGCUCGCAGGAACAUAGUGAAGGGAGAGGAGCUAGGUGCUCUAGUAAACCCAAUUUGUUUGUUUCUUGGACCAUGAGGCGGCACUAUAGAUAAUCCAUCUUGGAAAGAAAAAGGAAAAGACAAAUCAGAUUAUUGGGAUGAAUGUUCUACUUAGGGAGAUGCAUGGAUCGGAUUCUAGCUCCCAUAAUUGAUGACUUGAUAUUGAAGGAUUCCAAUUCAGUUUCGUUCUUUUCUCUUAUUAUUACAGAGGCCAAAAGCAAUUUUGCCAACACACAAAUAAAUCAACUUCCAAAAGCGGAUCAUAACAUUAGAUCGAUCAGGAGAACCGAUAAAAACCUGCAUCCAUGUUCCAGCCAUGCAUGUCCCAAACUUGCUAAUAACAAAUAAUGAUCAGCACAUGUGGUUACGUAGGGGUGGGCAUAAAAUCCCGUAAUCCCGAACCCGUUCCGGUCCCGUUCUAAAAUUUGUCGGGACGGGACGGGAUUUAAAUCUCAAAACGAUGUCCGUCCCUUCCCGUCCCGUCCCAUCCCAUCCCUAUACAACGGGAAGGGACGUGGGACAAAUAAUUCAAGUCCCGUUUAGGCCCGUCCCAUCCCGACUAUUUUAAUUAUUGAUUUUUUAUUGAUUAAUAUGUGAUUUGAACCUUUCAUUUAAGUGUUUUAAUUUUAGCUCUUUGUUUCUUUAAGUUACUAGGUUGUCUCCAAUUCAAUAACAGUGAUGUUUAAUACUUUAAUUUGUUGAUUGUUGUAGACUCUCUUUUUGCACUGUAAUAGUGAUGACAAGUUUAGAGAAAGUAAGCAGUACGUAUAAACUCUCUUAUUACACCGUGUUGUACUUGUAAAUAUGUUACAAGUACUUGUUAAUACUUAAUAAAGUAAAGAGCACUAUAAAACUAUAAAACUUUUUCUUUUGCUUACAAGUUUAUUUUCAACUUUUUUUAUUUGGAACUGGACCCAUCAUGUCCCAUCCUAUCUCGUCUCGACCGAGAUAGGGCCCGGGUGGGAUGAAAUCUAAAAAAUGCAAAGCCCGUCCCGUCCCGUCCCGAUUUCAAUAUCUGGGACGGGCCGUGGGAUUAGCUCUAUCCCGUCCCAUGUCCACCCCUAAGUUACGUUCUCUGUAUAUAUACGUACAUGCUCAAGGCCGGGACACUGGCCGGCCGGCCGGCCACCGAUCCCUGUUCUGAAAUUUUUGACAAUAAUUUGCCACGGUGCUAAUGAAAAAGAGGGUUAAGUUGACCAUUGAGGAAGAGAACUAGCUUGACGUACAACAACAAGGGAUCGAUCGAUCAGUUCAUUUCUAUUUGUAGCAGUCCAAAUUCAGUUCGUUUUCAUAUAAAGAUCGAUAUGUCAAUUUUGUUGGUUCCCUGUUGAAUGGCACAAAUGCAUUUUCUCCAUCUUUCAUUUUCGUAGGGAAAAUAAUGAUCAAGUCUCAGUUAAGUUCUACAUGGCUAACAUUAAGCCACACUGCCACUCCAAUAUAUAAUCAUAAUCUAGAAAAUACGAUGAACCUCCAUUUUCAAAACAUGGAUCGAUCUUUGCUUGGUUUUAAUACAUAACGAUAAAAUGAUUAGAUGGCCAAACAAACUCAGCGGCCUGUUUAUGCUGUUGGCAAGGUGCGAUCGAUCAACAACUAUGCCUUGCGUAUAAGACAAUAAUUAAGCUAAUUCAAUCUUGUCUUGAAAAGAUAGUGCCAAUACAUAACUACCAACAUAUACAUGUGGGUUUGUAGGGGUUCUACACUGCACCCUUUACCCUUUCAUGCAUGCAUGCUCCAUGGCCAUAUCUCUCUCUCUCUCUCUCUCUCUCUCUCUCUCUGGAGUCUCGACCAGUAGAGUUCGUGGGGGAGGGAGUUCACGUGAUGGCCCUGAUGGAGAGCAUAUGGUUGAAGCGAGCACGGAGCAGCAUGCCUUCGGGGGCGGGGCACUGCGCUCGUUAACUGUUUGAUUAGUUAAGUCCGUUUGAUAUGUUUUCACUUCGUUAGCGCGUGCAUCCACGCGUAGUUAACUAACAGUUGGUGACCCAUCACCGUGUGGACUGAAGAAUCUCCGUCUAUUCAUAUGAUGUAGUCGAUCCGAUGGAUCAUGCCUCCGUCAAUCUGUACAAAACAAAUCACUAAUCUCACUCGAACCAAAUCUAUAGGGCAAGCUAGCUAGCUCAUCCAGUUAUCUUUUUUUGUUUCUUAAAAAGUUGAUAUUUUUAUAUAUAUGAGGUCGAUGUUAUGGCAAUACGUACGUUCUACCCGACGACGACACUAUAGCUAGCUAUGUACUGCUGUUUCUGGCCAUGCAUGGCUAGUGAAUGUGAAUCCUCCCGUACGAAGAUAUGCAAAUUUGUGAAGCUGAUUUGCAUCGAAUCAUGCUGAAGUGACCUUACUCAUAUAUGUAUGCUUUGCUCCAUAUAUUGAUCAAAUUUUCUGGUUUUGCUUAUGCCUACGUGAACUUACUCCAAAAACACACACGUCCCCACAUGUCCAAAUAUAUCACCCACAUAUCACAUACGCCAUGCACAGUUUGACCUUACAAGCUAGCCAGAUAUACCUAACUACGGUAUCCAUGCAUCGGCAUUAUUAAUUUAUGCAUGAACCGCAUGCAUCUUCAUUCUGUGUGUAUAUAAGCAAGUCGAAACUCAAAAUGUGUGGAGAGAAACUUGUAGAAGUUCCAGCUACUCACCUGGUGAAGUAACUGCAUGCUUUUUUUGUUGCAAUUACAUGAUGGCUUUCGUAACUGUGAACAAGCGCAGUAUCAUCUCUCUUCACCUCGCAUUUACGCUAGUACCCUUCCUCAUCUCGUCACUACCACUCGUAGCUCAUGGUAAGUCAGUAGUUUUUAACAUGUAAACCAUGCAAGAUAGUUUUAUAUGAUCGAUAUUGAUAUAGAGUAAAACUAACUGAUGGUUUUUUUUGUCUGGCCGGUUACUUUGAUGUACGUACGUGCAUGACACAGCACGAGAUAUCAGCAGCAGCAGAAGGAUCGAUGCCGUCAUGAAAAAAGGUGCGGCUGUGAGUAGUGUGCUUCAAGAUGCAGAACUAGUCGAGACCAGUGAUAUCAGCAGCAGCAGAAGCAGCCACCCAUUUGAAACCAAGCAAAAGCAAGAGAAUCUGGGCGGUGCUGCUGCACAAGGCAUAGAUGACGACUCACUGGUCGUGGAUUACACCCCAGUUAGAAGCAAGUCUCCCAUCCAUAACUGAUUAUAUGCUGAGUAUGCAUGGUUCGAUCUAUCUCCGCCAUAUAAGUUGAUAAUAUCUAGUAAAUAAAUCCCAUGAAAUUAAAGAUGCUCCAUGCUGUAAGUGCGUACUUGAAUAUAUACUCCAUAUUUGAAACUUCCAAGGACAUGCCUCCUGUGCCUGGCUAGCUAGCUUGCUAUAUAUCUUGCUAAAUAAGUUCUAUCUAAUAGAAUCUACUGGUUAGUUUAGGCAUGGUGUGAGUGCAUAUACCAUAUAUAUAGUUAUAUACAUGUGAGAAUAAAACUGCCGCUGCUCACAUAUAUUUGCCUGCAAGAGGCUUCUUAUUUGGUCGAUCUAUCAUCUGUAGAUAUACAAUUAAUGUAAAUAUAUGUAUGUAUACCAAUAAAUGUAAAGUUUUGCUUGUUCACCAUGCAUGUAUAUAUGUGUGUGUAUAUAUAUAUAUAUGUUAUAUGUAUAUGAUGUUGAAAUUAAGUUUCUAUUCAUAUAUUUGUUUGAAUGCAAAUGACUAUAUUGAGACGUUUUGGCAUGGUGAUUCGAUUAUAUAUGAAUCAUCUAGAUCACUCCUGCGGUAAGCGUCAUAAAUUCAGAAACUAUAAAGAUCGAGAUGUUGGUCAACGGAUAUAACUGCAUAUAGUGGAAAUUCUUGUAUACACCACGUGUAUUUACACGACACAAUCUUAACCAUUUAUAACAAUCUAUAUAUUUGACCACCAUGUUUCUAUAUUAUUUCCUUUAAUCCUGACCAUCCAUGUAUGUAUGUGAAGAUACACGCUGUGUACUGAAAAUGUUUUCCUGCAUAUAAUACGUAGUUGAAUUAGUAUUCAUCUCAAUAUUCUUAGUUAUUUCUGGAAAACCAAUAUUUCUUCAAUGUUUCUGGAAAAUCACUAUUUCUCCAACGUCUUAAAAUUUCUGUAUUAUAAGGAAACAAAAAAACCAACAUUUCUUCAAUGUUUAUGCUUCUAACAAAUUCUCUAUAAGAAUCUCCCGGUAUCCACAUUUAUUCCUAGCAAGUUUACAAAUUGCUGUAAGUUUAGGUUUUCUAAUCUCUUUCCUCAUUAUGACAUUAUCCCUAUUUCACUGAGUUAUAAGGGAAUAUGUUGGUUUGGAGCAAAAGAUGCUUUAUAUUAGCUGAAGUUACUUGAAACAAAGAAAAAUCAAGAUAUGAAGAAAACUGUUAGGGUUACCUUUCAAACAUGAUUGUUGGAAAAGUAUGUCAAACACAAUUUCGUUUUUAGGCCUCAUUUGGUUCACAAAAAACAAGAAUCGAAAAUGAAAAUUGUUCGUUUCCUACGUUUGGGAAUGCUGAAGGAAGGGAAAAUAUGAAAGAAAAUGGUUCCUUCUAAAAUCUAAAUGAACAACUUCCUUCAUUUUCUUACAUUUAUUACUCACAUCAUCUUAUUUUAUUGCAUUAAUUAACAAUAUUUAAAAUGAUUUUCUUUAUGUUCAUAAAUUGAAGAACAAAAAGUUAUCGGGAAAUUUCAUUUCCCUUAUCUUUCCUUUCCCAUGAGAAAGAAAGACAAGAAUUAAUCUCAUGCUGCAAUCCAAAUGAGACCUUAAGGUCCCUCAUAUCCUAAAUGCAUAUAUUUUAGUUUCAUCAACUUAUUAGAUAUGUUCUAUGUAGUUUGCAGGUGUUUUGGGUUUCUUCUUUUUUUUUUUUUUUCUUCGAAAAAGAUCCAUAACUUAAUUGAGCAGAACUUAAGAUGGUUUUUGUGGCCUGGAAGUAAUACAUGCCAUUAUUAAUCUUCUAAAGUGGCUUGGGUGGUUGUUUGUACUCCUACAAGUGAAGGAUGGAGGUCUGGGUAUCAAAAGUCUUCAUAUUUGGAACAAGGCUCUAAUGGCGAGGCAUAUUUGGAUUCUUCUGACAUAUGACUCUAGUCUUUAGUCUUCUUGGAUCAAAGUUAAUUUCCUGAGAGAUAAAAGUUUUUGGAUCGAUGGUGUCUACCCCAUCUCCCUCUUAUCUUUCCUUUCCCAUGAGAAAGAAAGACAAAAGAAUCAAUCUCAUGCUGCAAUCCAAACAAGGCCUUAAGGUCCCUCAUAUCCUAAAUACAUAUAUUUUAGUUUCGUCAACUUAUUAAUUAUGUUCUUUGUAGUUUGCAGGUGUUUAAUUUGGGCUUCUCAUUUUUUUUUUCCGAAAAAGAUCCAUAACUUAAUUUAGCAGAAAUUAUGAUGUUUUUUGUGGCCUAGAAGUAGUACAUGCCAUUAUUCUUCUAAAGUGGCUUGGGAGGUUGUUUGUACUCCUACAAGUGAGGGAGGUCUGAGAAUCAAAAGUCUUCGUAUUUGAAAUAAGGCUCUAAUGACGAGACAUAUUUGGAUUAUUCUAACAUAUGACUCCGGUCUUUAGUCUUAUUAGAUCAAAGUUAAUUUCCUGAGAGAUAAAAGCUUUUGGAUCGAUUCAUAUUUGAAAUAAGGCUCUAAUGACGAGGCAUAUUUGGAUUCUUCUAACAUAUGACUCCAGUCUUUAAUCUUAUUAGAUCAAAGUUAAUUUCCUAAGAGAUAAAAGUUUUUGGAUCGAUGGUGUCUAACACCCCUCCCCCCCCCCCCCCCCCCCCAAAAAAAAAAAAAAACCCUUAUUGCUCAUGGAAUUGAAGGAAGUUGUUGAAGAUUAGAGAUCUUAUUCGUCCUUUUAUUAAGCAUGCUAUUGGUGAUGGAAAGUCUACUUAUUUCUGACAUGAUUAUUGGCACUCUUGUUAAUUUUGGUGUUCCUUCCAAUGCCUUGGUUAGCUCUGUUGUGAUGGGUGAGUCUUGGUAAUGGCCUCUUUCUACUAAUUUUGUCGUUCUUAAGGUUGCAAAUAAUCUAGACGGUCUUCUUCCAAAUUCAAGUUGCAAAGAUUCUUGAAUUUUCUGGUUAUAUGGUUAGGUUCUACUUCUGGAAUUUUCUCUACAGCUUUAGCGAUGGAUGAUAGAUUCAUAUUUCAUACAUUUUUAUACCCUUAUAUGCAUGAUUAUAUGCUUAGUUCUUGUCAAUUGUGAGUCAUUUACUUGGUUUUUAUGUUUUGUAGGUCAAGUUGGAGAAAAAGAGAAUUUAGAGCUAAGUGAUCCAGAAACUGCCAUGCUGUGCAUCAACUUUGGGAAUUAAAUUGUACCUACUCACAAGGAAUCUGGAGGCGAACCAUACACCAUUGGAAAGCUACAGAUGUUAGCUUUCUGAGAAAUUUUGCGGAAGUGGAUUUGUAUUUUUCUAGAGCAAAUUAUGAAGGUUUGAGUAGACGCAACGCGUGGAGGCAGAUUCUAACGAAUUUUGUGUUUCUUCUCAUGAUUCUAAUUUGUGAAGCCCAAGUCCAUCAAUCUUAAUACUAAGGAAAAGGGCUGAACGUGUCUACACAUUUGGAAGGCUAUCCUUACAUUGACAAUAAUAACCUUGUGUUAUUUGGAGAGAAGAUAACAAUUCCAAGUUGGACAAGGAGAGUCCGAAAAAGCCCAAAUCAAUUGGGAUUUCAAGGGGAAUAAAAGAAGAACCCUAAGGACAUUAAAAAGAAGAACAGGGACGCAGCAAAGGAAGACGCAGCAAUAUUGGCAGAGAAGGAAAAGAAGAACGGAGCCUCUCCAUCACUCAACCCGAGUUCUUAUAUCUUCUUUUGUUUCUUCCAUGCUAUCUUUAUUUCUAGUCAUGUUUUCUUUAUCUAUGGAUUUCUAAACUUCUAGCUAGGGCUGAGAUGAAGCCCCUAGUAUGAUUACUCUAUUUCUUUAGUUGAUUGUUUUGGAUUCAAUGGAUUGCCAUGUUAAAUUCUCAAUCACCAUUUUAAUUAAACUUUUAUUCAAAAUCUUUGUUUGGGAUCAAUAAGACCUAGGUUUUGUUUAUUAGUUAUUUGGUUUGAAAACAUGAGGCUUGAUCGAGAGUAGAUGUUUUCUAGGGUUCCAAAGGAUUUAUUUAAUUUUGUGAUUAGAGAGUUGUAAGUUAAGAAUACAAGUGCUUGAUCAUAGUCGAUAUUCUUGUUUACAUGAUUUUCUAGUUCUUUUGUGUUUAAUGGAGUUGAACAUGUUUUACUUGAACCUGAUCAUAACGUGAAGUAAAUUAUAGUUUGGCUACUUGAGUUCUAUACAGAAUCAAUAAGUUAGAAUUCAUUGUUUAGAAGAACUUUGGCAUAUGUCUGGGAUCAAUAAGGCUUAUGUACGGAAAUCUUUAGCAUGCAAUCUAGGGAGUUCAAUUGCUAUCAACUUGAGAGGAGGGUAUGAGUAUUAGGUGGUGGAUUCAAUGUUUUAGCAUCUUCAUAAUCUGCUCUUAAACUCAUAGAAAUUUCAUUGUUCUCUUGUCUUUAAUUUCAAUUUUAUUACUUUAUUUUUUGUUUUCAAUCCAAACAUCAUAAAAUCAUAUUGUUAUUUCAUUAGGCAUAGUAUAAUUAGCAUAAUAAGUUGUUCUAAUCAAUCCAUAAAGGGAACGACCUCGUGCUUGCACUUCUAUUCUAUAAGUGGUUCGUGCACUUGCGAGUACUAUAUUAAAACAUACAACAAUAUAUCAGCUUCAGACUCAUUAUUUUGUUGUUGAUUGGGCUAAAAGUAUAAGGUUUACCAAUAAUAUUCCUAGAGCCAGUUUUAUCUUUUGCUUGGUUGAUCAUGGUAAGCUUGCUACUCUUGAUAGGGUCACUACUUGUUCUCCUCAUAUUAGUCCUCUCUGUCCUCUUUGUGGUCUAGUUCCAGAGAAUAUUAAUCAUAUUUUCUUUGCCUCUUUUUCUCGCUACACAUUUGGAAGAAUGUUUUUUGUUCUUAUGGGGCGUCUUGGUUGAACCCUUCUUAGGCUUUAUUUAUUGAAUGGGUCUCUUCUGGUAGGUAAGUCUUUCUCUUCUAUCAUCAAGAAGUUUGGUCUUUCCGUUACUGUUUAUCUCAUAUGGACAAAGAGGAAUAAUCAUAUCUUUAGAAAUGAAAGAUGUGCUCCAUAUUUGGUCCUCAAGAGUCAAAAAUAUUAUCUCCAUGAUCAGAUGCAUGCUCAUUUCCAUCAAGUUUAAGUGUUCUAGUACUAAUAGAUUUAUUACUGAAAAGUGGAACUUAGAUGCAUCUUUGCCUUUUCUUGUUUUUUCCUUUUCAAGUUUUGUUUUGCUUUCCUUUGGUUUGAUUUGUUUUUUCUAUUGUUCUAUAGUUUCUUUGUUUUUGACUUCAGUUGUGUAGUGGGCUUGCCCUCCCUUUUUUGGUUCAAUAUACUCGUUUAUUUACCAAAAAAAACUUGGUUCAGAAUUUAACUGGUUGUUGAUUGAAAACUUGAAAGGUUAUUAGGAGCUACAGGUAGCACAACUCCUUGAUUGACACCAACGGUAACUCUUCAUAAACUAGUAAUUGACUGUAAUUCAUCUAAACUUUGUCUCCUCUAUUUAUCAAACUGAUUCAUACAAGUCCAAGUAUAAUCUUCGAGUUCUUUCUUUCUUGUUACUGUAUUCCAGGACAAAUUUUACUUCACUCUUUCUUGUAACUUCUUAUAUAUACAUUUCUGUACUCUAUAUUUUUGAGCUUGCUUCUGUUUUCCUGUAUCUUUUCCUCUUCUCAUUUUGUAAUGAAACAGUUCAAUUAUAUGCUACAGACCAUACCAACCUCAACAAGAGCAGCAUGAGGAAUGUUGAGUGCAACGGGAGGCUCUCUGCAGUUUUUCUCACUCAAAACGUAAGUCAUGAUCAGUAACCGCUUGAAAAUGUUUGAGCCGUCACGAACUGCCAAAUGCACCUGACCCAAGAAAUAUGCAGCACCACUCUCCCUAGCAUCAAUCAGUUCUUGAAGCUCCUCCCUAACAGAUACUCGCAUCUUAGGACUAUUCGGAGGCAGCAUGAAGCGGACUUUUUUUCUCUGCAUCGAAACCAAACCACUCUCACAUGCAUCAGCCAAUGUACCUAGCCGGCUUUCACUGUGCACCAAGCUCACUGAGUCCUCACAUGAGGUAAUCUCACUUAAAGGAAUCAAAGCACUUCCAUUUGAUGGUGGCUUGCCAACUAUGAUCAUUCUAUCUUGAAAUGAAUUGUCAAAGUCAUUUUCUUCCACGGAAAUGAAUUCUCCAAUCGAACCAAUAAUCUCUUCCUCAAAAUCAUCAGUGUCUCUAAUGUGAUCACAAUAUCCAUAUCUCACCACACAACGAUAUAUUUUAAGAUCUUUUGGCCCGAUCCUUCCCACAAGGUACCUCCGAGUUGCAGGGACAUAGGGAACUGGUAGAGACUUGAAGGACACAAAGAUCAAAACUUGAUGAAAUGCAGGAAGAUUCGUAAUAAAGUGUGAGAAGAAAGCUGGAAUUCCUGAGACUAUAUCAGUAUAAAUGAAACCAAUGCCAGGUACCCUGGUAACUCCUAGUGCUGGGCUAAUAGCUACAAGCCAUUCUGCAGACACCUUGUUUGUUAAAUCGAAUUCAAGCUUCUUCUUGGUUCCGUAAUGCCAUGAAAGCAUGAUAGUCAAGGACAAUGCCAAUAGGAAAACUAAAUACCAAGCUCCUUUGUGGAAAUUCAAAAUACAAGCUGACACAUACAUCGCCUCAAUGAAGCCGAAGAAUAGUAGAAAACAGAUAGAUUCAAACAAACUCUUCUCCCAGUAUAAGGCAAUCACCAGUGACAUGAGACAAGUUGUUACAACCAUUGCAGAAAUUACGGCCAAACCUGAAAUCCAUCAGAUAACCAUGACACAAUUAUAUAUAUACGAUUAUGUCAAAGUUGCAACAUUAAAAUUUAUUCUGGUAAGAGUUCAGAGAAGUAAAAGAAAAAUAUGGCAGUGGUUACUAAACUAGGUGUAGUGUUGAGAUAUAAGUACCUGUUGCAUUGCCAAUUUUCUCAAUAUUAUGGAAACCAAUUGUAACAGUAAGGCAUAGAACCAUCAGUAUCCAGUUGAUAUCGGGAAUAUAAACCUGCCCGUGUAUCUUAUCUGAUGUAUGAAUAACUUUUACUCUGGGAAAACAACCAAGUGCCAGGCACUGAUUUAUGAUGGAGAAACUGGCCGUUAUGGUGGCUUGACUUCCGACAGCUGAAGCAAGUAGGGAUAAUGCAGUGAACCAGUGUCGAACUGAUACUGGAAUUUCCAUGUUUUCACAUGUGUUAGAUAGACAUAAAUUUGCAAAUGAAGCACUCAGUGAAGCAAUAUUUAAGCGUACAACUUACAAGGAACUGACACACUGAGAUGAUUGUAAUCAUCAUCAUGAAAGUUUUUGGAGAUAAAUGCAGCCUGACCGGCAUAGCAUAGAACAAGAACAGGAUAGAUGAGGCAUACAAAUGUAAUCUGCAGCAGAGGAUGUACCAUCCACAAGUUAGUUGAAAUCUUGAAGUAGAUGAUGAUAUUAGAUGACAGAAUAUUAGAUAUCAUAAAACCUUGAUGGAUUUCUUUCUGAAGUGACCUAGAUCUGCGUACAUGGCCUCUGACCCUGAAAAUGUUGAGAGAAUGUUCAUGAUCUAAUGAAAAAAUCUUGUCUGAGAGGAAACCAAAGAAUUGUUAGUUCAAAUAUAGUAAAAUGAAGCUCAGGUAAUUAUAGCAUAAGCAGACCUGCUACACAUAGAACUAUGCUGCCUAAUGCUCUCCAACGGCCAACGUUAAUGUUCCUAACAAAUCUGUACAUGUAUACUGGAGAGAUUGCAUGGAUAAUUUUUCUGUCCCAGUAGAAAAUAUUAUAUAUACCCACUCCACCAAUACAUAUCAGCCAAAUAAUGAUAAUCGGAGCAAACAUAAACCCAAUUUUACGUGUCCCGUAAUGCUGGAGCGUGAAGAGGCACACCAAUAUAGCAGAUGCCAAAGGAACUGGUACAUCUGGAAGGAAUAUGAUUUGAUAAUUAGGAAAAUCCUGUAAUUAAGUUAUCUUAAUCAUAGACAUUACAGAAACAUAUAAAAGAACUGGCAGAAUAGCACACUAGUUGCAAACAUAUAAACUUACAGAGGGUAAAUUCUUAUGCAACCAUUAGAGUAUAUAUAAAACAUAGUUGUGGCCUAAGUCAUGUAAGUUCAUAGGAUUCUAGGAUUCAUGACAAGAAAAGAAGGCAGAUUGAAUACAAUUGAAGUAUCUGUGUUGAGGUAGAAUACUCACAAUCUUUAAAAGCUUUUGCUAGUGAAUCUUGUUUAUUUUCCGAAGAUGAAACUGGUAACCACAAAAUAAAGUUAAGUUACUGAAUAAUGCUCAAGGCACAAGAUAUCUCUCUAACUGAAUUUACAGCUAGUUCUUACAUUUUUUGGCCAUAUCUGACAGUGAUCUUUGAACACCUGUUGAAGCUGAAUAGACUGGGUAAUGAGAGGACAAGUAAACAAAUCAUUCAGUCAUACUCAGACAGAAACCUGAUGCAGCAAAUAAUUGAAAAAAAAGUUGAUGAGGAGAGCCAAACCCGAAAGAGCUGGGGUAAGCACCCCAAUGCCGAUUGUCAUGCAGGAACCUAACAGAGCCAGGACCAACAUGACAUAGUGACUACUCUUAUGUUUUUCAAUGGCUCUUUUAGCCCUCGAUUCCACCUUAAUCCAGAAAGGUAUUUCCCUCUCAUAAUGCAUAACCUCAUUGGAACUUUUGUCAUUUGGAAGCAAACCCACUUUGGCAUGUCUACACAAGAGUGAGUACAGAGCGAAAGUACCACCUACAAUUUGUGGAAGCAAGAAAAUUGUUCAUCAGUAGAAAAAUGAUGUAUAUGCUUGCAAUUACAAGGAUAUGAGACCAUUACCUUCUCCAUUAUCAUCAGCUCGUAAUACUAUACAGGCGUACUUCAGAAAAGAAAUGAUGCUCAUAGUCCAGAAAAUGAAGGAGAAUAGUUCAUAAACUGUAUCCUCCGAUUUGAUAUCUUUUGCAUGAAUUGUCCCAAAGACAUAUAAGGGCGCAGUACUCAUUUGACCAUAUAACACUCCAAGGCUCUGAAAUGACAAAAGAAGUGUAUACUUCCAUGUCUCCUGCAUAUUAUACACGAUGAUAAGCUCAAGCUGAUUAUAAAAACUCCCCAGGGAGCAGCCAACUGGUUAAAAUCAAUUCGCUAUAAGAUGAAGACAAUGAGACUUACAAAUAAUCAACUAUAUAUAGGGAAGAAGAACAAUAGGGAGAACCCAACUGAUGAACUAAAGCAGGUAUUUCUAACCAAGUACAGCUGAUUAUAAUCUAGCUCCGGAUUGAGUACAAAAUGCUAAAGAAAAUAUACAAAUUCAAAACUUUCCUAUUUUUUCUUUUCUUUCCAAGGGGGACCAUCAAAGAUGACAUAGCAAUACAGUUAAAAUCAAAGAGAGAGCUAGCAGUGAUCACUGCUUCUACAGGUUUUCUAUAUCCAGGCAAGUCAAAAAGAAUUAUAAACCAAAGUUUUGUGGCUGAAACUAAAAAGGUUACCUUCAACUGAUUAGAGGAAGUGGCAGAACUGAGCUGAGAAUCCCAAUCCAUGUUUGGCUGAUACGAGUAGACAGAUUGUCAAGAAAGAAAUCAAUGUAAACUGAGUUACUGAGGAAAUGUGAAUAGUACAAGAGAGAUAUAUAUGAAAGAAAGAAGGACAGCUGGGGUUGUUAAGCAAGCGACUUACACAAUGCAUUACACACGGAGAUGACAACGUGGAGGAUCACAAACUAAAACAAAUCCCACACAUAUGGUCAUCUUCAAUACCAAUAAAUACAGAGAGGUUUUCUGUUUCUUAUUCUUUGGGGUGUUGGUAUAUCUAUAUCUAGCUAGUUGGGAGGGAAUGCCGGACUGACAGCGACGCCUAUAAUUUUCAGGAUCGAAGUUUAUUAAUCAAUCACAAAAUUAUAAUAAAGCAAAUCUGAUUCACAUGACUUAUAGUUUGGAGUUUGUUGAGGUAGGAACCCCUUCACAUGUCUUGUCUUCUGCCUUGAUUUUUCCCCGUCAAUGUUAUCCGCUGCAGACCUGUAAUUCGUUUUGUCUAGCUUAACUUGAAAAAAUUUCUACAAUGUUCCGGAGUAUUUAUCAAAUGAGUCAAACUAAUCAAUGAGAAAACAGACACUAUUAAAAGGUCAAACCAUAAAGCUGGUCAAGGUAAAAACAAAAGGAAAUCAAUCUGCAAAGGAUGCAUCUGUUUAGAGUGAAAAGUGAGAUGUGAAUAACCUCUACUUGUAUAGAAAGAGCUACAUUUCCAAUACAAUCAUGAAUUUACAGGAUGCAUGCUAUCCCAUGCAACAAAACAAAUCCCUCCACAACUAUAUGGAAGGCAACUACAGGUAACGAGUCCCAUUCUCAAUGGGAUUAGAUAUGAAAUCCAAGCUAAAAAUAGAUCACGACAAAAUUUGACUGCAGCUAACUGAAUGAUUAUUUGGGGUCCGAAAUUUACCCAAAUACCAAAAAAGGGGCAGGGCAGUUCCUAUCAGUACCCCAUUGCCAAAGUCCUACAAGUAAACUGAUUCACCAUUAUCUUAUUCAUAAGCCUUCUCCCAGUCAUCUACCACUUCAGAUGUUUCUGCAAUAGAACCUCCAAGCUGCCCCAUGGAAGUCGAACUGCUUGCAUUUGAUGGAGUUGAACCACUAGCAUUUGAUUCCACCAUAGAAAUUAAACCAGCAGUGGUAUGCUUUCCAGAGUCCUCUACUGUGGGAGAUACACCAGCAGAAGUAUGCUUUCCAGAGUCCUCUACUGUGGGCGAUACAGAAGAUGAUCCCAAAGGCACUUCACUAUCAAGUACACUCCAGCGGUUUAAUGAGGCAGCAAUUGGAGCUUCCUUUUUCCACACAGAUGCCUGGACAUCUGCAGAACCACCUGACAACUCUUCAUCACCCCAUGAAUCUUCUCUCCAAGAGGACUCCCGAAUAACAGCCUUCUUCCACGCAUUACCCUUCAGUGCUGUAUAGGCUCCUUCCUUGGCUAUUCCCACUCCACCCCACGCAUUAGAACCAGAUGAAGCCACAGACAAAACAGCAAUAGCCCCAUGAUAGAGUGUACCAUUAUCCAACCUCCUCAUUGCAGUUGCGGCUCGAGCAGGAUCAUUAAAUACAGCCAAUGCGUUCUUGUCAUUCAACCAGACAAGCUCACAUUCACCACCAAACCUCAAAACCAAUGCACUUAUAUCUGCAUCCCUGGGAAGAUCUGGGAAAGAAACUACAAGCCUGGGAUCCAUGUCAACUAAAUGAUCAAAAGCUGGAGGCUGGGAUGUGUUUACUGUGGUGGUACCCUUAACCCCAAGCACCCUGGCUGGGACUUUGGAUUUAGGAGUAGCAUGAACCACAAUAAAACGCUUGGGCUCCCAGCCAGCAGCUUGAACAGCAAGCUUCCACCUGUCAGCAAUCACCCUAACCACAUCUCUCUUUUCCUUCAGCAUUGGACAAAAGACAUGGACCCGGAGGCCACUUGUAGCACCUUUGCUCUUUCCAAGCACCAACUGUUUGCAUCUCUCCUCCACCGAUAAAACCCACUUUGGAUCACGCCUAAAAAGGUCCGAAAGCAACUCAGAAGUAACAUUAGUCUCACCAAAAUGGAGUGCAUCCAAAUUUGGAGGAACUAUAUCAAAAGCAUCUGCAAGAACACGUUUCCGCUCCAACUUGGCACAUUCAUCAUCACACAUGAGCUUCCUCUGUCCAAGUGGGACCUUCUUGUUGGUGGCUUCUACUGGUUGCAGUGGUACUGGCAACUUUUGAAUAAUGGAAGCUUCAAAGACAGUGCCAGCAUUAAAACUAGCAUUGCUGCCACCAGAAUCGCAAGGAACAUUUGCUGUUAUCCGGCCACAAGAACACGUGAUUGUCACAAGGAAAUCACAUCUGGCGUCCGGACAGGAAGCAUAAGGGUGACAAGGUGCAGUACAUGUGUGCCUGCAAUCCCUCCUAGGAGCACCACAUAUCUGUCCACAAGAAGAUUUUGAGCCGACUUCCGCUGACGAGGAAGACUCGCAAGGCGGUGGGUGACAUGUUCUACCACAAGCAUGCAUACCACAUUGCCUUAUCUUCCCACAGGACUUGUUACAUUUAAUGUCCUUCGACCCACAAGGAAUGUUCCUGAGAACCACAUGACCACCAAUGCACUCCUUUGGCACAGGCACUGAACAAGGUGGGCAGUCUCCAAAGUGGCAGCUGUGAGAAGAUGAAUGUCCGCAAGGCUGAGGCACCGAACAAGGAAGCUGACAUGAUGGAGGAGGUGUACCACAGGGCAAUGGAGGAGGGAUUGAAGUUCUCCCACAUGCACAUGUCAAGUCAGUGAAGAUUGUAUCAAGGCAGGGAGGACAGUGGCCACUGUGACACAGAGAUUCACAAGAAUGCUGCCCGCACCUUAAUUUCUUCCCACAGGGCAUAGAGCACAAGUGAGGAUCCCAAUCCCCUGAGAGUCGAUUAUUUGAAUUAGAAAGAGGACAGCACCUUUCACUACAACGGUGCCUUCCACAAUUCUUCUUCCGUCCACAAGGCUUAUCACAGGUAAAUUUCUGAUUCUCCAUCGUUGUAUUACAGCAUUCCACAUUCCGAGAAGUUGAUUCACAGCGGCACUUUUGGGUAACUUUUACCAAACAAGGGGGGCAAUCACCAGUAUGGCAUAUCUGUUGACACUGGUGCACCCCACAAGGGAGAGUCUUCUCACAUAUUUGUGAGCAAGUUGGAAUCGGAUCCAAACAACUCUGGCGUUCCUCCUGCAAGCUUGUUUUCCCACAAUGGCAUGUCUUAACAUUCUGUGGCAUUAAAUUGCACUCUCCACAAGGGCCUGGAUGACAAAUUUCGCUGCAAACAUGAUUGCCACAGCUAAGCUUCUUACAACAACUAGAACUGCAAGAAAAAACACCAUCCUCUGCUUUUACCUCUCCCUUUACUGUCAUCUCUUCACAUAGAACAACCUCCACCUUUUUCAGGCAAAAGCAAGAAGCAUUGAAUGGCACCUGACAAGGAUCACAAGGACCCACAUGGCACUUCCGCUCACAGCGGUGACGCCCACAAUCAAGAAGCUUACUACAUUGAUUGCCACAUGUCAGAACAGAAGUCCGAUCUGAGCAUCUUGUUGUUAUUGUUUUCUUUCCACAAGGGCAUAACCUCGGCGGUGCAAAUGCUUUACAAGGAGGGCAUGGACCCGGGUGGCACUGCAAGACACACAUAUGAGGGCAAAGAUCAUCCUUACUUAUUCCUCUUCCUGCAACCUCCUUCUCCAGUGGCUUCCCACAAUGUUCUCCACAUGAAUGUGGUGUCAAAUACAAAUCCGAAGGUGGGUCUGUCCGCUUACCGCAAAAACACACAUAGCGAAUCUCCUUUGACGAUGUGAGCUGUACAGACUGACAUCCUGGACACCGCCAAUUAAAACCCUGAUUCUUCCCUGCAGACAUAUCAAUAGAGGUAGGAGCUCGAGCCCAUUUCUUGAUGCAAUUCAGAUGGAAAAUCGAGUAACAGCUUGAGCACGACCAUACAGGUGCAGACCUCCUCACCAUAUCAUAACAAAUCAUGCACUCAACAGUACCCUUAGUCAGUUUAUCCUGAAUCUCUUGCACAAGCUGCGGCAAACUAGAGUCCUUCAUUCCCAUCCCCUCCUGACUCUCACUCUUUUCCCUCUCCCUUCUAUGAUUCACCGGCCGAACCACAUUACCCCUGUAACCAUGAUGUCCUCCUCUGUGCUCCCGAUUCUCCGAUAAUGUGGAGCUUUGAUUAGACUGCCCUCCAUUCCCAUUGUGUCCUCCUCUGUGCUGCCGACUCUCUGAUGGCACAGAGCUGUGAUUGAACUGCCCAACAAUUCCAUUAUGUCCUCCUCUAUGCUGCCGACCAUCUGACGGUGUGAAGCUGUAAUUAGACUGCCCUCCAUUUCCAUUAUGCCCCCCUCUUUGCUGCCGACUCUCUGAUGGUCCCGACACCUGGUUAAGCUGCCCACCAUUUCCAUUAUACCCUCCUCUAUGCUGCCGACUCUCUCCUGGUGCCGAAACAUGAUUGGGCUGUCCUCCAUUUCCACCAUGUCCUCCUCUAUGCUGCCGACUCUCUCCUGCCGCAGGGCCGUUGGCAUUCCCAUUCUGUAAGUUCAAACUGAAUCCCGGAGGAGGCGGGUUCACGGCAGCGGCGGUAGGGUUGGAGCCUCUCGGCACCCAACGAGGCUGAGAAGGAUUCCUGGACCUGUUGUUAUCCCUACGCUCACCCCGGACCUGAGAAGCCAUAUUCACCGAACCAACCAAACCCUCACAGCUCCUGUCCCCCAACAGUUUGCUCAACUCAAAUUGAUCCACAGAAAACGAAAACGAAUACAAACUGCAGUCACAAAUCAAACCAAUCAAUCCACAAUCGACGGUUUUAACCUUAACCCAAGUCCUAUUUCCUCCCUAAUUCCAAUCCACACAACAACCCAUUCAAAAACCCUAAUUUCUCCGAUUCAAUAAUUACAAGAAAAUGAAAAAAGGAAAGGAAGAAGUACCUGAUCGGAGAGUCGCCAAUGAAGAUUGAGUUGGUGACGAGAUUGAAUUGAAAAGGUGUGUGUUUGAUUUAGAGGGUCUGUGAUAAAUGAGAGUAAAUUGGGCUUCUCGCUGGGAGAAGAGUCCGACCCGAAUAGAAGGAAAGAGGAGAGAGAGGAGUAUAUAUAGGUGUGUAGGGGAGACGGUGGUGGCGUGGUGGUGAAGGAAAAAGGGAGGAAGAGAGGGGGAGGCGGUGAGAGUAGUUCGUCACAUUAAUCGCGUGCUCUCUUUAUCGCCAUUUGUUUCUGGUCUUCUCCAAGUAUUUUCGUGGUCACCACGCCUGUGUUGCCGUCAGGCCCACCACCGCCUUGGGCGCCAAGCAUCGCUCUCUCCCUCUCUCUUUUGGGCCAACCUCAUGGGCCUGUCUUUCACAUAUUCGGGCUAGCGUAGUUACAAGUCCACGCUACCCGACGAUCAUUAUGAAAACACGUUAGCAUGAAUAUCUUCCGUUUUUUUUUUGGUGAAAAAUGAAUAAUUCAUUAAUCAAGGAACAAACCCAAUUACAAGCCAGCAAACGCUUAGCAACAACCCAUCUCAGCCCUUAUAUCGGACUCGAAACCACACACACCCGUUUCACCACGCCAAUGUUGUCGCCGACGAAGGCUAGAUCACCUAAACCGCAUGCACUUGAACUAGCCAAGGUACCACAGCCAACACCUUGCCAGAAGAGGUGCGGAGCGGCCCAAACCCAGUCCAACACUCUCGAAACAUCGGCGGCACCUUUCCAUACCGGUGGAAGCCCACAAGCACGCAUGAAGAUACAACCCGAAGCUAGGAAGCUAAUCACAUCAUCUGGAAGAUGAGAAAUGUUGAGGAGACCAAACAAGCAGAAACCCACCCAGUCCAUAUGACGUCAGGCACAACCGCCCCCACCCCGCAAAAGGUCGAGAGAAGUCGAAGACUCAUCUAUAACCAACGUGCACAGAUGCCGCAUAGGAGGAGACCUAGGGAGAGUUUGCCUGAAAUAGGGAUGGCAAUAAUCCCCAACGGGUAGGGUACCCACUGGUAUUCGACCCUAACGGGGAAGAUAUACGAGUAUAAACGAGUAAUGGGGAUGGGGAUCCUCAGUAUUCGGAUUCUUAAAUCAGGUACGGGGCGGGUAUGGUAUUUUGAUAUUCGUCUUCAUCCCCCACCCAUUAAGGAUGAAAAUAUUAUUAUAUAUAAUUAUAUAAUUUAUUAUUAUAUAUAUUUAUAUAUAAUUUAUAAAUAAAUAUUUAUGUAAAAAAAUUUGUGAUUCUCUUAAUAAACGGAUCUUCCUUUUUAUUAUAUAUUUUUAUUCUCUUAAUGAAAUUUACCAGUAUUGUUCUGUUUUAACCAAGACUUGUAUUUAUUUUUAUUGGAUUGAAGCAUGAAACUUAUUUAUUUUGGUAUUUGAUUUUAAUUUCAUACUUUUAUAUAAUUGUAUUUCGUAUUUUAAAAAAAUAUUUCAUUUAAUAUAUAAUUGUUAACGGAUACGGGUACGGGUAUGGAAACGUAAUCUCCAAAGGGUACAGGUACAGGGAAUCCCUAUUAUCUAAUUACGGGUAUGAAACGGGUACGGGGAUGAGAAAUAUAAAAGGGUAUGGAUACGGUAUUUUGAUCCCCGUACCCUACCUUACCCAUUACCAUCCUUAGCCUGAAAGAGAACCCAUUUUAUAUUUUAUUUUUUCAACAGUUACAAUAACAUAUUUAUUCAUUAAUGUAACGUUAUUUAAUUAAAAGAUAAAAUUAAUUCUAAAUAUUUUAAUCACGUGAUACAAGACAUUCUCAUGAGUCAUGACACAGUAAUAAUUAUAAAUACUUGUCCAUUAUGCAGUACUGAUUAAUAUUUUCUACGAAUAGGAAAAGAGUGAUCUGUAUGAGUGUCGAGGUCGAGGUGGGUUGUUUCACGACGUCCUUAUGAGCCUUGAACAACACCAGCCGUCGAUGCUCCAUAGUUUAAAGAAAAUGCAGCUUCGGUUACGAGUGUUGUUGUCAGUAUUAUAUUUCUGGUAAUCACCAAAAUCGUGUCGUCUUUCAUCACAUUGUGAUUUUGGUUUCACCGUUUUCGUGAAAAAUUAAAUAAUAAUUCCAAAGCGAAUUCAGAAACAGCAGAACCGCACCAAGGAAAAGUACAACAGUACAACUCAAACUUUGUAUCUUGCUUCCACGGUUUGCACUCCACAUAACUUUCUACGAAGUUGUAUAAAUAUUCACAGUAGCUUAUCAAAACCUCAAACCAGACCCAAGAGCCUCAAAGCUCCUCUUCCUCUCCUAGCUAUCACUCUUCCUCCUCUCCUUGUUUUUUGGUUUCUCUAAAAAUGUCUUUGCUCACUGAUCUUAUCAACCUCAACCUCUCCGAUAUCACUGAUAAAAUUAUCGCUGAGUACAUAUGGUCAGCUUUCUUCUUUGAUCUCCCUCUAGUAUUAUAUCGAUCACUUAUGAAUCAAGAUUCUUGCUUUUCUUUUCAAAUGAUUAUAAGUUUCUAGUUCUGUUGUUUGUUUUGAUGGGUUUCUGCUUUGAUAACAGGGUUGGAGGAUCUGGUAUGGAUGUUAGAAGUAAAGCCAGGGUAAUUUUUCUUAUCUGUUUUUAUUUUGUCCUCAUUCGUUUCUGAUAAUUGAUCUGAUUAGUUACUUUUACUUUGUAUGAGGCAGACUCUUCCUGGACCAGUAAGUGAUCCUUCAAAACUACCGAAAUGGAACUAUGAUGGUUCUAGCACUGGCCAAGCUCCUGGAGAAGACAGUGAAGUGAUCCUAUAGUAUGCUCUGUUUCUCUCUGUUUUCCCCAUCCAAGUUUUCAAGUUUCAUUUCUGUAUGUUUUUAUUGAAACCUUGAUUCUGUUGGUGUUUAAAAAUAGCCCACAAGCAAUCUUUAGGGACCCAUUCAGGAGAGGAAACAACAUCCUGGUAAAGUCACUCAGUUUCCAUUUCACUUUGUUUGCUCAACAAUAUUAACUUUUUGUUAUCUAUUUUGUUCUUUAUUAACUUUGAUUUAUUUACAGGUGAUAUGUGAUGCUUACACACCAGCUGGAGAGCCAAUUCCAACCAACAAGAGGGCUAAGGCUGCAAAGAUCUUCAACCACCCUGAUGUUGUUGCUGAAGUGCCCUGGUAAUUUAGUCCUGAAACUCUCACCUUUUGGUUUUAAGAUUUGGGAGGCAAUUCUGAUGUAAAAUAUGAAAUGCUUGCUUGUGAUUAUACAGGUAUGGCUUAGAGCAAGAGUACACUCUGUUGCAGAAAGAUGUACAGUGGCCAAUUGGGUGGCCUCUGGGUGGAUAUCCUGGAGCACAGGUUACACAUUGAACAUAACAUUUUUUCUUUUUGAGAAAUGAAACAUCACUUUUUCCUUAUUUUCAUCUACUAGCUGUAAUCAAUUAACGAAGCCUGUAAUGUUACUGACAGAGAGAUUUUGUUUUUUGUUGAGCAGGGACCUUACUACUGUGGAGCUGGUGCUGAUAAGGCCUUUGGCCGUGACAUUGUAGAUUCUCACUACAAAGCUUGUCUGUAUGCCGGCAUCGACAUCAGUGGCAUUAAUGGUGAAGUUAUGCCUGGUCAGGUAAACAACCUAACUCCACUGCAUGUGUAGAUGCAACCAACUUUUUCUGUAUCAAUACAUCACGAACAAUUUUGCUUGUGUUUCGUAGUGGGAAUUCCAAGUUGGACCUACAGUUGGCAUAUCUGCCGGAGAUCAGUUAUGGGCAGCGCGUUACAUUUUGGAGAGGAUCACUGAGAUAGCUGGAGUGGUGGUUUCGUUUGAUCCGAAACCAAUUCCAGGUGACUGGAAUGGUGCUGGUGCUCAUACUAAUUUCAGCACCAAGUCAAUGAGAAAGGAAGGAGGCUAUGAAGUGAUCAAGAAGGCAAUUGAGAAGCUUGGAUUGAGGCACAAAGAACACAUCGCCGCUUAUGGCGAAGGCAAUGAGCGCCGCCUUACCGGAAAACAUGAAACAGCAGAUAUCGACACAUUCAUAUGGGUAAGUAGUAAACAUAAUACACCACGGAUUGAGAAGAACACGGAUUGGAUUUGGGCUAAUCAAUAGUUUCUUUUGUCUUGACAGGGUGUGGCGAACCGCGGAGCUUCGAUAAGAGUUGGGAGGGACACUGAGAAAGAAGGAAAGGGAUAUUUUGAGGACCGGAGGCCAGCUUCUAACAUGGAUCCAUAUGUUGUCACCUCCAUGAUUGCUGAAACUACACUGCUCUGGAAACCAUAGAAGAAUUAACAAUACCAACUCAUGAUCAUUGUUAGUGUGGCAAUAACUUGUCUGUCCUCUCUACCUAGUAGUUGAUCAUUAUCAUGCUUCUGGAUUUAUGUUUCUACUUAUUAUUAAGAUAUCAAGGGUCUGAAUAAAUUGUAUCACUGCCUUAGUACUAAGUAGCAGUCUCAGCCCUGUAAAGCAGAGUAGCUCUGCAUUAAUAGUAGAGUGAGUUCUGUUUCAGUAACAGAGUAACCCUUCGUUAGGGUUGAAGAAAGUAUGUGGCAUCGAAUAACUUCAAUACAUUCAUGAGAGUAAACCUAUUAUUACCAUGAAUAACCUCAUGGAUGAAAUGAUACAUGAUAAUGAACCACAAAAAUUACUGCUGCCAGCUCUAUUCUUUGAAUCCAUACGUCAUAAUUCAUAUAAAUGAGAAACAUCAUAUACCAGAAAGUUCAGUCCAGGGCGUGUAUACAAGAAUUUCAGUAUCAAAUACGUGUGAAUGUAUGAAUCCAAGAACAGCUGAGAGAAGACAAUCUCAGGUGGUAUGAAAUGAAAGCUGAGGAGAAAUUGCAGGCUCAUAGAUGAUAAGAGGGGCGGUGUGCAGCAUUGAAAUGGGUGCAAUCCAUGUGGUGUGGAUCAGAGAAAAUCCAUGGGGAUGAUGACUGGUAGUCUUCUGGUACUAAAACACAGCCAGUCAAGAAUCAUUUGCUGCGAAAAUUGGUCCCAGAAGCAAAGCAAUUUCGAUUGUUCCCGGAAACGAUAUUAAUGGCAGCACAAACUGUGAGGCUUGCAAAUUGUAAUGUGGUCCGAGUACUUCACUGAUCUGUUAUCAACUGAAUGAAUUAUCAUAGUGUCCUGAUUUUUGGGGAAAGCCGUAGAGGGGACUAAUAUUGCCUCAAUUUGCACAAGUACUAUAUAUAAAUUGCUAGUUGUUAGCAAUAUGCCAAUAUCCAUAGUCACAUUGAUGCCGUAACUCUCAAGCCACAGUCUCCUACCCUAAACCCGGCCACUAGGAAAUGCUGAUAACAUUAGCAUCUCUGGUGCAUGAAAUAAUUGCUAAUGUCAACCCUAUCAUCUUCUGCUCAGAAGAUGGAAUAGCAAGAUAUACGGAUUUGGUGCAUGUCACAUGAAAUGUUAUCUUCAUUUCUUCUAGUUCUAGACGAUAUGCUUUGGUCCGAAGAUGAGGAAAUUCAAGCUAACUUCUAACUUCUGUGCUAGUCCGAAGGAAGAAAAUGAAUCGAAUCACUUAUCGAAAAUGAAUCGAAGCACUUAUCGAAUCACCCUAAUCCAACUACUUAAUUUUUGACAGAAGUUGGAAAUCUCUAAUGUUAACUUUAGUUCAGUGAAUUGGGGGUUGCAAAUUCUGGCUUGCCAUUAAAGAAGAGCUCGGAAUUUAACGUUUUCCUUUCUUCCUAUUCUAAUUUCUAUGGAUGACGAUCUUUGCAGGGUACUAUAGCAUCCACACUUGCAGCCUUCACCUCCACAAAGAAUAAAGGAAUAAGAUCAAACAUCAAUGUAUAUGGUGACAUUACUGAUUUGUAGUUGCAGGUGGCCAAGUUGCGUUUUUAAGUGUCCUAAUGCUACAUGUAGACGGCAGCUUUGCAGCACCAAUAACAACUUUGCAGCACCCAUCUAGCUUUCUCGUUUUCUUUUUAAUUCGGAGUUUUCUUUUAUUUGCACUCGAUAUCAUAGUAGUAGUGUUUCGGAACAUUGAAAUUCUAAAGCCCCAUGUCAUUAGUCAUUAGGGCUUUUUGGAUAUUUACUCCAACUGCGAAGAUCAUCAUUUCUCCACUUCUGUGAGUGGAAAAUAUUGUGAUGGCUUAAUGGGUUUCGUAUUUAGUUACUAGUAAAAAGAAAUAAAAGGAUCCUGCAGAUUGUGUUUACAUUUUGAGGAAAGUAUUAGAUGAAACCACGUCUUUUGCAAUCGCCAUUCUCUCAUUCUCUCUCAUAUCCAACAUCGUACGAAAUGGAUUACUUGCUUUUGAAUACAGAAAAGAACCACUUUUUUUAUCUCAAUUAUAACAGCAACAACCAAGAUUGGAUUCCAAAACACUCAUCUAACAGAAACGUUUGCCUUUGUCUUUGGCAAACUUACUUUUCACGUUUGCCAACUUAUCUUAAUUUCUUCCAAAGACAAACCAACACCAACCGUGAACGUCCAAAGAUCGGCAUUUUCCCGAAAAUACUAACCGGACAUUUGCAUAUGACUUUGAGGACAUCCCCAAACACAGAAAGAUGCAACUUUCCAUCGCUAAAUGGGAAUAUAACCAUUCCUCAAUUUGAUCCUUACAUAACAUGUAAGCGAGACAUAACACAUGCGUUUUCGAUUUGAUUCUUCGAAAGUCGAAUUUUCAUUAUCGAUCACUAGUUGGUGGUAUCGAUCACAUAUGACCUAAUUAGAAUCAAUCUCUCUUUUUCAGACAAGUAGAUAUUGUGAAAAGCUCGAUCAAAAUUUGCGAUCUUUGAUUCCAAGAGUCAAGACCAGAAGUAUCAUAUUCCAAAAGGACCAAACACUAUCAUAAACUAAACCAUAUAUUAUUUACAAAAGGCUAGGGAACAGGGAAGUAUUCAAGAGAAACAAAACCAGAAGAUCUAGAACAGAAAAAAAACACAGAACAAAACCCUCUGCUUCUCAACACUAGAAAGAUGAGACAGAUUUUCUAAAAAAACCAUCGUAUCUCCCAAACCCUCUCUCUCAGUUCCCAGAAAUCCAAGGCUGCUGUCUCUCUUUCUUCUCCUAGGAGUCACCGACAGAGAUUGGCCUGCGAGAAAUCCCCAAAGGAGAUCGAGAGAGCUGCCUGGUCGUCGUGACGUUGAUCUCUCUUAGCACAGGUCUCAUCUCCGGCUUCCCCGGCAACCAGUCGAUGACUUUCUCCGAUUCUUGUUUGAUCUUCCUCACCUGGCUGUGAACUGGAACACCCAUCUCCUCAAACCCUUCCAUGUCCCUGUUGUUGUUGCUGUUCCUCUUCUCCAUCCUCAUACUCUCUUGUUCUAAGUACUAAACCCUCUUCUUCUGUUCUUCUGUCUGUCUAGUAUAUAUGUAUCUGUGUCUGUAUGUAAAUCCUGAGGAUGUUGGGAAUUACGUGGGUUUAUAUAGAGAAAGUCUGAGACGUAAGGAAGCAGAGAAGUUUGGUGGAAAAAGAUCUACUUCGGAUCAGCUCGAGACCGAGUCGACCCUUUUGGACCUAGUUGAAAUUUCAAGCUUUUAUCCUAUGUUAUCCCUUUCCCACAAUACUCGCACAUCAUAUCCACUUGAUUCCCAUAUCAAAAUCUUACUAUUAUAGCCAAUAUUAAUCGAACGGUAAAAAAAUGCAAAUGCAUGACAUGUUACAAUCUUCGUAUCCUUUUUAUCUUAAUUAUAUCUUGGUAUUAAAUCCUGCUAACCAAAUUUAUUGGUUCUCCGAUUGGGAUGGGAUGCCAAAAAUUAUGACAUGUUACAAUCAAAUUUAUGAUUCAGGAUCCAUCAUAUCUGCACCCAAUCAAUGAAAAAUCUUGUUUUUCUGGUGCAGAGAUUUGAGCGUAGCAGAUCGAUCAUUUCCUUUUAGGAUUUAUGGUAGUAGGUUUAAGGGUGUGAACAUGGAAGCAUAGGAGAGGGUGAGAAUGUGCAUAUUUUAUAGUCAAAACUCAAGAUUAUGGUACCUAGAGGAGGUUUACCAAAUGAACACCAAACCUUCUUUUCAGGGCCAAAGAUUCUAUAAUUUGACUGGUGCUUCAGUUUGUCAAUUCACUAUCUAUAAAAUAAAUAAAUAAAUAAAAUCGUGUUAAAUUACAUCAAAUAUUGCUCAUGGUUUUUGUUCACGAUACUAGUAGUCUCUAGAAUAUUUUUUGGGCUACGAAAGCGAGUCUUGUUCGAACACCAACGAGUCAAGUCAACGUUCAACGGCCACGCUUCAACACUCGGCUCCGGCCAUCCCCGUUUAUUCUACGAUUAGAGGUCCAAAUUUCAUUGGUCUCGUGGCAUUUACGUAAUAUUAAUGAAACUCAGGGGCACGUAGGGUUCAACGAAUGGCAACGUGGAAGGUUGACGUGGCGUUUGGGUGGGUUGAGCGGUUAAGUUUGUUAGUGCGGCAGCCAGCAAUCGUGUGGCGUGAGAUUGCAAAGCGUGACGCGUGGAGGUCACUAUACUCACCCAUCACGCAAUAGGUCUCCCAUUGUUUUCUUCUUCUAUCACCUUCUCAGACAGCACAGGAUUUUGACACGUGCCCGUUCAAGAAACCGCCCACGUAAUAUUAAAAUUAUUAAUUUUUUGAUACUAUGAUUUAAUUACAUGAUUAAUAAUUUAAUCAGAUAUUUCUUUUUGUUCUUAGAGCCUCUCUUGGAGUGUGAUUGAAGUUUUUAUCACUAUGUUAAUCUUUGUUUAUUCCAUCACUAAGUCAAUUACUAAUUGCAACUGCAGUACAAGGAUUGGAUUAUGAAGCCCAUAUAGAGUGAAACUUAAGCAUCACAAACUUUUAAGUUAAUUCUAAUUGCCAUACAUCCUUUUACUUUUAUUUUUAAGGUUUUCUAAUUGCAAUGGGGUUGGGUGGUGAAUUCUUUGUGUCUAAUCAUCAUAUGUCCUACAAUCUCAUUAGUAUAUUAUUCUAGCUACAAAAAGAUCGAAAAAUGAUUAACAUGCAUGAUUUUCAUGUUACGUACAAUGAACUUGAAGAAAUUGGGUGUUUUGGGCAUGUCUCAAUUCAUGCAUUGUAUCAUUUCAUUUUCUGUCUAUUUAAUUGUCUUCUUCUUAUUAUACUUCAGGGUUUUUAGGCAUGUCAUGAAUCGAGAAAGAAUUAUCAGUCAUUUUUUUAUUCCCAUAACUUUAGAUAACAUCAAAUUGUAUCUAAUUGUACACAUUUUAUCCAUGGCGUCAGAAAUUUUUUAGUUAAAAAAUUUGAGUAAAUGACACUUUAGUAUUAAUUUUAAAGAUUUAUUACCCAUUCAAAUGAAAAACUCUUUACCAACCUCAUUCCAAUGAAUUCUAAUAAAAGGACGUCAUUACCCUUGACCUCAUUUAACUCUCUUUCUCACUUUCUCCUCUUUUAUCCCGAUCAAAAACUCUCUCUCUCUCUCUCAUCUCNNNNNNNNNNNNNNNNNNNNNNNNNNNNNNNNNNNNNNNNNNNNNNNNNNNNNNNNNNNNNNNNNNNNNNNNNNNNNNNNNNNNNNNNNNNNNNNNNNNNNNNNNNNNNNNNNNNNNNNNNNNNNNNNNNNNNNNNNNNNNNNNNNNNNNNNNNNNNNNNNNNNNNNNNNNNNNNNNNNNNNNNNNNNNNNNNNNNNNNNNNNNNNNNNNNNNNNNNNNNNNNNNNNNNNNNNNNNNNNNNNNNNNNNNNNNNNNNNNNNNNNNNNNNNNNNNNNNNNNNNNNNNNNNNNNNNNNNNNNNNNNNNNNNNNNNNNNNNNNNNNNNNNNNNNNNNNNNNNNNNNNNNNNNNNNNNNNNNNNNNNNNNNNNNNNNNNNNNNNNNNNNNNNNNNNNNNNNNNNNNNNNNNNNNNNNNNNNNNNNNNNNNNNNNNNNNNNNNNNNNNNNNNNNNNNNNNNNNNNNNNNNNNNNNNNNNAAACUUCAUUUUUUCGCAUCUAAGUUGAUUUUUCUCCUUUUCAAUGUGAAUUAUGGCAUUGGAGCUAUUGUUUUGCAAGUUUACUACCCCUAGUAAAAGUUUACUAGGGGUAGUAAACUUCAUUUUUUCGCAUCUAAGUUGAUUUUUCAUUGUUUUAAGGUGUAUAAUGGUCAUGGAGAAACUUUAUUUUGAGUUUACUACCCCCAGUAAAAGUUUACUAGGGGUAGUAAAAAAGAUUACUGGGGGUAGUAAAAGUUUACUAGGCAAUUUUCCGGUCGUCGGAAAAUUCCGGUCACCGGUGACCGGAUUCCGGCGGCCGGAGUUCGGAGUCCGGCGACCGGAAUGCGGCCGCCGGUGACUGGCGCCGGAGCCCGGUGUGCUUCCGGCAAAGUCUUCUCUCCAUCUUUUUCACUUUUUCUCUUUAAGUAAAAGCUAAGGGUAAAAAAGUCUUUAAAAAUAUAAUUUUGUUAUAUUUUAAUAAAGAUUUGUGUAUUUGGGCUUAAAAUAAGUACCUUGUAUUCAAAUGGGCUAAUAAAAAAGAUUAUCAUUGAAAUGAAGUUUGACUUUUUCUAUUUUGUGCAUUAGGGCUUUUUCCCAAAAAAUAAUAAUACUUAUAUAAUUGUAUCCUAGAAAGUGCUACAUUUUCAUUGCAUCCUAACAGUAACAUGUUUUAGAUGCAUCUUAAAAAUUCUUAAGCGCCACAGCAGAUGAUGUUUUAGGUAUAAAAGUAACAUGUUGAUUAACCGCACAGGUAAAUUUUUCUUCACAGUAGGCAAAAAGCAAUAUAUUUAGGGUGAUCAAUAUUUCCAAAACUUGACGUGAAGAAAUAUUCUUGAAGGUGUUAAAGGAGUGUUAGGUCAUCGAUUCUCAAACAAAUUAACAUCCCGUACGUAAUGAAGCUCAUCGAUCACCUAAUUAAUUUGCUUUCCUCGAAUAUUAUAGAUUUAUAGUGUCGUUUCCAACCCUUAAAUAGAGUGAUGGCCAACCAUGUAGUAUUUAAAUGCCGUUCUAAAUGAUAGAUGGUGAUUGUAAUUAGAAUCUAACAGAAAACCAAAUGAGCGUGCUGAUCCUAAUCCUCUGUUACUCUGUUAAUUAGUGACUUAGUGUUACCGGUUCUAAAAGAAAAGUUGCUAAUUCACUGAUUGUAUAAGGGCCAGGAAGAGCUAGCUGAUCAUCUAAAGACGUUCUUAAGCAACGUAAUUCAUUAGUGUGAGACGAAGAGUUGGUAUAGAUGACUGGCUUCUCUUAGGUUGAUCGGCUUCAAGUAUGUAUAAGAUGAAGCAAAUUUUGUUGUGUCCAACUUUGACGAGUUAGGGUUAUUAUGUUACCGACGUUUAUAUGUUUUAUACAUUUUGUUUGUUUGUGCUCCGUAUAUUGUAGAUUUUUUUUUUUGAAAGAAGAAGUUAGAAGACUAAUAAAACUUUGAGUUGUUUUUUUGUUUAUAUUGACAGAAAAAAGAAAAGAAAAGGAGUGUGGUUUAUUUAGGGCCUCAACCCUAAACCAUGGUUUUGAUGGCCGGACCUUCUGGUAAAACAUUGAUUCCAUUUGGGGUCACGAACCUAAUGGAACAUGGCCCAUUAGAGAUUUGGUUCUGCGUAUACUUUCCCCGAAAGAAAGAAACUGAAAUCGGAUUUGGUUAUCACCUCCUCCUUUAUCUGAUCGAUGCAAUUCUCCUCCUUCUUAAACCCUUAUCAGUACUGAAGAAGCUGAAUUAGGAGAUAAUGACAAGAAACUGAAGCCAAAUGUUGUAUUAUUAUUAUAACCCAAAGUCGCAUUAACGUACGAUAUAUAAUCAUACAUGAGAGAGAGAGAGAGAGAGAGAGAGAGAGAGAGAGAGAGAGAGUAGAAGUANNNNNNNNNNNNNNNNNNNNNNNNNNNNNNNNNNNNNNNNNNNNNNNNNNNNNNNNNNNNNNNNNNNNNNNNNNNNNNNNNNNNNNNNNNNNNNNNNNNNNNNNNNNNNNNNNNNNNNNNNNNNNNNNNNNNNNNNNNNNNNNNNNNNNNNNNNNNNNNNNNNNNNNNNNNNNNNNNNNNNNNNNNNNNNNNNNNNNNNNNNNNNNNNNNNNNNNNNNNNNNNNNNNNNNNNNNNNNNNNNNNNNNNNNNNNNNNNNNNNNNNNNNNNNNNNNNNNNNNNNNNNNNNNNNNNNNNNNNNNNNNNNNNNNNNNNNNNNNNNNNNNNNNNNNNNNNNNNNNNNNNNNNNNNNNNNNNNNNNNNNNNNNNNNNNNNNNNNNNNNNNNNNNNNNNNNNNNNNNNNNNNNNNNNNNNNNNNNNNNGAGAGAGAGAGAUGAGAAUGUUACAAGGACGCAAAGCCAAAUGGAGGAAAAGUACUACAUCACAAAGCCCUAAUUGCAGGCGUACGUAGGCCAACAUGUUGGAGAGAGCUAGCUACUUAUUGUUUUUGUGGGACGUCGACAAAUAAGUCAGGACGUUAUUUGGACACAAACCAAAAGCUACGUACGUACCGCACUCUCUUCUGGCCUGCAGGCAUCUUUUACAAAGUUUUAAAGCUGUAUACAUUAUUAUCCCGCAACUUCCUCUCUCAGAUACGAACUGUGUUGAUGAGAAAUAUCUUAUACUACUGGAAUAUGACAUCUGAAUCAGUCCCACCUACGUACCGUGCAUGCCAAUAUAUCACCAAGUAAGUGCCUUGUAACUAUUCGAAUCAAUCCACCUCCGGUUAGAUUAAAAAGAGAAAGCUAGGCAACACACAUACAGAUAUAUAUUUAACAUUUGUGCACCAUAUAUAGAAAUAAUUAAGCCAAAGCUAGCCUAUGAAUUCGUUUACUUGUCAAAGAAAGAACUAAUCAUAUAUGGCAUCAGGUACCCAGUGGAUCAGCUUUUCAUGUUGUCUAUGCGGCCGGUCCCUUCCUUAAAGUAGUAGCAGUACUGAAAAUUAACAUUAUUGAUUGUGUGGAGCUAAACUUGAUAGGGAUAUAUAUAUGAUAAUCAGAUCGAGUUGAGAAACACUCACAUCGCUUGCCUAAAAGUUGUUUUGAACUUAUGGUAUAGCUACUCUCAAAAGUAUAAUUGAUGACUAAUUAUCGUGUUCUUGUGAUUGGUUGAAGUUGCUAGUGACUUCCAGGAAAUUAACAGGCCAAACGCUCCGCCUCAUUCAGAUACAAAUUUACCGAUCAUCUUUAUUUGCCCAUUAAAAUAUUCAUAUUUUUAGUCUAUUGACACAUGUCUAUUUUAUUAUCAAGAAUAAAGUUAAACAAUUUGAAGAGACAUAUGUCAAUAGACUAAGAAGAUGUGCAUUUUAGUAGGUAAAUAAAGAUGGUCGGUAAAUUUGUAUCUGCGUCAUCCCUUCUGAUUUGGCAAAAAAUAGACAUAUAUAUAUAUAUAGCUAAAUGAAAAACGAAUGCGAUGGAGUCGACUCAAUACCAAAUAGAGAAAUUUAGGUCGAUCGAUAUUGUAGAUAAUUAGUUUAAGAAAUCAUCGUUUGGAAUUCACUUAAUUGACGAAACUGAUCGAUCCAUAUAUAGUUCCAUAUCUCUACCCGUUGAAGUCGAUUUCCAAUACUUGAUUGUUCAUAGAAACUCAAACAAAAACCAGCGUUGAAGCUACCGUGGCUGACACACAUUUGACGCCAAUAAAAUUCAUAUGGGUAGUGCUAGAGGGAUGGCCUUAAUAAGGCCUAAAAUUUGUGACCUUAAUCCUAUGUGUCAUGUCAUGUAAGUAAAUAAAAUAUUUAUUUUCGAUUCCACAUAAUAUAUCUUGUCAAAUCAAAACAUUGCAUUACCAAUUUACCAUUUAUAUUUCCUUUUACAUUUNNNNNNNNNNNNNNNNNNNNUCUAACCCUAACCCUAAUUCAUCCAAAAAGCAAUUAUAAUUCAUCAAAAAGAAAACACUAAUAUAAGAUAAUUCGGAUAUAAUUCAUCAAAAUUUUCUAUAAUUAGUCCAAAAAAUAAUUUAUAUACAAAUAAUUUCUCUAAAUGAUUUACAUACAUAUUAUUUAUAUAAUAUACAUGUAUUUUUUUUAUAAUAUACAUGUAUUAUAAAUAUAUAAUAUAAUGUUAUUUUGAUGUUAUAUUUUUGAAUUAAAUUCAGUUUACCCCCUUAAUCUUUGGUGUCAAAAUCAGUUCAGUCUUGCAACUUUUUUUAAAAUCAGUUCGCCCCUUCAACUUUUGUAAAUACAUCAGUUUGGUCCAAUUUUUGAAUUCAUCUCAAAAUAUGACGUCACCAAACUGACAAAGGGACUCAUUUUCACCAAAUUGAAGGGUAAAAUAGUCAAUUUGAGAAGAUAUUAUUAAAGAAAAUAAAAAAAAUACAUUUAUUUGGCAAAAAAAAAAAUUGGUCCUAACAACAAAACAAAAUCAACCACAAAAUAGGUCUGUAACAUCAAAAAUGAUGGAAUGAGCAUAUGUAGCUUUUAUUUCCUUUUAUUUUAAGUUUCAAUUAAUCUGGAAAAAAAUAAUAAUAAAUAAAGGCAUUUUAGACAUUUUGUUAAAAAUGGGUCCUUUUGUUAGUUUGUUGAUGUCAUAUUUUAAAGGGAAUUCAAAAAUUGAUGUUAUAUUUUAAAAGAAAAAAAAAGAUGAUGUGUCGUAGGAUCAACCUAUUCACAUAUAAAGAAAAAGUUUGUCGUAUAGUUUUCCAAAUCUAUGCUCUAGUGGAUGGAAAAAUAUUGGAGUUUGGUGUGUAUAAUUUACACUACAAAGUUCACAAUUAUCCAUGAAUUAUUAAUUCCAUAAGUAUGAAUGAUAUUUUGAAUACAUCUGAACUUCUAUUCAUUUUAAAAAGUCUUAAUUGAAUACCCCUAAACUUUGGUGGAAUUUAUAAUGAUUUUUUAAAAUCUAGUUGAAUACACCCAGACUUUGAUUGAUUUUUAAAAGUCUGCAUUGAAUACACCUAGACUUUCAAAUUUCAUAGACUUCUUUAAAACUUCCACUAAUUCCAUAUACAAUACACCCCCCUAAAAUAAGUCUGUAUGAAUCCAAAUACAAUGCACCCCCCUAAAUAUUACAUGGCAUAAGAUUUUUAAUAUGUGAUGAUUUGACAUGCCAUAUAAAUUUGAGAUCUAAAAUCUUAGGCCUUAACAAGACCUAGAAUCAUUAUUUAUAGCUUAUAAGAUUAUAAUAGACCGUUACUUUUUAUUUAUUUGUUAUUUUAACAUAAUAAAUCGUGAUUUUAGAAGUGUAAGAAGUGUUGAGCUAAGUUUAGGAGAAAUGUGUGGAGGAAGUUGAUUUUGGCUGAAAGGUAAGGAUUACUGGACGGAUAGUGAAUGAGCGAUUAACAAACUAAUUGAACCACUAUGGGCGACUAAUUCAACUAUAUAUACCCAUGCCACUGCUCAGUUUCGACUUUCAAUUUAUUAUUAGAAACAGACCAUCCACAUGGAUCAUCGGUUUUUAAUUUGUUAACUAAUUACAGAGAAACUACAAUAUGUGCCUUUCGACUCUCAUCAUCAUGCUUAGAAUUAAUUAAUAGAGACAAAGCAGACAAUAUAAUACAACAAGGGAAGAAGACGCACGCGAGAAGGUUUGUGACAACUGAAGAAGCGUCGAGAAGAGACCAGACCAGCGAGGGCAUAUGUGGAAUUUCAUGAUCUCAAACCAUGGACAAAAGACGGAAAUACCCUAUUCCUAUACUGUUCCCGUGAACAGUACGACAACGAAUAGAAAUAUAGUAUAAGUGGAAUUUCACGAUCUCAAACCACGGACAAAAGACGGAAAUACCUUAUUCCUAUAUUGUUCCGGUGAACAGUACGACAAAGAAUAGAUAUAUAGUAAAUAGUAAAUGAAGUUGGCAAAAUGAGACGGUAGAGCAAUCUGGCUAGCGAUAGAUGCGCCUCUGCAUGUGUUCAAAGUUGAAAGGAAUCAAAACUCAGCGCCUAAUAUUUCUACUUAAUUGCACACAUAUUUUGCACCUUUUUAACGAGCCUGAAAAUGAAAACUAAAUUCUGUGGUCAUUUCAUAAAUUUGCAGUUUUUGAGAAAUUUAGAGAUUAAUUUCCAUGUUCUUAUGUGUUGCACAAUUGAAGUUGAGACAUAGCUAGAAUUUGUGUAACAGCUGACUAUAGAUGACUUAUUAGUAUGUAAAGACGAGCAAGAUGAGCGAUGGGUCAAAAUCUAUUUCCAGUUCACAUGUGAUCGUAUCGGCUAUUCGGCUACAUGAGGUCAUAUGAAACACAUAUCCUGACCUAAUUCCCUAAACGUAUCAUUUGGUAACACUAUUUGUCAUAUCGAUAGGUAUUGAUAACGAUGAUAACCCUACUCUGACAUGACAUAUUUUUGAUAAAUUCAUAUUUUCAUUAUUUUUUUAUAGCGUUGUAUGAACACAGUUUUAGAUGAAUUAAUAUAUAUAUAUAUACAGUUCCUUUCCAAAGAGGGAUCCCUCUUUGAAAUUAAAGUGCGGGACUCCUUAUUUCGUUUAUUUUCAGGUCGUAUUCCCACAUCUUAACCGUACAAUGUCUAAAAUACAGUGUAUAGAUCAUUCCUGCAAAGUUUCAUCAAAUUUGAAGAUCAUUUGGGUACCGAAUUAGAUUAAAUAAAUCAACAGAACAAAAGUUGUCCAAACAGAACCGUUCAUGUAAAUCCGUUCGUGUAAAUUACGAUUACGGAAGCUCAAAUGAUCUUCAAAUUUGAUGAAACUUUGUAGGAAUGAUCUACACACUGUGUUUUAGACAUUGUACGGUUGAGAUGUGAAAAUAAGACCUGAAAAUGAGCGAAAUAAGGAGUCCCGCACUUUAAUUUCAAAGAGAGAUCCCUCUCUAGAAAGGGACUAUAUAUAUAUAUAUACACACCACGUUAUAGAGAAGCAAAUUAUGUUAUGAUCGACUUGUAUAAUGACUUGUGGAAUGAGCAGCGAUCCCAUGCAAAUAAUCUAAUCAAGUUCAUGAACAGUAAAUUAACUAAGUUCGUUCAUGAACUUGCUUGAGAUGCCCAAUUAAUAUGAGGUAAGCACAGAUGCAAAAUGCAGGCCUUUGACCUUUGAAAGUCUCCUUCCUUCACAAUCAACGACAGAAGAUUUCCCAUUGUAUACCAGCAAAGCUACCAUAAACAGCUUGAAACAGCUUCAAUACCAGAAGAAAAGUCCGGUCAUACACGCAUAUGUUUACUCCCGUUAGCUAGACUGAGAAGAUCUAGAGACUAUUUGUGGAUUUUACUACAGAUGCAGUGACAGAAUUAGGAUGUGAUAUUCGGUUGGGUUAAUGACUUUCGAAUAAUUUUUGUUGUUGUUAAUAAUGUUUUCAAAAUUUAAAGAAAUAUUUGCUAAUAGGAAAUACUUAGACUAAAAAAAGAGUGAACAUAAGAGAAGAAAAAACAAUAAGAAAUAAUAAUGAAAUAACAUUUUAACAAAAAAGAGAGAAAAAUAAAGAAGAAAAAAUGGGUAAAAGGAGUGGAAAAUUGAAACAAAACUGAAAAAUGGGGAGAAAAAAUUGGACAAAGAGAAAACAAAAACAACUUUAUCUGCCUUCACUGAUACAUCGAACCCAUGAGGGUUCGAUGAGAACAAGUGAAAACACCUAACCAGCUGAACUAGACUCGACUUUAAUCAUAGAUGUGAUGUAGAUUUUUUUUAACUUUCAAAUUCUCAUCUAGGCUUCAGCCCAAUUAACAUUAGGCCGGCUCCACCACUGUAAUAUGCCAGUGCGAUCGAGACCAAACUGUUAAAUGAUACCGGACUUAAAACUGUCCCUUACGUAAACAAACCUGCCGGACACAACACAGCGAUGGUUUUAACAUAAAAUUUGUACCUGAAAGAGUUCGGUUGCGGGUCUCUUGUCCUUUUCAGACACAAAAAAUCUAGAGCUAGGGCCAAGCAACAACUUAAGCACAAAGUUAAAGAAGUGAUGAAGGUCCUGAUUAGGAGGCACUAAUGUUGGUGGUGGGUUUUACUAAGAAUAUUUGAAAGCGCGUGGGUGAGGUCAUAUCAUUCAGCGCGGCACACUUUAUAUAAAAACCGAGGGCGAUCGAAGAGAGGGUGACUCACUUACUUCACUGUGUUAUCUCUCGACGUCCUAAACGCGUCAGGUACACGUACGUGGAUAAGCCAAGGCUCCCCACACACGCCCCGGCCCCUCCUUUUCUUCCUUGUUCUAAUCUCCAAUCAUGCACAUUUGUUUAUUAAAAGAAAAAUUGAGCUGAAAAAUCUCUCGACUCUCCCUCAAGCGCGUUGACUUGACACUCCCACGUAAAUAUGUCAAUUUUAGUCCUAAAUAUACUACUACUCUCUUCUCUAGUCUCUCACUCACCAACCUUACUCUUGGCAUUCUUCAUUAUUUUCAGUCAUUUCUUACCGCGUUGGCUAAUGGCUACCACACCAAAAAUAUAUGAAACUAAAAUAAUAAAAUUCGGACACUUGAACGUACUGAGAAUUUUCAGUCGAUAAAAUUAUAAUUAUAUUACAUAUCAUACUCUGUAUUAUAACUACAAACGUUACAUGUAGAAUGUUGGUAACUCACUUUUAAGUGAAGUUUGUUUUAAGUGAAGUUUGUUUUUAUCGAUAACAAAUUUCUUUAUUAUGUGUUACUAUUUAUCUUUGAGUUUAUCUUUAAUCAACAUACAUGAAUAGUUAGUAAUAAAAUCCUUGUAAAUCAAAACCAGGACAACUAGAAGUUGAUAUAAUGUUAAUCCCUUGGAUAUUGAGGAAAAACAGAUUAUUUUUUUGUGUGGUAGUUUUGACAGUUGCUUCAUCUCAUAUCCUUAACAAAAAAAUAAGGUUAGCCAGUUAAAGUGAGAAAAAGAAACAAGAAAAAAAAAAUUGUAACUGUUACUGUGCAGAAGGUCAGUUUUUGUCAACCGCCACCACAUGGCGCGUUGGUUGCCAUCGAGAAGUAAACAGCCGUGUCCUUCCUGUGUCAGAUUCUUUAUAUAUAAUCCAGAAACGGUUCUGAGAUAGAUAGUUAAAUUCGAACUGAGAACAAGUUUCAGUUUCAUUAUCCUCCUCCUCUUCUUGUUUCACUUAUUAGAUUCCCAUCACCGUUUUACCAAAAAAGCUUCAUCCUUUUAUUGCUCUAGAAGAAGAAAACAAGUUCGACUUUCUCCGAGAGGCUCUAACCAAAUACGGCACUCCAUUUUUAGAGUUUUCCGUUACGGAUUUUCCGAGUUUGGGUUUUCUUAAGACACCAAAUUGGUGCGCGUCUAUUUUUCCCUCAGGAAAUAUUGCACCUCCUUUCCGUUUCGUGAUUUGAUAAGGAAGUGAGAGAGAGAGAGAGAGAGAGAGAGAGAGAGAUAGAGAGAAAGAUGGGCCUCCUUCUAUCCAGAAAUAUUAUAGCAAGUUACAUUUUCUCCUCUCCACUUUUCUCCCAGAAAAAUGGUGGUAUUCCCAUGCAAUUGGAGAACAUGGUCUCCUUGGUUUCCCGGACGGGAAGACAUUUGCAGCGCUACGAUAAAGGCUGCCGUCAAGUUGUAGGGUAUGUUUUUCUCUCCGGUUGAAUUUCAUAGAUAUUGCAACCCUUUUGUUUUUGAUAGAUUCUUGUGUUGUUUGGAUCAUGUAGUUGAGAAUUCCUCAAUUGGGUAUUUGUUAUAUGAAUUGAAUGGCACAAAGUUUUGGUCUUGUAAUCUAAUGUUAAAUUGGUGGUUUUGAUUUUACAGAUGCAUACCCUACAGAUAUAGGCAAACAGAACAAGAGUCUUCGUCUGUGGAGGAUAUAGAAGUUCUUGUGAUUAGUUCACAAAAGGGUCAAGGAAUUUUGUUCCCAAAGGUAAUACCAUUGUCCUCAUGACUUUUUAUGUCUCUAUGAUUGGGAUUCCCAUUUGAGAUUAUGUUUGACAUUUGUAUAAUUGUAAUGUGAUUACAGGGAGGUUGGGAACUUGAUGAGUCAAUUGAAGAAGCGGCUUGCAGAGAAACGCUAGAGGAGGCCGGUGUGACUGGUCAUCUUGAGGUCAGUACCUGCAAAAACACCAGUGUCUUGUUUAGAUUUUUCAUUCAAUUGUGUUCCUUUACUCAUCAGUUUUCGAUAUUCUUGCAGCUGCCAAUAUUGGGCAAAUGGCCUUACAAGAGUAAAAGCCAGGGCACUUUUCAUGAGGGGUACAUGUUCCCUUUGCUUGUCAACAAGCAGUUAGAGUCUUGGCCUGAGAAGACCGUCAGAAAACGAGAAUGGGUGAGUUGAAUCUGUUCCAUUUGACAUAUCGUACUUGCCUUGGUCCAGUGGUUUUUGAAGGUACAUGUUCUAAAUAUAUGGUUCUUUUUGAAUGGUGUAGAUGACUAUUGCUGACGCUAAAGAAGCAUGCCAAAAUUGGUGGAUGAGGGAAGCUUUGGAUGAAUUUUUUCGUCGACAAACGCAGACCCAAGAGAAAGAAGCACAAAAUGUGCCUGUUUGUACAUGAGAGAACCUCACUUUGGUAGCCAUGGUUUUAGCCAUGGUUUGGUUUUUGUUCAAUUAUUUGGACAACCAAACGGAUGUAGGGGGAGAAGUAACUUCCCAAUACUCAUAUUAGAGAUGAGCUAGUUUACACUCAACAGUGAAAACUAAAGUGUUCAUUUCUUUACAGUUCUGUUGCUGUACAAUGUAGUCGAAGAACUAGAAACAGAACGCCUGUUAGAUGUACAAACCCCAUUCUUUCAAUUCAAUUCAAUUCAAUUCAUUUUGAUUGUAUGUAACUUGUGAACCAUGGAAUAAUGAACGUUUUCACUGACUCUGGUUCAGAGUUUUUUGUGAUUUCCCUUCUCAAUUUGAGGUGUGUUGGAUCCUGAUUUCCAUCAUAGACAGGACUGGCUUGGUUAAAGUCACUGGUUCUAGACCACAUAAGCCAAGUGUGGCAUAAAGCUUGGUAUAUCUCAGUAUGUGGCCAUGUGGGUGGAUAUGCUUCAUUGGAAGUGGAAGAUAGAAUUGCCUGUCAUCAUGAAAACCAGAUUAACAUUUAAGGGUAUUUAAAAUGACACUGAUGGGCAAUGAACAAUAUUGGUGGGGUGGUCAGGUCCAAUAAUGGUUUAGAGAUAUUGAAGAGCCUGUAGAGAAAAGAUGAUGGUGAUAGCUUGUUGUUUAAUAUGUGACCUAUGCUAUGUGGCAUUUUUUUUUUUUUUUCGUACGGAAAUAACGGAUCAGUUUUGCUUGCCAACCAGCAAAACUGAUGACUAUCCAAUUACCUCUUUCUCUCUCUCUCUCUCUUGAUUAGCAAGUCACUGAUGGUCAUCAGUUUUACUGGUUGGUAAAAUUGGAUCCGGAAAUAACUUAGAUGACCAACUAUGGUUACUUAUGGGUGAUAAACAACUAAUAAGAGAUAGACAAAUGUCAACAAUAAUCAUAAACAAACAUGUCAAAUACCCAAAAAUCUCAUGUUAUGUCCUUAAAUUACAGCCAAGCCUUUUAAAAUAGACACGUGUUCUAUGUUCGUUGGUUGUUUGUCACCAAAGUCAGGUUUUUUUCUGACGAGCACAAACAACCUAACCGGAUAAAACAAAACAUGGCCUGAGAAACAAAAUCAUGAAAAACCGAACAACAUAUAACACAUUGUAAACUAUGUCCACAAUUAAUUUGCCAAAACAUCAACUGCAAAAUUUGGCUUUCUCUAGAUAUGACUAAAAACACAAUGAUCAAAUGAAACGGUCAGAGUUUUAAUAUCUUAAACCAACAUGCUAGUACCGCAAGGGGUUUGAAUCUAAUUAUUGAUACUAUCUAUCAAAGACUUGGGAGUCACCUUCGAUAAUUAGUUUGCUAAAAUGUAUCCUUCAAUACCUUUCCUUUAUCCCAUUUUCUGUUUUUUACUUUUUGGGGUAAACGAUGACAGUAAAAACAGACCACAAUGUCAAGAAUCUUUUAACUCAAACACUUACCCCGUACUUGUGGCUCAUCCAUUUAUUUUUUCUUUCUUUCAUUUUAAUUUCACACACUCCAAGACAAACGUAAAAUUCAAAUGCUUUGAAGACCGUUGAACUCUGCAGGAGGAAAAGUUACUCUGUCACACACUCCGCACUCUGUUACCGUUCGCAACAAUGGGAAGGCUCCUCCGAACCAAGAAUGACUAUGAAGAUCUCAGAAAUGCUCGCAUAGUACAAAACCAGGUCCUCUUCCUUCUCUUUCGUUUGCUCACGUUCACUCUUCUUCUUAUGACAGUGGCAUUCUCAAUUCUUGAUAUUGAACUUGGAAUAAUUUACAGGCUCGCUUGCAUUCGUUGGGAGUACAUAACACCCUCUCCGAGCUCCACUCCAUUUCUUCAUCUGCGAAAUCACAAAAGGCCCAUGUCAGGAAGUACUGCCAGAAGGUCUAUGAUCUCACCUCUUUGCGCCGAUCGGACCGAUUGAAAGGACCAUCCACCACUCAAGCAAUAACAACAACACCAAAUCACACUUCAUCAUCAAGGUUGACAGGUAAAUCAGUCAAGCCCUUUUAUUUUGGCCUCUUUUUGGAGCUAAUAUUCUUUUGGUUUCUAAAUUGUAUUUUGUGACGUGACAGUAGUGGGUGUAAAUGAAGAGAGUGAAGAGGGCACAAAGAGAAGGCCUCUAAAUGCGCCUUUUGUGGAACUGAAGGCUUCGAAGAUGGAGCUAGUUUCGUCUGAGUCUUGGUCUCGGCGUUGUGAUAGCAAGAGCCGCGGCACUGUCUAUCACUCUGUCUUCGGGAUUUGCUGCCAUUUUUGCAGGUUUUUGAGUCUUACUCUUUUGGUCUAUACACAUUGUUGAGCAAGAUAAGAAUGAAUUGUGGGAUAUCAGAUAGACUAGAUAGGCAUACUGACCCUUUAACCUGGAUUUGAUUCUUACUGUAAACUACUAAACUUACAAUCAAGCUCUCGACCAGUUUCAGUGAUUAGUAAGUUAACUAAUUAAGUGACUUGUAAUAUAAAUCUGCCUGCCUCUGGAUUUUACAUACUCUGAAUUUCAAUGGAUAGAGGAGUAGCUUUUAUGUUUACAACUUUAUGUAAAUGAAACAUUGAAAAAGAUUCAAGGUUUAGUAACUGUGUCAUCUUCAAAUACGUGGAUUGAGAACCAGCAUCUCUAUAUUUUACUAGUGCGCUAUGCCUUUUGUCUCUACUCCUUAGAAGUUAGAAAUCGGUAUCAUUACUAGCUCAAUCUUCAAUGUUCUAUAAUGUGCAGGCAGAAGAAGUUGUGCGGUGAAGAAGAUUGCAAGAGAUGUGGCACUCUAGAUAUGGAUCAACCAUGCAUUGGUAAGUUCUCCAAUGGAAUCCACUUGAGAAUUCCGAGGAACCUUGACAUAUAGUACUGAAAUUUGUUGAUCCUAUAUGCACAGGAAAAACAGAAUGUUCAGUUUGUCACUCUACCAAUGGUGUUCUUUGCCGCGGUUGUCUCAAGGUUAGGUAUGGUGAAGGUGAGUCUUUCUUUGUAGAUGAAAGAAAAAUUACAUCUAUCAGAUGAGGGAAAGCGUUUAGAUGUUAAUUUAUUGUAACUUGUAGAAAUGGAAGAAGUGAGAGGAAAUAAAGAUUGGAUGUGCCCACAUUGCAUAGAAGAAAAAGGAGUAAGACCUUACUGGAUAUGUAACAGGUAUAUCCAUGACACACUAUAUUUGCUAAUUCAACUUUUAUGUGCUCAUGAUAUAGACUUUAACGGAGAUUUAAUCUUCUCUUUGUUCCCUUCAAUGAUAUAAUAGCUCAUUCUGCAUGAAGAAGCGAAAGAUGGUUCCGACUGGGAUAGCAAUAUACAGAUGUAAGCAUAUAUCCCAGACCUCAACUCUUGAUUAUUCACUUGUGUUUGCUCAUCAUUGUUACAUUAGCUACUUUGUAUACUGCAUAUUACUGUAUGUUGAUUUCCUUUCAUUCAAUUUGGUUCAAAGGUCAGGAGAUGGGAUACAAGUCAGUGGCACAUCUGGUAAUGGAUGAACUUAAACGAAAAAUGAAUCGACAUGGAGCAACUAAGUAACUAAUGGUAUGACUGAUGUUUUAGGAAGAAACACUUGAUCUGCUAUAAAGUUGAUUGUAGUCGGCUCUUUGCCUCAACAUUAGAGUAUAACAUGUAGUAGAUUAGAUCGAUGUUUGGUAUGUGUGUGGAUGUAUUUUGGGGUUCUACUCAAGGCACAGGUUUUCUGUUACCAACCAUGCAUGUUGAUUGGUUGAGGACAUUUCAUCAAGCAUCAGCCAGUUCAGCAAACUCGGUUGAAAUUCCUGAUAACCAUGGGAGAAUAACAGGCCCAAACUAUACACAAGAACAGCUAAAUCUGUUUGAUUUUGAGGAGGCUUUACAUUAAUACUCGUUGCUUAGAAUCAUAGAAGAGGACGCAUUACGAGUUAUCAUAUACAGACUUUCGAUGCUUAGAACCUUUAGCCAAUACAAAGGAUUACCUUCUGCUUUGAGCGGAUCCAUGCAUCUUGAUUACAUGAAAGUUAAGCUACCAACAAGAAAAUAAGUUGGAGGAGCAUAUAUCACCACAAUACUUGAUCAAUGUUGGAAAACUAUGGUUAUUCAUUCCAAUAACACUUGAGAAGCAAUUAAUGUUGACAGAAAAAAUAGAUGAACCGAAAACAAUUCCCACCACCAAGAUAGAAAAAAAGAAGACAAAUAAAGGUGAGGAUUCAUAGAUUCAUUCAUGCACAAAAAUAUACCGACUGUUAACUGAAAGAAGAAAAUUAUUAUAAACUGCAACCUCAACUCAAUCUGAAGUGCUAACCAGCUACUAAUAUAGCUAUCAUCCCACUCACAUGAACUUUUAUCAAAACACCAUAAUUCACUAGCAACUGAUUUUCCUCGUCCUUCAAAAGAACACGGAAACUUCUUCAAGAGUUCUUCUCGUAAAGGGUGGGCUUUCAAUGCAUAUGGAAGAACCUAGUAUUAACAAAUUAUAACACACUCAAUACUUGCUUAACAAACUAGGUGAUUAAGAUAAUACAAAUAUAUGUACAUUAAAAGAAAAAUUGAAAUCCAUAGCUAUGUAAGUAAACGUCCAUUAGAUACCAAAGCUUUCAAAAAAUAAUAUAGCACAGAUUUAAAAAGAGAAUAUCAUUCAUAUGUUUUCAGGUUUAAACCUUCAGGGAUAACAUAUCAGUUCUAGCAUAAAUUAUCUUCAUCGUAUUUUCAGGCAUCAUGGGGCCAUCUGAAAUCGGAAUAUCUGACCACACGUCAAGAGCAGACUGAUUAUCCUCAAACACUUGCUGUAUAUAACAAGAUACCAAUUAGAUUGAACAUUGAUAAUUUCAAUUACAUAGAACUAUUAAAUGAGGAAACGAAGCCCUAAGACAUUAACUGCUCAAUUUUGGAAACUGGAACCAUACCACUGAGUUUGGUUAGUCAUCUUCGGUGCAAAGUGAUCGUAAACACUAAUAGAGGGCCCGAACAAACUUUAAUGGCUUGUGACAAGUAUUAAAUGGAGUAUUUCAGGCCUCUGAUUCCACACAUUCUAAAACAUCGUGAUUCUUCAAGCCACUCAAUUGGUUGACAAAACAAUAAAAGUGAUCUAUUCUUCUCUGAGAUUAUCAAAUUUUCAGGUUAGAUUCUGGCUUAUUCAUGUCCUUUCAUGCUUUUCUGAAUUUUCAGGUCACUUCUUCUUUUUCUUCCCAUAGCUGUUCUAUGUAAUCAGAAUUCCUCUUGCAAGUGUCUAUUGUAGACCCAUCCUGCCAGUACUCCACAGUGUUAACAUCUUCGUCCUCACUGUUUUGAUAUCCAAAUCCGUUAUAUAUCAGGGCCUCCUUUUCCAUUUGCUUUACCCACUGUUCAAGUUCUUCCGGAGUGUACUCAUUUUCUCAUGUUUCAUUUUUCUUGAGCUGUGCUAUGACGCCAUUCAUAAUUUUUUGCAUGAUUUCCUUGGUUGUACCAACUUCUUCAUUCCCCCCAGCCUCUUCAUUCUGUUCAGGCCCAACUUCUUCAUUCCUCCCAACCUCGGUAUUCAUCUACAAAAACGUAGCAGAACUCAUAAGACAAGAUUAUACAAAUGAAGACACAAACUCAUAAGACAAUACUUUUGAAGAAAUACCAAACUUCUUUCAAGUAUAGAACACCAAACUAAUAAAAAAAGAACUAUCAAUUGUCCUAAUAUCUCAUUGAAAUAAGAAACAAUGCAAGGGAUAUGCUAACAAAUUUAACAUUCAAUAAUUAAACUAUACGAAAAUACCUCAGUUGCUCCAUCCUUAGCCUGAUUGAAAAACUUCUUCAGGAUUAUUUUUCGUUUCAGUUACACUUUGUUCAUAGGUUUCAGCUUCAGCUUCUUGUAGUUGUCCUUCAGAUGCAUCCUCAACCUUCUUUCUUCGGCUUUCAGCUUCCCAUGCAUCUUUAAAACCAGGUCUUGGAAAGCAGUCAUAUUGCACUUGUAUUGGCAAUAUGAUUGUUCUUUUUCAAACUUCUUCCUACGUGUUGGAGCUUUCAUUCUCUUCUGUCCAUUUUUGCACCUGCAGACAGUAGCAUAUUCAUAUUCUCACAUUCUCAAAUUCUAAACACACAAACAUUCCAAGUAAAUGCAGCAGCAACUACAAAUUAAAUCAACAGACCGCACAUUCAUACAUAAUUACCUUGAUGUCUUUGUCCAUAUCUUGUUACAAAAGCUGCUACCGACUCAAAAGUCCUGUAAAAUGUGAAAAUCACACCAUUAGAACCUGCUUCCCCACCUUCAACACAAUUACAUACUCAAUAAAAAGGCUGCUACUGACCCCAAAAAUUAACAUGAAAUUGCUCCAACUAAUUCAGUGACAUAACGUAAGGAAAUCAAACGGUUAUUACUCGUUUUAGCUUAGUGAUACUGAAGUUUCAUGAAAUCGAGUUCAAAUUCGACAAAAAUGAAAGAUCAAGACGAACUGUACUGCUACUUCCAUAAAACGAAAGAUGCUACUGAUUUUCUCCAAAUCAAAGCAAAAUCAUAGGAAUUGAACCAGAAACGAAAAAGGUUACUGCUACUGGUUUUCUCCCAAAAACGAAACAAAAAACCUAAAAUUCUGUUCGAUAGCUUUAGAAAUUGAACCAGAACAGUAGCAGAGAGAGAAAGAAGAGCAGUAGCAUUACUUACCAGAGGAAUUGCAGAGAGAGGUUGAAGAAGACGCAAUGCAAUGAAAUGAGACUUGGCAGCUUAUUUGAAAAAUUUGUUUAGACAAAGAGAUGACAGAAGAAACAGUGAGACAAGUUGUGAUCUUGACCGAAAGGGAUAACCCAAACUAGCGAACGCGAGCUGGGUUUACUCACAAGAAACCCCAGAUGAGGAUAUGAAGAUUUGGUUGGGUUUGGGGAUUGAGAAUCAACAAGAACGAGAGUGGUAUUACAUGUAAGGCAGCAAGGCAUACCUCUUGGAACCAUACACUACAUUUGGUUCGGCGGCUGUGAGCCUUCUUUGGUCCAAGCUUUGGUUCUUAUACCAUCUCACAUAUUCAAGACCUUAAAAAAAAAAAAAAAAAAAAAAAAAAAAUCUGCUUGGGCUUUUUCGUCCAUUCUGUUUUGGUUCAAUACCAAUCUUUUUCUCUUUGGCAGUUUGGCAGCAAUCGAAAAAAAGAAAAAAAAAAAAAAAUCUCUUUGGUUUAAAAACUUAUAGAAAAAUUUUAAUAUAUGUCAGCUUCUCAACAUUUUAUCUACAUGACUANNNNNNNNNNNNNNNNNNNNCUCUCUCUCUCUCUCUCUCUCUCUCUCUCUCUCUCUCUCUCUCUCUCUCUCUCUCUCUCUCUCUCUCUCUCUCUCUCUCUCUCUCUCUGUGCAAAUUGGAGCUCCAAAACCAGCGAUCUGAAGACCAGAUCGGUGCCAGUAACCCGUGCUUUUCCUCUCCCACACUUUUGAUUUCGAGACCUAUAUCUACGGCGUCGAUUUUACUUCACCGGUGUCGAUCUGCUUCUCCGACGACGAUAACGACGCCUCGCUUCAAGAUGAGAACACUGACAUGCAAAAUAGCAUAAACCACGAAACUAGUACUUCAAGCUAGGGCAAAAGACGUGUUUCAUCUUGUGGUCCAGUUGUAUCAGGCAUUGCCUGUGAUUUAAAAGCUAGUGUUUUAAGAAUCCUUCCGAUGAUAGCAUUCCACUAGCACAAUACAAUACCAUUUGUGCGAGUAACCCUUCAAUCUCGACGUGUAUAACAUUAUGUUAGCACCACUCGGUACUAGUUAUGCAGCCACUGAGCGUAACAAAUUCACUCCCAAACUAUACACAAGAACAACUAAAAUACUAAAUGUUUUUGAUUUUGACUGAGGCCUUACCACAAUACUCAUUGCUCAGAAAAUAGAACAUGAUUGCAUUACAAGUAAUCGUACUGUUUAAAUGCAGGUCAACAUUUGUUUGCACGGUAGCAAAGCACAUCUUCUAUUACAUUCUGCUUGCGAAGCUAUGCAUUAUUCCACAAAAGCUGAGCUACCAGUAUGGCUCAUUCCAGAUUCAGUCCAGUAAUUAAAGUAGUUAGCAUAUAAGAGAAAAAUAGAUGAGCCAAAAAACAAUUCCCACCAAGAAGAAAAAAAACACAAAUGGAAGCAAGGACCAUUCGUCAAUACAAGAAUUUACUGAUUGUUAACUGAAAAAAAGAAAAUUAUUAACUGCAACUUAUAAUUAGAUAGGCCAUUAUAUCAAGUUGUUUAACACAUGACGGACCUAUUUUAACAGAAAAACCAUUCAUGAGCUAGCACAGUUUUGGAAAUACGGAAUUCUACAUUCAGAUAGAAAGUAGACUUGAAACUAGGAGAAAGUAUAACCAGAUCAAACUCCACUAAAUUGAACUAGACAACCCAGAUGCUUUAGUCGCCACAAAGUUCCACAGAGUUAUUUGAAGCUACUACAACCUCUUCCACCAUCUCUUCCUCGACCUCAUCACCAUCAUCUGAUAUGACCUCCCACUCCUCCUCCUCGCUAUAAUGGUACAAUGGAUACCUCUGAGGAGGAGGGCUUGAUAUCUCAUCAUCUGGAUACUUAAAAGCAAGCUGGUACCCACACCCGCACAACUCCUCGACCAGCUUAUUAUAUUCUUUUACACUUAGGAACACAUUGUGCAUCAGAAGGUCCUGUGAUUGUGGUAAUCGUAUAAUUGCAAUUGUAAGAGUUAGACCAACUAAUUAGCCACGUGCAUGCACAGUUUUAGGGCCCCGUUGGGAUUGCUUUGUGUCUAAAAAAAUCAGCUUUUAUUUAUAAUUUUUAGAUUUUGAAGUGUUUGGUCCUGUCUCCAGACCCUAUUUAAGUAUUUAUAAGAGAACAUAGGUCUUGCAGAUACAAUACAGUUUCAACUCCUAAACCUAAGUAUAUUACAAAUCCUAAUAGAACCUGGAAAGACCAACUUUCUUUUCUAGACUUGGACUUGGAUUUGCCUGCUGAAUACUACUGUUCCAGAUUGUAUCAAACGAGCCAAAAAUACAACAAUCUCCACGUGCACGCAAAGUUUUAGGCCUAUUUGAAAUUGUUUUGUUUUUCGAAAAAAAAUUAGCUUCUGUUUAAAUCUUUUAUUUUAAAGUUUUGGCAAAUCAAGGGAAAACAGUUUUUGUUUUUUGUUUUUGAUUACAUGUCACAGGCAGCAGAUUUUAGAAACAAACCUUAUAAGUUGUUUGUUUAAAAUUAAAGUUAAAACAUACCGUUAGAGUCAUCAGAUUCAUCCCUCAAAACUAGAUUGUCCAUCAUAUGACGAACUUCAGAUUUACUUGGAGCAUGCUUCACACAUAUCAAAGAAUCACUAUAAGCUUUACUCGCACCAAAACCUCCUUUCAAAGCAUCAUCCUUUUCCACUAAAGAAGCUCCUGUGGCAAGUGUUAUAAGAGUUAUGCAAAACUAACCCCAAACAACAAUCUCAUAAACAAUCUUAUCAAAAAAAAAACAAAAUCACAUGAACAAAAGCAUAAGUAGAUUAUAGAUGUACCAUUAGAGUGGUCUUUCAGAUUUAGAUCUUGAAUCAAAUGACAAGCUUCUGAUUCCAUAGUCAUGUCUUUCGUAACAAAUUAUCAAUAUGACCAAUUGUAGAAGAAAAUAAAAUAAAAAAAAUAGUAUAGAACAGAAAUACCUAUCUGUUAACCUAAAGUCCUAAAUUCAACAUCAUUGCUCUUAAUUGAAUUCUACUGAGAUUUCUAAAAACUAACUGAUGGCUUACAAAGUGAAGGUCUCAAGUAGAAUACACCAGUGUAAAUUCUAUGGAAAAGAAUUACUUGUGAGUUUGUGACAACUAAAAAUCAUUCAACCAAGUUCUAAAUUAUUCUAAAUAAAAGAAGCCUAGGAGAUGACGAAAGAAAAAUUCACACAAUAAAAUAACACAAUUUUACAAAAUAAAACUCAGAACAAUUCAAUCAACAUAAGACGGGAAAACAGCGGAGCUUAAUCCAUUCUAUAAGAUCGAGCUCAUAGACCCGAUCGAACACAUGCACAAUAAAUCAAAUUCGAAGACAAAGCAGAUCAAAAUCGGACAAUAGAAUUUUUAAGAAGAAAAGACAUAAUAAUCAAUCAGAUCAGAAGGAAUAAGGGACAGCAAUUAUAACAAAAACAAUUUAAUUUGAGGAAGAAAAGACAAGAUAAUCAUGAGAUGAGAGUUAGGGUUCUGAAGGAGACUUACGGUUUGUUGCGAUUGCAAAAGAACCGAACGCGCCCUUCGACUUGAAUUUAUAGGGAUGAGUAUUUAAGGGAGUAAAUCACCUGUUCCCAUUUAACCAAUGCCACAACUAAGAAUUUGACACGUGUCCACAAACCCCCCGGCCCCAGCACUUUUCUCCUGCUAAUAAUUGAAGGAUCCUAAUUUGAAGUCGAAUCCAAAGAUCCUAUUUCAACCAAGUAUGUAAUCCCACUUGUAAUCCGAGGUCUGGGUAGUCUAUUUUGCUUGAAUCCGGCAACGUCCUACCCAGGGGCGAAUCCAGGAAUCGCAAUCAGGUGGGACUUGAAAUUUUAGUAGGAAAAUAUUUUUGACGGUGCUAGAGAAAUUUAUAGAUUGAAAAUAAAGAUAAACCUAGUCAUAAAGGACGUAGUGGGCCUUUACCACUCCAAUGUUUGUUUAAUUCAUAAAACACUUUAGAUGUAACAAAAAAAAAACUAAAUAAACAUUUCAAUAAGACCGACAACCUCGCGUCUUCACCGAUGCUGCGUGACAAGGGUAUGGCAAGGAAAAAAGAAGACAACAGACAACAUAAACGUAUAUCUUUUUUGAGAAGAUAGAGAAACUUAUCUCUUUUUUUAACAAAAAUGAAAUUAAGUGUACGUUAGGCACUUGGAUCACGUCAAUGCUAGCUAGGACUUGAGUGAGACUAUCCCAAAAAAUAUUUGAUUAGUAAUUGUACAAGAUGAAGGAAUUUGAGUGGGACUUAAGCUCAACAAUCUUACAAUCACACUAUAAAAUUAAUGAUAACUAUAAGUAUUAAUUUUUUUCCCCAAAAUAUUUGGGUGGGACUUGAGUCCCAUGGUGCUUGUACCUAGAUCCGCCCCUGGUCCUACCCGUCAAAGCCAGUCUCCAUCAACUUUUUGAUUUUUGAUAUUUAUCUCUGAUUGUAAAAUGGGGAUUGUGAAUGUGAUUGAGAAGAUGAUAUUGGAUUUGGAAUUGAAAGUGGAUGUCCAAAGAAAGAAGAAGAAGAAGAAAGAAGGAGGAGAGGACGGGAUUGAUGGAGAAGAAGAUUGUUUGCAAUAAAGAAGAAGAAGAAGAAGGGAUUUGAUGGAGAAGAGAGGAUUCAGUACACGAAGAAGAUUUGGUUUUUGGGCUCAAUCAAUUGGAAAAAGAAAAUAGUAAUUCUUAAGAGUUUAAUAAUUUAUUUAUUUUGUAAUAGUAAACAGAGUUAGUGGGAUUGUUAAGUUAUUGAUACGUGUCAAAUUAUCUUCAAAAACUCUGAUUAUGGUUGUUGUUAAUUGAUUAUGUUAUGGUCAUGAAUGUUUUGUUAUAGCGUUUUAUUCAUGCGAUUUGAUAAAAGGUGGAUCGUAUUUUUUUUGUAACCCUUCAAUCUCGAUGUGCAUAGCAUUACGCUAGCACAAACAUGGUAUUAUUUGUAACCUUUGUUAGAAAUUAUGGAUUUAUUAAAUGUAAAUGCUGAAAACAGUAAAGGAAAGGAAGAAAGUUAUAGAGGCUACAUUGUGUCUAUAUUGAUAAGAUUGAGAAUGAGGAUUACAACAAUUACAUAUAGGGUUUAGAAUAAAAUGACAUAAAUGCCCUUACGAUUUAAUUGUUAUAAAUCUAACAUAUAGCUAACAACCUUCGAUCUUGAUGUGUGGCAUUACACUAGCACCAUUCAGUACUAUUUGUGUAAAACAAGAGAAUUUAACUAGCAUACCACGUGUUUUUAGGGAGAAAAAAAAUGGCAUUAGAAAAUUGUUAAGAGGUUUUGGACAAUCGAAAAGAGAGGUGAUAUAAUCUCAAAAUAUUAAUCUAUUGAUGAAAUAACCGCGAUACUUAUGAGUGAUCGAGAAUUUGAGAUUAUGUUUAGGAGUAAGUGUGUGCACUUAACCCCAUCCUAAAACCUCUGCAAACAAAGCUCUAAAUUCUUCAAAAACCUUCUCCACAAUCCACACCACUCCAAACCCUCCAAGAACAAAGCAUGCCCAUAUUCCAAACCCACUCACCUUACUCUUUUAGCUCCUCCACUCUCAGACCGACUUCCACAUUCUUCACCGGGAAAGUCCCAACUCUGAUACCAAUUUCGCUCCUUUCAUCCAUACAAAUCCUCAACGUUUGGUCCCCAGGGCCGCCGAAACCGAAUACUACAAGACUCUCAACCUCGGACAGAAAUGCAACCCUGAAGGAUAUAAAAACCUCUUGUCAAAAGCUUGCUCGGCAGGUUAGCUUUUCCGAGUUGGGUAUUGAAAAUAUGAUUUCCUCCCCCUCCAUGUAUGACUUGACCCACUCCUCGCUAUCAUCCCGCGACUCAAUCUUCCACACCGACCUAGGAAAAUACGUAUUGGAAAUUUUAGCCUGAAGAAAAAGAAGUGGAAAUUGUUAAGAAAAAUCAAAGCCACAAAAUAACAGCCAAAAUAGAAAAAAGGAAUUGAAAACUCACGUCCUCAGAUGCAUGCUUCCAGUUUUGAUGUCGCAUGCAUUCCUUGUACAACUCAUACAGUUCUUCUUUGGUUAAUUUUACCAUCCUAGUACCGUCGAAGACCUCAUAAAGUGGACCAAUCAAAGAAUCUCCAGAAGCUGUAUCUUGUGCUGUCACGACCUUUCCUUCCCUCUUGAUAUGACAGUCAUCAACAAUAACAACAGAAGGAUGUCGCUCCUCCACAACAGAAGCCCGGUUAGAGACAUUACUCAGAUCUUGAUCAUCCAUCAGACGACAAACUUCAGAUUUAGUCCCACCAAAACCUGAAAAACAAUAUCAUGUUUUAGUUAAAAAAAGAAAAAAAGAAAAAAGAAAAAAAAGGGGUUACUCAUGAACAUUCAGAUUUUUAAAUUCAAAGGAUUAAGAAGGGAAAGAAAAACCUGAAGAAUGCUCACAACAUGGAGCUGAAGUGCUAACCAGGGACUAAUAUAGGCCAUAGCUAUCAUCCCACUCACAUGAACUGUUAUCAAAACACCAUAAUUCACUAGCAAUUGAUUUUCUGCGUCCUUCCAAAGAACACGGAAGCUACUUCUUCAAGAGUUCUUCUCGUAAAUGGUGGGCUUUCAAUGCAUUUGAAAGAGCCUAGAAUUAACCAAUUAUAACACACUCACUACACACUUAACAAAUUUAGGUGAUUAAGAUAAUAAGAAGACAUGUACAUAAAAAGAGAAAUUGAAAUCAUAGCUAUGUAACCUCAAGUAAACUCCAUUAGAUACCAAGCUUUCACACAAAUCAUAGCACAGAUAUUCAGCUGUGUAAGAAUCAGAUUCAGAACCCUACAAGAAGAAUACCAAGUUACAGUGAUUGCAUCAUUAAGGCAAAUAACAGGUGGCAAAAAUCUGAGAGUUCCUUAAACUUGAAGUUGGUUGAGUAUGAAAGUUAUCAACUGUUGUACUGAACUGAGAAGCUGAGAUGCUGUUUUUGAAACCUACUUUCAAUGGCCACUAAGACUCUCUAUCCAAAAGUCAUUCGACUUUAACUUUUCACCAAAAUCAUCUGAUAUGCUCAUGAAUGCCUCUUGAACUGGAGAAGGGCAGAGUGCAUGACUCAACCUUUUGAAUCCCCAUAAUUUGGCCAACAAAUUAUCCAUAUGGACUCCUCUCCUGGUAUAGAUAACACUCGUAACCUUGUAUAUAGAUGGUGAUAGUCUACACGACCCUGAAAAACAAUAUCAUGUCAAAGCACCAUUAUGAUUAUUCCCAUAUAUUUCUUUAAAAAGAGAACAUAUCCAUUCAUGUGUUUUCAGGUUCAAACCUUCAGGGAUAACAUAUCAGUUAUAGCAUAAAUUAUCUUCAUCAUAUUUUCAGGCAUCAUGGAGUCUGAACUGACCACACAUCAAGAGCAGGCUGAAUGUCCUCAAACACUUGCUCUAUAUAACAAAAUACCAGUUAGAUUGAACAUUGAUAAUUUAAAUUACAUAGAACUAUUAUGAGGAUAUGAAGCCCUAAAGGCAUCAAAUGCUCAAUUUCAAAAACUGGAACCAUACCUCUGAGUUUGGUUUGUCAUCCUCGAUGCAAAGUGAUCGUAAACAAUGCGCCACAGCUAAUAGAGGGCCAGAACAAACUUUAAUGGCUUGUGACAAGUAUUGAAUGGAGUUUUUCAGACCUCUGAUCCCACACAUUCUAAAACAUCUUGAUUCUUUAAGCCACUCAAUUGGUUGACCAAGCCCAUCUGGGUCUAGUAAUCCCUGAAUCUUCAUUUGCAUUGCCUACAAAACUCAGGGUCCUCAUCUUGCAUUUGCAUAUAAAAUGGAAGUUCCUACAAUUUUUAAAAAAUAAAUGUGGGAGAGGGUCAUAUAUCACUCAGAAAUUGUACUUUGGGGUCAAGUCAAUUAAACUAGAAACUUAGCACAAUGAUCCUAGUAUCAGCAUAAACAAACACUAAAUAAAUUUGUUUUAUAAAGAAUGGAUAAGGGUCCUCUUUGUAAUGAUGGUUUGCGUGCAUCUUUUAUAGAAUGAAUGAAUGAAUGGCUUAAAUCUCAAAAGGUAAAACAAAAGAAAAUGGUUGCUUCUUAAUUAUUGUGCUGCUUCCAGUACUCAUAAUAUAUGUGAGAUUUCAUCUUAUGUUCACUGCUAAAAGAUACGGCAGCUUCUAUGCAUACUAACAAAAGUUCCACAUUAUUCAAACUGCUUAUCCGCAUAAGAGUAAAGGGAAGAUCAAUAACUUUGCCAGAUGAAUUCAUGCAUUCACCCUAGUGGUCAUGAAGUAAAGUGAAGUAAAAAAGUAAAGUGUCUGAGGUUCUCUCACUGUAAUCUAGCUCUGUUGGAAGAAGCAUUUGGCAGCGUUAAUUCUGUGAUUUAUCCUUCUUAUAUUAUUUUUCUGCAAUGUUCCACAUUAAGACUAAAGAGUGUAUUUGACAUUUCAAUAAUUACUAAGAACUAGCCCUUCAUUUAUUUUAUUUUUCUACAUUCCAAGUGUGUAGCCGUGUAGACCAAGCAUCUUAUUGCCUAACUAACGAAAGGAUUGAAAGCUACUAAGCUGGUCAAAGCUAUCUAAAGGAUAUAAAUCAUAUAACAUAUAAAAAAAAUGCACACUGAUUUCCUAAGUACCUGUUAUCCUGCUUAUGGGACUUUAAUACAACAAAGGUUGUGAAGUAUUAGAGCACGCUCAACCCUGAGCACAUAUCCUGGGGUUUCCCUUCCCAAUAGAUGAUAGAUGUUCAUGUGUUUCUGCUGAGCACUGAUUUCAUUUCCUAAUGUAUCAGGCAACAAAGUUGAUUUGCUUGCGUGGAACAAUGAAUUUGGUCCGACUAGCACUGAUAUACUUUGAAAUACAAUUUCACCCGUCAAAAAGAGCUUGAGUUCCAUCAAGAAUGAACUCCAUCAGGAUUUUGGGCACCGUUUAUCCGUAUGAUGUCCUAAACGAAGAGUAGGACACACAGUAUUUGCGGUACAGAGCUUUCCUUAAGUUGCAAAAUUGUGGCAAGCUUCAUGAAUUUGGCCAUCAUUUUCCAAGCAUUUUCCUGAUUAAAGGGGCAUAGAGAAAACAAAACAAGUGAGGAUCCACAGAUUGGAUUGCCUGUUUAGUCCUUGAUUCUAAUGCUUUAGAAUAGAAUUACCAAGAAGUACAAUGCUUUACAGCCAAUAAGUACAAACCUGGCCGUAAACGUGCCAAUGUUUUCCAAACAAAUAUCCUCGGAGCAGCUUGAGUGAAUGACGGCGGUAUGCUAGUUCCUUACUGAGCCAGAUUUUGCUUUCAUGGUAUGACAAUGCCAUGAAGCGGAACUUAACGGCUUAUUAUAGAAAAUUUUGUUUAGACAAAGAGAUGACAGACGAACAGUGAGUUUGGAAACUUGAGACAACCCAAACUAGUGGACGCGAGCUGGGUUUACUCACAAGAAACCCCAGAUGAGGAUAUGAAGAUUUGGUUGGGUUUGGGAAUUGAGAAUCAAACCAGGGAAGGCAGCAAGGCAUAAUUCUACAUUGGUACGGCGGCUGUGAGCUUUCUUUGGUAUUUAUAUCGUCUCUCAGAUUCAAGACCUAAAAGAAACUCUUACCUUGCCUUAUAUUUUGUAGCAUGUGUGUGUCAUGAUUUCUUCAUUGUAUAUAUAUAGGAAUAUGAUGCAUCAUUAAACGAUGAGAAUUUGAGACUAUGUUUAGGCGUAAGUGUGCCCUUAACCCCAUAUCCUAAAACCUCUCCAAACCCCAAAGCUCUAAUUCUUCAAAGACAUUCUCAGCUAUCCACACCACUCCAAACCCUCCACAGAACAAAGUAUGCCCAUCAUCCAAACCCACUCACCUUACUCUUUUAGCUCCUCCACUCUCACACCCAGUUCCACAUUCUUCAUCGGAAAAAACCCAACUCUGAAACUCAAUUUCGCUCCUUUCAUCCGUACAAAACCUCAACGUUUGGUCCUCAAGGCCGCCGGAACCGAUUACUACAAGACCCUCAACCUCGACAGAAAUGCAAACCUGAAGGAUAUAAAGACCUCUUAUCGAAAGCUCGCUCGGCAGGUUUGCUUUUCUGAGUUGGGUAUUGAAAAUGUGAGCUGCUCUUAUCAAAAGUUUCAAUCUUUUUUCAACUUUGAUGAAUACCCAAUUGUUGGAACAGUACCAUCCUGAUAUGAACAAGGGCUCUGGAGCUGAAGACAAGUUCAAAGAGAUUAGUGCUGCAUAUGAGGUACUUAUGCCAAGGCUUAUGAUUGUGUAGUUUUGAUAGUUUUUGUGUUCAUUGGUGAUGUGUUGAUUGAUGUUGUAUGAAGUUUGUUUAACAGUUAUGAACUUUGUGAAUGUAUAUUGCAUGAGGAGAAAAGAGCUUCCUGUAUUCGACUUCCGUUCAAGUGGUAAUUGAGCUUUUGUUUAGGUCCUUUCAGAUGAGGAGAAAAGAGCUACAUAUGACCGCUUUGGUGAGGCAGGCUUACAGGGAGAAUAUGGUUCCUCGAACAUGGGUUCAGCCGGGGUAAGGUCACGCUUCAUGAUCAAUAAUAGUGCUUUUCAAUCCUCUUUUUGUGGACAAUAUCGACAUGUGGACAAACAUGUAUAUGUAGUAGUUUUGUUUAGUUUUUCUACCGAAGAAACUAAUCUUAUUAACUGCAUUCUUAGGUCGAUCCUUUUGACGUUUUUGAUGCAUUCUUUGGAGGAAGAGGUGGAUCAGGAGGCAUGAACUUCAAUGUUAACAUCAAUACACCAAACACAGGAAAUCAGAGCCUUGACAUUUGGUAAUUGUUUAGCUGUGCUGUUACUAUUAGUUGGUUGUGUGACUGUCAAAACAUUUUCCUUUUUGGUAGAAUCCAAUAUUUGUUUGCAUGUUUACCGAAGCAUGCCAUUACUUUAACCUUUAAAUGACUUGGUGAUUCUUUUAAUUCCCUUUUUUAGGUAUGAACUGCACCUUAGCUUUGAAGAAUCCAUUUUCGGAGGACAGAGGGAGUUUGAACUUUCUUGUAUUGAGACAUGUGAUACUUGUAGUGGAACUGGUGCUAAAUCUGAUGAUUGCAUCAAAUCAUGUACUGCUUGCGGAGGAAGAGGAGGGGUGACAAAAACUCAGAGAACACCAUUUGGCAUGAUAUCGAUGGUAAAGAUCUGCCUUGAAUAUUAAAUUCAUGGAUAAUUUUCCUACAUCCAAUUGUGAAAACAGUUUUCUUUGCCACAUCCAUGCAGAUAGUAUUGCAAGUAUAAGGAAAUUUUGAUCUGUAUAUGUGCAUGGGUGUUUAUAAGUUGUUGGAAGCUCAAUGCAAUUUGUUCACAUGUGCUGUGAGCUUCUGAACAUAGAGUUAAUCUGAUAAUUAUUUAGUCUACCUCUUCCUACCAAUUACUCAAGAUCUCAUUACAUGUUUAUUGUGCUCAUUGCUCAUAUUUCACGAUGAAUAGGUAUCUACCUGCUCAAAGUGUGACGGUCAAGGUACAAUAAUAACUGAUUCUUGCAAAAAAUGCAUUGGCAAGGGACAAGUAAAGUCAAAAAGAGCAAUGGUUGUAACCAUUCCAGCUGGUGUUAGUGAUGGAGACACAAUGAAAGUUCAAGGCGAGGGGAAUGUUGAUAAGAGAAGGUGUUCAAACUUUUUGUUAUGAUUUUCUUUCUUUUGCUAACGUCUUUACAUAUGGGUUUUUGAACUUUUCUAUGAGAGGCCAUGUGGCAAUGUACCUGUUAUGUUGUUCAAACUUACAAGUAGUCAUAUAUGUUGGUCAAAGAGUGGUUUCAUAGUUGUUGAUUUCAGCCCUAAUUGAUUAAUUAAAGAAAUUAAACACAUACAGCUCUGUCAAUAGAAGCAAAUUUCAAAUAAAUUAAUAUCUUGCUCUGGAAGCUAUUGUGCCUACCAGAGGAUUUCACAUUGGCUGGAAGUAAAUUUUCUUCCUGGAUUUAUAUUGGGUAGUAAUAUACUUACAAAAUGCUGAUUGUUAUGCCAUUUAACUCUAUAUUGAUUAUAGUUCACCUUUUCCCGGCUUAAUGAACUUCUCCUUCCUGUCAUUCAUUCUUUCUAGAAUUUCCGGCACAUAUUUUUGCACAUUUACUGUUUAUGACUUUCUUUGUUUUUUUUGUUUUUUUGGCAGGGGUGUAGUUGGUGAUGUCUACAUAAUGCUUCGUAUAAACGAAAAGGCUGGAAUUCGGAGGGAUGGUCUCAAUCUAUAUUCAACUAUAAAUAUUGAUUAUACCGAGGCAAUUUUAGGGACUGUGAUAAAGGUAAUGUAACAUUUCUGUAAUAAGGCUUUCAAUGUGCAUUUGGUACUUGUGUGGUAUAGGAGUUGUGUGACAUGAAAUUUUUAUUUGCUUUAGGUAGAAACUGUGGAAGGCAUGAAAGAGCUUAAAAUUCCAUCUGGAAUUCAGCCUGGGGAAACAGUAAAGUUGUCCCGUAUGGGGGUUCCCAACAUGCGCAAGCCUUCUGUUAGAGGAGAUCAUCACUUUGUUGUGAAUGUACUUAUCCCAAAGAGAAUCAGGUUGAAAUUCUUGAUUAUAUUAUGCUUCCUUCUUUCAUCUAGUUUUAAAAUACUAGUUCAACUUCAGCAUCCAUCUUGAUAUUCCCAAUACCUUGUAUUUUGAAUUACAGUGGCACAGAACGCACCCUUGUUGAAGAAUUGGCUUCACUUAAGACCUCUAAGAAGGGCCACUCAGGUGCUUCAAAAGGCAUUGGUAUAUAGAUUCAACUUUCAAGUCUGUUAUGCACUGCUAUCUAAUCAUUAUGUUUGUCACUUAUCAUGAUUAAUACUGUUUGUAUUUUCUUGUAUCGUCUCAGGGACACAAGAUGGGAACUCUGACAUGCAUAGUAGCAGAAACCAUGAAACCAGUACUUUGAGCCAGGGCAAAAGACGUGUUUCAUCCUUGUGGAACUCAAUAAAAGGCGUAUUGGGGUAAGCCGUCGUGUCUCAUUUCCAUAAGUUCUAGUUUUCAGUCUUAAGUAUCCCUAUGUAUCUUCAAGUUAAAAGAAGAGAAAUUCAUUAAUCAGAUUAGUAUACAUGUUGAUUCUAUACCACCGUGAGUUUGCAAUCUUGCAUACAUGUGAUUCGCGUUAACCAUGCCCGUUUUGCAGGGGGAGGCAGUCGCAUGACAGAUUUGCAUCGGUUAGCGUGGACAGACCAGCACUUCUGAGGGGUUCAAGCCAGCCUUAUUCCUUUUAUAUGGCUUCGAUUUUUGGAGUCAUUGUUGUAACUUGUAUCUGUACCUUCAUAGGAAAGACCAAAAGCAUCACAUUAUCACAACACAAGGACAAACAUAGAACAAACAACAAUGUUGAUAGAAAUACUUGAUUUGAUAUGUUGCUCACUGAGAUGUAACUUUUGCUCACUCAAUGAUAUAUUACGAAUGCGGCACGAAAUUGAGCAAGAUCCUGUCAACAAUACAAGCAACAUUUUUGGUGUUCUUGCACUCCCCAACUCUCACUCAAUGAUGAGCUAAGAUCAAGUUUAAACAGGCCUGUUGCAAGGUUUAACGGGCCAAGCCCAACUCACCAUAAAAAGGCCCAAUCCAUUUAUAAAAACCGGAAAACCCUAAAACCUACCCGCUUAAAUUGCUCCAAGUUGUAACGAGGCCGCUUCUGCUUUCUUCUUCUUCAUCUUCUCAGUCUUCUCCAUAUCCGCCGCCGCAGUAGCCAUGGUACCUCUCUCUCUCUCUCUCUCNNNNNNNNNNNNNNNNNNNNGUCUCUCUCUCUCUCUCUCUCGCUAUUGAUUUUUUGCUUUCGGAAAUUGGAUAUGUACUUGUUCUAGUUUUGUAGAAAAUGUAAUACUGGUUCGAAUUUCGAUUUUGCAACUAUACUUGAAGCUCAAACAGCUUCUUAGACUCUACUAAGUUUAGGUUAGUAAUUGGGAAUCCGCUGUCUAGGUAUUACGGAUGUGGUUUAUCUAGGGUUUAUAUGGUGGUGUUUUGAUGUACAAAGAGGAUUUAGGGUUGUGAUGAUUAUGGUAUCUAAAAUCUAUGGUUGUUAUUUGUGUAUUGUGACGAGUAUAUGGAAAAUUUGCUCUGCUCGGAACGCAGUUCUUUUUUAUUUGCUGAGAUGCUGUAUUGUUUUUCUUUAGUUUGUUUUGAUUGUUGAUUGUGGGAUGUGUUUUUAUGUUUUCAGGUGAACGUUCCGAAGACAAAGAAGACCUACUGCAAGAGCAAGGAGUGCAAGAAGCACACCCUGCACAAAGUCACGCAGUACAAGAAGGGCAAGGACAGCCUUGCUGCCCAGGGGAAGCGUCGUUAUGAUCGUAAGCAAUCAGGUUAUGGAGGUCAGACCAAGCCUGUGUUUCACAAGAAGGUAAACAUGCUUAAAUUUAUUGCUGCGUUCUCUGCUUUUUCUGGAACAAUGAGUGUCUCUACUGAACUAGAUCGAUUGGGUGUGUUUCAACAAUCUCAUGUUAUAUGUUUCUUAAUUUUACCAGGCCAAGACCACCAAGAAGAUUGUGUUGAGGCUCCAAUGCCAGGGUUGCAAGCAUGUGUCGCAGCACCCAAUCAAGGUUAGUGUUGUGUUGUGGGUUUCUCCUCUUUGUUUCCAUUUGCAUCCAACCUAUAUGCUGGUGUCUGACUGUUGCCACUGGUUUCUGCAGAGGUGCAAGCACUUUGAGAUUGGUGGAGACAAGAAGGGCAAGGGAACCUCUCUUUUCUAGACGAACCAUUUUGGUUGUAUCUCUUGUUUUUGCUUUGUCUAUCCUGUUGGAGCUUUAAAGCAAGUAUCUUAGAUUCGUUGUUGUUAAUUUAUGCUGAACACCAAAGUUAUUGGUGAGACUCGGUUUUUGCUUUCAAUCGAUAUUAGCUUUUUGACUACAUCAAUCUGUGUUUUUAUUUGGAAAUUGCUCCUUUGUGUUUGUUUCGGAAAUUGAUUUAUGAACCACCUUUUUCUGCUUCUGCUAAACAAAACAACACUGGCUCCAAGUUAUGGAAAUGCUGCUAGCUUCACAUCACAUGCCUUGUAGUUAUGGGCCAUGGAGUCUUUUUGUGGCAUUUAACUCUCCUCAUCUUGCUCUCAUGGGGUGUCUUAGCUGCAGAAUUGAUACAAGUUGUGGUCCUAUAUAUUAGAUAUUUUUCGCAACAAAAAAAAUUGUUUCCCUACUUUGAAUUGGUAUUAUGAUUGUAGGCUUUUUGUGCCUGUUUCAAAAAUUGAGUGAUGUUAAACGUUGACUAUGCACCCCCAACAUGACAAGCAUUUUAUAGCUGAUGGAUUAGUUGUGUACUAUUCUACAAUAGAAAGGAGAUUGAAGUACCCGUCAAGUUGAAAUUUAGACUUAUUAUUCUCUAAUCUCUGGUCUACACGGCGAGCUCAGCCAGCUUUCUUUUCUUCUAAAUCAAGUUACCUUAAUCCUAUAGACUAGUCGCUGGUAUAUAUUCAAAGUUGUACAAGGGUCUAUUUCAUGGUUGAUUAUCGAUGUAAUAUGGAAUUGGUUGUAGAAAGAGAGACUAAAGCAAGCAAUCAGAGCUAUAGAUAUGCGUAUUUAUGAAUUAAACCACAAAAUGAUUGUUCCUGAGAGGCAGACCAACUGACCAACUCCCUUCAGCUACUUCUGAUUUAAUACACCAGGUUCAGUCGUUUUUACACUCUUUUCGUUAAGAUACGUUUACCUGUUUGGAAUCAGAAUAAGACUAAACUUAUGAGGUUUUGUGCAUUUAAUCACAAAUGUAGGUAUGUGAAUGAUCCUAUUGUCUUUGAUUCUUGCGGUUAUUAACAAAUACAAGUAUCUAUUCAUGUAGUUGAAACUUGAGCUAUCAGCUUCAGUGAGACACUAUCCGUGUCGUGUGUGUUUGUGACGGUGAGUGAGCUCUCCAGGCUAAGUGAUUAGGGCGCUCAAUGGUUUACAAGUACAUGCCUACAAGAAAGGUCAUUUUACAUAUUCUCUCUUAAAGAUUAAACUUGCCUUCUGGACCCUUAAAUUGAUUAGUACCUACUGGCUUUUAAUUAAUCAGAUUCUGAUGUUGCUCUAUCAUUUUCUUGCGUGGAAUCCCACCACCACGUCAAUUUCGUUGAAAUUGUAUUGUUUAGUUCGUUACUCGUUAGUACUAGUUAGUGGUUAUAUAUGUAUAAAUGGUCCUACAUCAUGAUUUACAGCUCUUAUAAUCUCUCUUUUGUAAGAUUAAGAGACUAACAGGCAAUUAUUGUCUUUCAUAUUCUUUACUAUAUAUGAUUCCUUUGAUGAAAGACAGCAGCAUCCAACGCGAAAGAUCUCUAAGAUGAUUUAACUUAUUGACACAUGUCGGUACAAGUUUUGAAUUUCUUCCACAUUUACAAAAUGGCGCUGUCUUAGUUAAUUUCAUCACAUAAAAGACAGAGAAUUGAUUCUAUUGUUUUCAAGAUUACCUUACCUUCAUAUUGAUAAUCUACUCACUCGGAAUUAGGCUAUGUUCCCAGAGUCUCUAUCUUAACCUUUCAAAGAAAGAGUAAACAAUUUCUUUGCUUGUGAAAUAAAGGAGCCAAAACUUUUGAUAAAACGAGUUCAAAAAACUAAUUAACGGCUAAUUUUAAUGAAGAAACUACUAUAAUCUUGGAUCCAUACAUACUGAUUCAUAAUAUCAUGUGGCUUACCUAAAAUUUUUAUUUUUUUCCUUUUGGUAGCUAAUUAGAUGACAUAAUUGAGUUUGGUAGAUAUACGGUCUUGAUCACAAAAUUAAAUUAUUCCAACUAUAAUAACUAAUAAAUUAUUUUUCAAAAUACAUAAAUAUCUUGUAACGUGGAAUUGUCUAAGACAAGGUCCCACCCUAGGGUUUGCUAAAGACACCUCAGCAAGCUAUGGUUCCAACGGUAGGAUGCGUCGGUGGGUGGCCCUAUCUUGUCAUUACAUCUGACGGCUCACAGUGCAUCGUCCCUUUGACCAAUUCCAACCAUGGUCAGGAAAAGGCUCAACUUGUUCUCGUCUAUAUUGGAUUUAAUUGGAAAUUUUUAGCAUCGUACUGAUACGACCAAAACCAUAAUUUAGCAUCCUUCUGAUUUGUAAAUGGAAAAUUUUUAAGAAAAAUCUAACAAUUUUAGUAUUUAUCAACAACAUGAAGUUGACCUCCUCACCUACCAAAGACGUUCUUAUAAUUAUCUUAGCUAAGUUAGCAAUUUUGGACUAAUUGACUUAGAUUAUGGAUAUAUUAGUUUCACUAAUCAGGAGCUACUAAUUAGCAACUACAUUGCUUUUUAUAAUCUGUAAAUAUGUUGGUAUGAAACAUUGCAGCAAAUCAGCAAUUAGCGCAUUUUCUUAUAUUAUAGGAAUGAAUUUACAGUUCCAAAAUCAGUUUAAUCUUGAUAUGGUCAGGUUGGAGAGGACUACAUGGGUAAUUUAAUAAGUUGUAACAAGAUCUGUAUAUUAACCUUGCUUAUAAUGUGCCCAAGAGUUACAAAUAGGUAUCUUGACUAUCACUUAAACAAAUUUUGUUUUUGGUUCUUGCAAGAGUAUAAGUGGCUUUUAAGAGUGGACAAAGAUGUUGGUAAUUGAACCACCUAAAAUAGCAAAAAGGCCUUUAUUACCUGAAAAUUAGGAUGAAAAAAUAACUUGUCAAGCUAGAAAAAUUCAACUGUUCAAGCAUCCCAAAGAGGUUAUGGCACUUAACUAUAUGGAUCCCAUUAUUUAAAUAAAAGAACAAGUAAUUUUCUUAAAUUUCUUGUAGGACCUCACAGUACUCUCUAUAUCAUUUUUGUAUAUUGAAAUGCCAAGUGGUGUGACAUGCCACCUAGCUAAACAGCUUGUGCCAAGUUGUGUUCUGGGAUGUGUAUCUCCAAUGAAUAAUUAGGGUCACUAUGCUUGUAAUAAUUAAACAACAUUAUAAGCUAUCUACAACAUUAAACAUAGGGAUUUUGCUAUUUUUGGGUCUCAAAAGUGUGCACUCAAUUAAGCUCUAUUUCAUAAUUUCAUCCCUCCUUCCACCCAAAAAUAAAAACAAUUUUCAUAAAUCCCAAUUAAAAUAAAUAAAUAAAUUUUUUGAUAAAAAAAAUAAUUAAAUUCAGUCAAAACUUAUUCAAUAGGGCCUAUUCAAUAUCCAAUGAGUUAUUACCAUUAAAAGAUUAGUCAGGCACUAAUUAAUUGAUAACCAUGCUAUUGUUACUGAUUAGUUUGAAGCAAAAAAAAUAUAUAUAUUAGCAAAGAAAGAUAGAAUGCAUACUACAAAAUAAGGCAAAAAUGAUAAAGGCAAUGGAAGAGUGUAAAAGAAAAAGACACAAAAUGAAGGGAAUCCAACAACACAAGCCAUUGCUUAAAUAAUUGCACACAUUACCUUAACUAAGAUAUCAAAACUCAUCACCUCAAGUCUUGAAGUUCAUAAAAAGAAAAAUUAUUAUAACCACUAAAAAAGAAUGGGAAAAAUAAAAGCAAAAAGAAUAAAAGCAGCAGACUUUAAAAAGAAAAAGAAAAGAAAAGAAAAAUAUAGGAAUGGCUGUUGACUAGCAGAACUAGCAUCCACCAGGUCACACCAGUUCUCACUCCCUCUGUGAACAGCUAGGGUUUCUUUCUUCCUUUUCGCUCGCUCUGCUUUGUCAUUUCUUCCUUAUUUAGUCCCUACUGUGUCUACUCUGUAUUUACCUCACAGCCUGUACUCACCCUCUCUCUCUCUCUCUCUCUCUCUCUCUAGGAAACCAGUAGAGAGAGAACACCCACCAAAAGGGCCAAAAAGCAAAAAGCAAAGAGCAAAUGCAGGUCCCCAAACACCCACACUAGUACUUGUACUACCACCACCACUCCUCUCUUCUCCCUCCUCACUUUCCCAAACCAACACAACAAAAAUGGAUGAGCUUUGAAACCCAAACCCAACUCACUUCAACUCCCGUUCCCCCAGUUCUGGUCUUUUUUCCACCAAAAGAUGGAUUCCCAUUCCCAAAGACAGACCCUUUUUCCGGUCUUCUUUCUCACCAUACUAGUCUUGCUCCCACUAGUAACUCCAGAUCUGACCUCCGACCGCGCAGCCCUCCUCGCUCUCCGCUCCGCCGUCGGCGGCAGAACCCUCCUCUGGGACGUGACCAAGCCCAGCCCAUGCUCCUGGGCCGGAGUCAACUGCGACGACAACCGCGUCAGUGUGCUCCGUCUCCCUGGUGUGGCUCUCCACGGCACCAUUCCCACUGGCAUUUUCGGAAACUUGACUGCUCUCCGCACUCUCAGUCUCCGUCUCAAUGCUCUCACCGGCCCUCUCCCCUCAGAUCUCUCCGCCUGCGUUACUCUUCGUAACCUCUACCUGCAAGGGAACUUGUUCUCCGGCGAAAUCCCUGAGUUUCUGUACAGCUUGCAUGACUUGGUCCGGCUCAACUUGGCCUCCAACAACUUCUCCGGCGAGAUCUCACCCGCAUUCAACAACCUCACCCGGUUAAGAACACUCUACCUCGAGAACAACAACCUUCAUGGGUCUAUUCCGGCGUUGGACCUCCCCAAGCUCCAGCAGUUCAACGUUUCGAACAACUUGCUGAACGGGUCUAUUCCGGUGAAGCUACGUUCUUACAAAUCGAGCUCGUUUCUGGGGAAUUCUUUGUGUGGAGGGCCUCUCGGUGUUUGUCCUGGUGAGGUUGAAAAUGGGGACAUCAACUUGGACGGUAGUAAGAAGAAUAGCAAGCUCUCCGGUGGCGCUAUCGCCGGUAUUGUUAUCGGAUCUGUGAUUGGUUUCCUUGUCAUCCUGGCGAUUUUGUUCCUUCUGUGCCGAAAGAAGAGCAGCAAGAAGACCAGCUCGGUCGACAUUGCCAGGACGGUGAAGCACCCGGAAGUGGAGAUUCCGGGAGAGAAGCUGCCGGAGUCGGAGACCGGAGGUGGUUAUGGAAAUGGGUACUCGGUGGGGGCGGCGGCCGCGGCGGCGAUGGUGGGGAAUGGGAAGAGUGAAGCUAGUGGUGGUGGUGGUGGAGCUAAGAAGUUGGUGUUUUUCGGAAAUGGGCCGAGGGUGUUUGAUCUGGAGGACUUGUUGAGAGCCUCGGCGGAGGUUUUGGGGAAGGGGACGUUUGGGACGGCGUACAAGGCGGUUUUGGAGGCCGGGACGGUGGUGGCAGUGAAGAGGCUUAAGGAUGUGACCAUUACGGAGAAGGAGUUUAAGGAAAAGAUUGAAUCUGUGGGAGCUAUGGAUCAUGAGAGUUUGGUUCCUUUGAGAGCUUAUUAUUUCAGCAGAGAUGAGAAGCUUCUUGUCUAUGAUUACAUGCCCAUGGGAAGCUUAUCUGCGCUUUUGCAUGGUGAGUUUUUCUGCUUCUCUUUAUUGGAUUUACAUAUUACUCCGCCUUUUGAGUUCUGUAGUGAUUGCUUUAUUUCUUUGAGCCUGCAUUUCUGAUAAUGAUGGUUAUGAUUUUGUCAGAUACAGCACUCUGUUUGAUUACUUGAAUUUUUGUCACUUUUUUUCUUAAAAUUUGCAAGGAAAGUUUGUAAUUAUUAUCAUGAUUCAUCUCCUCAAACGCUAGCCAAGUUUGAAAGAACCGAUCUUUACUUAAAACUAUUCAAAAUCAAUUAUAGCAGCACUUAUGUUCUUUAUUUCAGUAUUAUUAACACUUUGGUUUGUAAAGAUCCAAUAGUUUUGUUGUCUGUGACUCUGUACAGGCUGAUGUAUUUGAAGUGCUCUGAUUUCAAAACCUACAGUUCUUAACUAAUGGGUCAAAUUCAUUCCAUUUUGAGUCUUUUCCCCGUGUAAAAUCUUGAACCUCCAACUUUUCAUCUAUGGCUGUGAUAGAUACAUAGUUUCAAACCCCAUUAUACAACUCAAAUGAACUGCAUCUUUACCAUUGUCUUGUCUUCUGUUUACAUUACAGGAAACAAAGGAGCAGGAAGAACUCCACUGAAUUGGGAAAUCAGGUCAGGCAUUGCCCUUGGAGCUGCGCGUGGAAUUGAAUACCUACACUCUCAAGGCCCCAAUGUCUCUCACGGGAACAUAAAGUCCUCUAACAUCCUGCUCACAAAAUCCUAUGAAGGUCGGGUUUCUGAUUUUGGCUUAGCACACCUUGUUGGACCCUCCUCCACUCCCAACAGAGUUGCUGGCUACCGAGCACCAGAGGUGACUGAUCCUCGUAAGGUUUCACAGAAGGCCGAUGUUUACAGCUUCGGGGUACUGCUCUUGGAGCUACUCACAGGGAAGCCCCCAACCCAUGCUCUCUUGAAUGAGGAAGGAGUUGACCUACCAAGGUGGGUUCAGUCCAUUGUUAAAGAAGAGUGGACUUCUGAGGUUUUCGAUCUUGAGCUUCUGAGGUACCAGAACGUCGAGGAGGAGAUGGUUCAGCUAUUGCAACUUGCGAUAGAUUGUUCAGAACAGUAUCCUGAUAAACGCCCUUCAAUAUCUGAAGUGACAAGGCGCAUUGAGGAGCUACGCCGUUCUACAUUGCGAGAAGAUCAGCCGGAUGCUGUCCAUGAUAUUGACGAUGGGUCUUCGCGAUGAGUUGAUAUGUGCCCCUCCCAACGACCAUUUUCUUUCAUUGAUUUGUAGUACAAUAUCUGCUUUCUUGUGCCCAUACUUUUGCUUGUUAAGUUUCUUGCUCUUCUUGCAUGUUAAAUUCUGGGUCUCAUCUUACCUUCAUUAGGAGCCAACUAUUAUUUUUUUUACCCCUUUCUUUUAUCUGUCAAUGUACUAGUUUUUACAUUUUGAUUGAUACACUUUUGGGGUGGAUAUUUGUUCCAUUAGUUGUUGGUGGAUGAUGGUUGCUGUAAUUAUUACUUCACCUUUGCCUUUAUUGGUUACACAACUACUGAGCUAUUGAAAUUGAGAUGUUUUCAGUUUGCCUCAUAUGUUAGUUGUGAAGUCUAUUCAUCAUGUGAGUGCCCUCACCUAGCUUUGUUGCAAAACAACAUAUACACAAUUCAAGUAUGCAUCAAACUUUGGUGAGAAUUUAUGAUUGAAGCAAAGAUCAAAUGUUGUUCAUUGAUAACACUUCCAACAUCCAACUUGAAAGCAAAGCUUAAAUAUCAUAUGAAAGAAUCAUACUUGCAAGUCAAAAUCACAAAACUGCAGAUGAGUCGCUGACUCUGCAUGGGUAUCUGAUAGAAGAUGCCCCUACCCAGAAUUCAAAAUUUGAGUUCGAGUUCAGUGAUGAUGAUGAAGAAGAAAGCUUUUCUAUCGUGGACCAAACUGGAUAUGGAAAAGUGAGCAGACAGUGUGAUGCACUGAGAGUGGUCCUAGAAUUAUGGUUUAAGUUUGUUGGUAUCCAAAGCCUCUGGGAUUUAAAAUUAGGAAGAAAAGAAAGAAAACGAUAAGAAUACAAAUUUGGAGCUUCUCUUUUCCAAUAUGGGAUCGUUUUUGUCAUCUGGUUCUGUCAUAACCUGCCGUUAUUAUGUAAAAUCGAAAUGCUUCUGGAGUGGAAAGGGAUGGAUACAAAAUAUUUGCGUGAUUGCAUGAUACACAUUUGGUUAUUUGGACACCAUGCACAUGCGACUUGAGAGCAGUUUCAUGAUGGAACUCGACCAUGUUUAAUUUAAUCUAUAAUUCUCGUGGCAAACAUAGUGAAACGAAUGAUUCUUAAUACCAAAACAUCUGACUAUGGAAUUGGGCAUCUAGAAAUCAAAAUCAUAACUUUUUCAAAUCAUAUAUGUUUAGCUACUAAAGCAAUCUAAGAUUUGGUUUCUACUCAAAAUUGUGAACUAUAAGUCUAUAACACAUGGUUUGAUAAAAAAAAUCGCAAAUUUCUUAACAUAAUUUUCUCACUCCCGGACACAAGUCUCUUCCACU